UUGAGCUCUUUAGAAUCUUAGAUAUCUCUUCUACCUGCCAUUUUACUAAAAUAUGUUCCACCACAUAUUUAUCAGUUAACCACUGUUAUUACAUGAGUGACACAUAUUCACAAAUCGGCUGAUCACUUAUUUUCCAUUAUGACGUUGAUAUAUAAUUUGCAGACUCCACAAAUGAAGAAAAGAGCACAAAUGACGUUGGCAAACCUGAAACUUUCCCAUUGGGCAAUAAACAUUACUCCAGUCAAAAACAUUAUGGAAGAGGCAAACCUGAAACUUUCCCAUUGGGCAAUAAACAUUACUCCAGUCAAAGACAUUAUGGAAGAGGCAAACCUGAAACUUUCCCAUUGGGCAAUAAACAUUACUCCAGUCAAAGACAUUAUGGAAGAGGCAAACCUGAAACUUUCCCAUUGGGCAAUAAACAUUACUCCAGUCAAAAACAUUAUGGAAGAGGCAAACCUGAAACUUUCCCAUUGGGCAAUCAGCAUUACUCCAGUCAAAAAAAGUAUGGAAGAGGUGCUUCUCCAUCCGACAAUCAACCACCAAUUCCAUAGAAAUUCAAACACGGCUACUUUCUUGCCACGAGAAAGCGCUCAAUCGAUCCCCUUCUCCUCUAACAAACUACCAGAAAUUUUCAACCAUUUUUCAGUGAAGCCAACAUCUGAGGAAGCCAAAACAAUUAAGCAAACAAUCGAAGAGUGUGAAGCUCCAGACCUUAAGGGAGAGGAAAUAUAUUGCGCCACAUCUUUAGAAUCAAUGGUUGAUUUUAGCACUUCGAAGCUUGGAACAAGAAACGUUGAAGCAAUCUCGACGGAGGUAUUGGAAAAAGGAGCCACCAUGUCCAUCCAAAACUAUACAACAAUGCCGGGACUGAAGAAGUUGGCAGGUGACAAAGUCGUUGUGUGUCAUAAGCAGAACUAUCCCUAUGCUGUGUUUUUCUGCCAUGCAAUAAAACAUACAGCAGCUUAUGCUCUCUCCCUGAAAGGCGAUGAUGGGGAGAAGGUUAAAGCAGUAACCAUCUGCCAUCUAGACACAUCAGAAUGGGACCCAGAGCAUAUGUCCUUCAAAAUCGUCAACGUUAAGCCCGGAACCAUUCCCAUCUGCCAUUUCAUUUCCACUGAUGCUAUUGCCUGGGUUCCGAACCACAAAUCUGCAUGAUCAUCACUUAGCACUAGUACUGUGCGUAUAAUAUGCCUGUAUAAUUAUCUCCCUACUUAUUUCUGCCUGUUCAUCAUGUGGUGUAAGAUAUAUGUUGAGAUGAAGUUUUUGGGAUUAGUGGUCGAAAUUAACCCGAUCAUGUUUUCUCUUGUAACUAUAUAGACUUCAACUUGUACUCAUAAUAAAGCAUGCUAUAUUUAUGAAGAGAUAUUAAUCUUCAGGCAAAUAGAUAUUAUGAAAACAUAUAUAGCAAUUUAUCCAGAAGAAAUAUUAUGAAAUGAAAAGAAUAAAAAGUAAAAAAACAGAAGGAAAGGAAUUCGCACCUGCUAUGUAUGAAAGGACCAAGAUUGUUUUCCCUUUGGUUAAUGACUAGAAAAGCUCACUUGCAGAUUGCUUUCUCUGACCGUAGAUGCAACAGAAAUUUUCUCUUAAUAAUAGCACAAUGAUCGGGUAAUUGUAAGAACAAGUUGAUUUAAAAUUCCUUGACCCAAAAAAAAAAAAAAAAUCAUUUCAAAUUCAGGUCAACCCAUAGAUUUCUUGCCUUUUUCUUCUUCAUCACGUUGGGCUUGUCUUCUUCUUGAGGAUUGUAUAGGCCCAGGAAAUGCUUUGAGGUAGUUUUUGGCCUUGGAAGUUGGGACCCAACCCAACUUCACAAAAAGAAAACAGAUUUGCCAAAAAUCAAAUUUCAAGUCUCUCCUCAGAUCACUAAUACAGAUCAAAUUUUGGAUUUGAUGAACUAAAGUGGUUUUACUUUCUCUGUCAGUGUUUGAUGACUUAAUUUGUUAUUUACUUCUUUUUUUUUUUUUACUUGAUCUUUGUAGGGGUUUUUUUCUUCCGGUAACUUAAACGGGCUGGGCUGCCGUAAAGGGUAGAUUGAUGAAAUUGUCUCCUUUGUCUGAGUUCGAAAAUCAAGCCCCAAAAGCGCUUCGAAAGGGCAGUAGAGCCUUAGGAAGCGUUCUAGUCAUCUUCACCAACUAAAACAACAGCAACUUACAGAUGAUUUCUUAAGGCUUACAGAUAAAUUUUCUAGCUUGGCAUGAGAGGCUUGUGACAUGGAAGCAAAAUCAGCAUGAGUUUAGCACCAAAGAGGAAAAUAUGGCUUCCUAGGGAGAAAUGGGAGUGUUUAAGGUGAGGAAGAAGAGGUUUGCAGGCUGAUUUGGCUGAGGAGAGAGAAAGAAAGAACAAUGUUCUUCCAGUAGCUUGACAAAGCUUCUGACAGAUGUGAAAGUCGUCUGCCAUAAGAGGAAAAUGAAGAAGAAUGGUGAAUAGUGCAUGAAAUUGCUGGGUUUUUGCAGGUAAGAGAGAAAGCUUGCUCUCUGAAUUUGAGUUGGUUUUUGGUUGGGUAGAAGAGGCCCCCUUUUAUAGCUGCGGGAAACCAUCUUUUUUCAAGAAACCCUAAUGGUUUCUAUCCAUUUUGGCCAAGCUUUUCCCUUCAUUUCUCUUCUCCUCCCUUGACUUUUCCUAUCUUGGUGAAAUUUCCUCUGCCUAUUUGCACAAAAUUAGAGAUUUUGAGGAGCUCAAGACCCCUUUCCCGCAGCUGCCUCAGUGGAGAAUCCCCAUUUUCAGUCAUCUUUCUUCCUUCUUUUCUCCCAUCUUCCAAGGUUAGGUCUGAUGAGGGAAAGAAAUGGGUAUGCACACUGGUUUGAAGGGUAUUUUUGCUUGAAACUUGUUCUCUCCCAUGUGCUGGAGCUUCCCAGCAACUUACACACAUGGAUAUUUUGGCUUUCAUCGUGGCUUUUGUUUUCAGCUAGGUGCUGGAGAUUUCGCAGAUAUUUUCAUGAGUUGCUUGGGCCUUCUAGGACAAUAGGUUGGUUUAUCAAGUGAAUGGGCUAACUUCAUCAAUUGUUGGGCUAUUUUGGUUGAGUUAAUGGACUAUUUUGGUUGAAGUAAUGGGCUAUUUUGGUUGAAUUAAUGGGCUAUUUUUCUCUCUUUGUGCUCACCCACAUAUUUGGGCCUAAGAAAUGGGCUUGAGUUCCGGGGCUCCCAAGCAACCCCGGGACUUCCAUUUCUCGGCCCAUCAAUGGGCCUCAUAUCAACUUAUUACCAUCCAUAUCACAACCCACUCAAGCAAGCCCUGGGCAUCUUGCGUGGCUUGGGCCCACUUAAGCUUGUAGCGUGACGUGUUGCUUAUUUGCUUGGCAUGGCAUGUGUGCAAGCGCAUAUGACGAACUUUAGCGUGCCCAAAUUGGGUUUAUUCUCGGUAAGGUAUCGCAUUGGGCCGAGAAUUUAAUUGGGCAGAACUGUGGAUUUUUGGGCCUCAACAAUCUUAUAUAUAUUGGUUUUCUUUUUUUCCUUAAUAUUCACCACCUUUCUGUUGCAUAAGUAUUUCAGUCUUAACGGGUUUCCAUCUACCACUCAUCUUUGCUCUUUUAAGUGUAAGCUUUUUUUUUUUUUUUUUAAGCACAAGAUUAGAGGGGAGGGGGAUUUCUCAAUGUAAGCUUUGCAGUUUCAUAAUUAAUAUUUCCAAUAUCUCACUGUUAGUAAAAUAUGGAACAGGAAAAGUAUGAAUAAAAUACACACAUGUUUUAUUUAGCAAAAUUUUGACAAGAUACAACUGAAAAGUUUGGCCACUAUAUAAUAUUUUGAUAUAAUUUCUACACUUCUUCUCAAAAGAUUAGAUCACUUCACAUCUUGUGUAUGUGAAAACUAAUGUAAAAAGUUGAAACUUUAUCGUAAAACCUCGACAAAAAUGAGCUCUACUAGAAAAUGUUCAAUUUGGAUUCGUUGAUUUAAAUGGCAAUUUGACACUUGAUAGAAAUUUUUACAUACAUGUGUUAGUGUUUGAUCACUUCACAUGUUACUUACUAUAUUUAUUCCACUCAAGUUAGGUAAAUAUUAUUAUCAAACAUUUCAAUUAAUUUGUGAUUUUUUUAUUAUUUAAUCAAUUAUGAAUUAAUGGAUUCUUCUUGUUGUUUUGAAGACCAAUAAAAAAAAAAGGGUAAGGAUGGCUUAUAACUCUGAUAAAACAACAGUGACGUGGACAGCAGAUGUUACACCGUACUGAAGAUUUUUGAAGAUUCUUUAUUUGGGUUUCUUUCAAGAUGAAAACCAUAUUAUCCACAACCACAAUGAAGAAGACAGAAAAUGGAGUAAUUCAGAUGUUACCAGCCAUCCACGACAAACUGAAGUCUGCAAAGCAUUCGUAAUCUAAAGGGAGACUUUGGAAAAGCCCAAAGGAGAGAGAAAAUUUUUAAAAGAAGCAAAAAUGGACAAAAUUGCCCUUAUUUAUUUUUUGAUUUCCUAAGAAAUCCUUUACAUUUGCAUGUCUUUGGUUUGAAAGUUGAGAGGUUAUUCUGUCUUUUUUCAAAAAGCUUUGGCUUUUUCCAAAAGUGAAAGUUUUUUUAUGGGUAAAACCUAAAUUUACUUAAUCCCUAAAAAGGAUGGGGAGGCUGCGCAAUACUUAGCCACGUGUAGGCCAGGAGGCUUUCCAAUUUUAAUAUAUAUAUAAAUUGAAAAAAUAAAAUAAAAAUCAAUCUAUUAUCCUAUAUAAAAUAAAGAUUAUUGCUUCCAUGGGCAGUGCUAUGCACAGGACAGUGCCUGCCCAGCACAAAUUUUUUUUAAAUAAAAAAAAAAAAUCUACAUAUGUUAUAAGCUCAUCCAAAAAAAUAAAAUAAAAUAAAAGUAAAUUCUACAUAUAUGUUGCCCAUCUAGGUGGUUCCAUAUCUUCUCUCUCCUUCUCUUUUGGCUAUUAGACUUCUUGUUUCUCUCUCUCUCUUUGCUACCUCACAUCAGCAAGUUUCUCCCUCUCUUUUUUUGGGGUCAAAUUCUUCCUCUAUUGACAAAAUCUUCUAUUAUCUUGGGUGGGCAACUUGGCAACAACAUCUUCUCUUCUCCUUUUGUCAACAACAAGUAUUAUUCUCAUUCUCUCAUUUGCUAUAUAUCUUUAAUUAUAGUUUUAAUUUAAAAUUGAGUAUUCUAGGGUUUAAUUAGGGAUGAAUUAUAAUUUUAGAAUUUUGUUGAAAUUAAUUAAGGCUUCGAUUAGGGGUGAAUUAUUCUACUGCUUUGGUUUGGAAUUUUGUUAAAAUUGAGUAUUAUAGGGUUUAAUUAUGGAUGAAUUAUAAUUUUUGAUUUUGGUAUUAUUGAGAUGUUAUUAUGAGAAUUUGUUUCAUUUUUUUAUUGGUAUAUUUGAUUAAAAUUCUUUCUACAUAUUAUUCAUAGGCUAUCUUUUAUUAUGUCGGAUCACAAUCGGAAUCCCAAGAGAACAAAGAAUUUGAAUAGUGUUGUUUUGUAUUGCAUUGCAUUUACUUUUGGUUUUAGUUUUGCUUUUAGUGUAAAUUACUCAAAUGGUCCUCAAAUUUGUACCCGAUUUACAUUUUGGUCCAUAAACUAAAUUAUUCAUUCAAAUGGUGCACCAACUCUUUAUUAAUCAGUGCUUUGGUCCUACCGUUAUGUUUUCUAUUAAAUUUAGUCAUGUGAGCAGCACAUGCUACAUUUGUAGGGGUAAAUAAGACUUUUGACCACUUUAUCACCUAUGUAUCACCACUUUAUAACCUAUUUGGAGAACAUAGGUCAGUUAUGGACGGUUUUACAAUUAUAUUUGACGGCAACAUUAACAUAAUGUAACAGUGGGAUCAAUGGAGCGAUUAAUAUAGAGUUGAUGGACCGUUUGAACGAAUAAUUUAAUUGAGGGACCAAAACGUAAAUUGAGUAUAAGUUUGAGGACCAUUUGAGUAAUGUACCCUUCGCUUUUAUAUUUGUUGAACUUUUAUUUAUGGAUAGAUAUGCAUUUGAGGGUAAGACCCAUUAUGUUCCCCCUGACUUGGUGUAUCUUUUUAUGUUUAUUAAUGAAAUUCACUCGAACUGUUGAGUUUAGUAUGUAAGUUUUGCCUAACCGGCUUUUGAAUCCUAGAACCGCCACUGUUGCUCCAUCCUCCAUGCACUUGCAUGUGCUCUUACAAAGUGUGAAGUAGAUUUUGUGUGCUCCAAGUCAUUGACUAGAGCUGAAACAUGGUUAGCUAGAUUUAUAAGGACCCAUCUCUCUAUUUCCUAGACAUAUACCCAUCUCUCUAUAAAUCUAUAUGUAAAACUCAAUUUCAAACUUAAAUGACCAGUAAGAUAUAAGAGGUCAUAGUAUUCCUAUGUUUUUACAUCGUUGCCACCAGACUUCUUAUUUUAUUUAUAAUUUAUUUCAAGCAUUUCAUUAACUGCCAUAAUUGUAAUUAAUACUCCAUAUUAAUAGCAUAUCAAUCACCCCAUUUCUUUUGAUUGCCAUUCCCUCUAACAUAUCGCCCCUUAAAAUUGAAAACCAAAAAAAAAAAAAAUGUAAAUUACAUAUCCAAUAAUGUACCUAUGAAAAAUAUAAAUAUAAAUAUAUACGUAUAAAAAUAUAGGUUUAUUAUUUACCAAAUAAAAAAUAUAAAAAAACUAGGUCAGUUGCUUUGUAAUUGAAAUUUCUAUACAUUUUCCACAAAUUAAAAAUAGGUACACAAUAAUUUAUAGAAAAUAUAGGUGCAUUAUUUAUCCAUAGGUAAAAAUACCUAUAAAUGCACAUAGGUAAAUUAUUUACCCAUAUAUUAUUUUUUUGCUAAGGAUUUACCUUAGUUUUUAGUAGAUUAAUUUACCUACCUAGAGGCAUAGGUAGCUUAAAAAAAUUGUAGCACCUUAGUUGGUUGCAUACUAAUUUACCUACCUAGAGGCAUAGGUUGCUAAGAAAAAAUGUAGGUAAAUUCAUGUACCUAAACACAUAGGGGUCAAAUAGAGAAUAACAUGUUAUUUCCCUUCGAACAAAUUAAUUUCAAACCAUAACAAUAAUUGAAUUCGGAAAUUGGUAUAAAUAAAAGGAAAUAAAUAAGCUAUCAAUUUGAAAAUUAAAAUAAGAAAUGAUCAAGUAGUCAUAUUUGAAAAAAAAGAAAAGAAUAUAUUCUUGGUUUUUAUAGGAACAACGUGUAUAUUCAAACCAAAUGGCAGUAACUACACCAAGCUUUAAUUACUUUUUUUUAAGGCCAAAAGUCACUUUUGGUCUCUGUAGUUUGACACUUCUAUUACUUUUGACGCUGUAGUUUCAAUUCCGUCAAUUUUGCCAUUGUAGUUUCAUAUUUGUAGCAAUUCAAGGACAUGUUAAUAUUAAUGUCAAUUUGUUUAAUGAUGCAAGGGGUAAUUUCGUCAUCCCAAAAUCCUUGAGCAUAAAAGCUUGUCUGAAAUUCUCCCCAUUUCAUAUUAGGGCUCGAAAUUCAACCACUAAUCCCAAUUUUUGAAGAACCCUAUACCCAAAUGACCAAUUUCAAGCCCUAAUAACAAAUUAGGGAAGUUUUAGAUGAGCUUUUAUGCUCAAGGAUUUUGAGUUGAAGAAAUUGCCCCUUGCACUGUCAAAGAAAUUGAUAGGAAUACUGACUUGUCCUUGAAUUGCUACAAAUACAAAAAUACAGGGUCAAAAUUAACAGAAUUUAAACUAUAUGGUCAAAAGUGGUUAAAGUGCCAAACUACAAGGACCAAAAGUGACUUUUAGCCUUUUUGUUUAAAUAAGGAAAAAACUUACCUAUUAAAUCCUUGGAAUCUAUACAAAAUUGAAACACAGUUAAUCAGCAUUGAAUUGCAGCUAAUUUCUUAAACAAGGGUAUUAUAGGAAUUUAAAAAGUAUAACAUUUAAUCCAUUGAGCUUGAUUAGGAAUCUUGAUGAGUUGGAUCCUAGUUAUAUAGUUUCUCUUAUAAAAAUCGGGUUUUAUUUAUAGACAAAUAAAACAAUGGGUUGUAGGUAAGAAAAUAUUAAUUUGAAGGGAAAGUGUCACAUCCUGGGAUCGGCUCCGCCGUAGCACGAUAUUGUCCGCUUUGGGCCCCCCUCUCUGCCCGCACGGUUUUGUUUCUGGGAGCUCACGAGCAACUUCCCAGUGGGUCACCCAUCCUGGGAUUGCUCUGGCCCCCAACUCGCUUAACUUCGGAAUUCCUAUGACUCCGAAGCCAGUGAGCUCCCAAAAGGCCUCGUGCUAGAUGGAUGCGGGUGUGUACAUAUAAGACACAUCACCCCCUCUCCGUUGGUUGAUGUGGGAUCUUACAGAAAGAGUCAAAUUUACUAAAUUAAUAAAGCAUAAAUUGGAAAGGGAAAAGAUCUAGAGGAUGCAUUGUAGGAUUGCUCAUGCCAAUAAUUGCACCCUCUCGAUAUUGAAAAACCUAUUGUGUAUUAUUAUCUUCAAUCAUGAAUGAUGCACCUAAAACCCAAGUGUCCCAAGCCAACCAUUGCGCUCAUACCACUUGUUGCAGUACACAUUCACCCGUUUUUAAAGAAAGAAAUUCUACCAAUCGAUAUUGUCUCAAAUUUAAUCACAUAGGUCUAUUAUGGUUAACCAUAUGUACUUUUAUCGGCCAUAUAGAGGUACCUUUUUCCAACGUGCAACAAUUGUAUUUGAUUCACAAUUAUGUCUGAUAUACAUCACAUCAUGCCACUUGCCUCAAAUGAAUUUAAUUGAGUGAGGCAAUGGGAAGUAAUUAAGCUCUAUAUUGGUGGGUGGAGUGUUACUUCUGGAACCCUCAUCAUUCGUCCAUACAAGGGAACAAUUCCCUUCCUUCUAUAAAAUGGUGAAGCCAGUUGCUAUUGUUUGUUAGAGUUUUAGGAUCUGAGUGUUAGAUUUUGUGAGAAGAGAGAAGAGAAUUUAGUGAAAACUUCCAAUACUGCUCUGCUAUACGUGUAGCAGAGAGAACAUUCUGUUUUGUUAUAUAUUUUCAGUACAACAACACACACUUGGUGUGAGAAGAAAAAUGACUGUUAUGCACAGUACCAGCUGGAUGCUUUCCAUCAAAGUAAUCUCAGCCAUUCACUAUCUAACCAAUCAAGCUAUGACACCUGGACUAAGUAUAAAGAAAUACAACUAAGCAGAAAACAAGACUCUUAAUCCUGAAAUCAACUUAAGCACUUAUAAUUCAACACUCCCCUUUAAGUCUUGAGGUGAUUUCACUCCAAGCAUGCCUCUGAGAUAAUUGAAUCUGUCUUUGGCCAGAGGUUUGGUAAAAAUGUCAGCCAAUUGUUCAUUUGUAGGACAAUAUUCCAGAUUGAUUACCCCUUCUUGCAAUGCAUCCUUGAUGAAGUGAUACCUCCUGUCAAUAUGCUUUGUCUUCUGGUGGAAUACAGGGUUUUUAGUGAUUGCAAUUGCUGAGAUAUUAUCACAAUGCAAUGGAGUAGCUUCAGUUUGAAGCUCUCUAAAGUCUUCUAGCACAAAACGGAGCCAAAUAGCUUGAGUAGUAGCCUCAGCUGCACUGAUGUACUCAGCUUCUGCAGUAGACAGUGCAACACAGUUCUGUUUCACUGAGGCCCAAGAAAAUACUCCACUUCCAAAACUAAACGCAUACCCUGAUGUGCUCUUGCAAUCACCAACUGAUCCUCCCCAAUCACUGUCACAGUAACCAACUAGAAUUGAUCUUUUGCCUUUCACAUAUUCAAGACCAUAGUCCAGAGUUCCUUUGAUGUAUCUCAAAACCCUUUUAGCUGUUCCAUAGUGUCUAUUUGUAGGACAGUGCAUGAAUCUAGCUAGCAAGCUUGAGGCAUACAUGAUGUCUGGUCUUGUAGCAGUUAAGUACAGCAAGCUACCAACAAUGCUUCUGUAUUGUUCUUCAUUUGCAGCUCAACUCCCAUCAUCCUUAGCUAGUUUCUCAGUGGCAACAAGGGGUGUUGUCACAGGUUUGCACUCAGUCAAACCAAACUUGCUCAACAAGGUGCUAGCAUAUUUCUUUUGAUGUAGAAAUAUACUAGACUCAGUCUGAAUAACUCCCAUGCCAAGAAAGUGAUGAAGUAAGCCCAAAUCAGUCAUCUCAUACUUAGCCAUCAUGUCUUCUUUGAAUUCAGCCAACAAUGCUUGACUGCUCCCUGUAUACACAAUAUCGUCUACAUAGAUAGACACAAUUAGAAUCUCCUUAUCUCCCCUUACUUUGGUAUAUAAGGUUGUUUCACUUAAGCUUUUCACAAAACCACAUUGAGUGAAGUAGCUGUCUAUCUCUCCAUACCAAGCCCUUGGGGCUUGCUUCAGACCAUAAAGGGCUUUAUGCAAACGAUAAACCUUGUCUUCUUUACCUUUAAUUACAAAACCUUCAGGCUGACUGACAUAAACUUCCUCUUGCAGCACACCAUUAAGGAAAGCAGACUUCACAUCAAGCUGGAACAAUUUCCAAUCCUUUUGAGCAGCUAGAGCAAUAAGUGUUCUAAUGGUGUCCAAUCUGGCUAUAGGUGCAUAAGUCUCAUUAUAAUCCAGUCCAGGCUUCUGAGCAUACCCCUUAGCCACUAAUCUUGCUUUAUUCUUUUGCACUGAGCCAUCCAAAUUCAGCUUUGUCUUGUACACCCACUUAACUCCAAUCACUGGUUUUUCAGUUAGUCUAUCUACCAAUUCCCAUGUUUCAUUCUUUUCAAUCAUCUGCAGUUCAUCUUCCAUAGCCUUAAGCCAAGAUUCAUCCUGAGCAACAUCAGCAUAUUUUUCUGGUUCCAUGAUACACAAGUUACACUGAGCUAGAACAUCAUCUAGCCUUCUCCAUUUUAGAGGGGUGUGAUCAUAAGCUUGAGUUCUCCUUUCUUCACUGCUUAUAUCACCUGGAGUUGAUGAAAUGCUCUCUUGCAUAUCCAAAGUUUGAGGUGUACCAGUAGAAUUCUCAUUAGAACUGUCAGAUUUCAAGUCCAAAUCAACUUGGUUUUCAAUUGAGUAUGUUGUCAUAACUGAACCAUUUUUGUUUGUCCAAUGCCAAGCAUUUUCUUCAUCAAAUGUCACAUCCCUUGAUAGUAAAAGCUUGUUAGAAACAGGAUCAAAAACUCUAUAUCCUUUUUCACAAGUUGCAUAUCCCACAAACACUCCCUUUGUACUCUUAGGAUCCCGCUUGUGUCUCAAUUCAGUUGGCACAUGAACAUAACACAGAGAACCAAACACUUUCAGAUGUGCAAUUCCAGGCUUCCUUCCACUAUAUGCUUCGAAUGGAGUAAUGUUGUUGAGAGCUUUGGUAGGACAUCUGUUCAGCAAAUAGAUAGCUGUAUGCACAGCUUCUGCCCAUAGGAAAUAAGGCAUUCCCUUCUCAUGUAACAUUGAUUUUGCCAUCUCAAUGACAGUUCUAUUCUUCCUCUCAACUACUCCAUUCUGCUGAGGAGUAUAGGCCAUUGUAAGCUGCCUUUGAAUGCCAUUAGCUUCACAAAACUCCAAAAAAUCAGUAGACAUAAACUCUCCACCCCUGUCACUUCUUAUGCACUGAACCUUGUGUCCAGUUUGUAAUUCAGUCAUGGACUUGAACUUCUUGAAACAAAAGAAGGCUUUUGACUUGUUUCUCAAGAAGUAUACCCAAAUCAUUCUUGUGAAAUCAUCUAUAAUCAGCAUGAAAUAUCUGUUCCUUGCAACAGACUCAUUUCUCAUGGGACCACAGAGAUCCACAUGUAUUAGCACUAGUACUUUGCUUGCUCUUUGAGCUUGAUCUUUUGGAAAAACAUUUCUGUGCUGUUUUCCAAAUUGGCACCCGUCACACACACCACUUUGUUCUUCCAAUUUUGGUAAACCAUGUACCAUUUCUUUAUCACUUAGCUGCUUCAAUCCUCCAAAAUGCAGAUGACCAAAUCUCUUGUGCCAAAUCCAUGUGGAUUGAAGAAAACUAGUCUUCAUUAGUAACUGUUUUUCAGCUAGAAAAGAGACAGGAUAGCAUCUGUUACUCUUCAUUUGCACCUUUAUGAUGAGAUAAUCCAUGGAUGGGCUAUCAAAUACCCUGCACAUCCCUUCUCCAAACACUAGACAGUACCCAUGUUCAUCCAUCUGCCCAACACUUAGCAGAUUUUCUUUCAAUCCUGGCAGAUACAUUACUUCUCUGAUGUAUUUCCUGCCCUUUGCUGUAUCAAUACUCAGUGAGCCAAUACCAGCUACACUCACUAAUGCACCAGUUGGCAUUUGUACUCUCCCAGCUACAUUAGUUCUCACAUCAACCAGCAAAUCUAAAUUUCCUGUCAUAUGAUUGCUGCAGCCACUGUCAAUGUACCAUUCAUUGGUUUUGAUCUCAGUGGUUGAGCAAUUGGCAUAAAACAGGUUUCCUGUAACCUCCAUUUGAUUUACACAAUUAGCCUUCUGCACAUUUUUGCUCACUGUACAGUCUCUAGCAAGAUGUCCAACUCUGUCACAGUUAUAGCAUUUUGGUUUUCCCUUAUACCUGCACUCACCAAAAUGAUGCUUUGAACACACCUUGCAUUGAGGCUUUGUGUUUUCCUGAUUUGAGAACUGUGUUGAAGUGUGGUUCUGUGCAGAAUAAUUAUUCUGCUGUGUCUUGUCUUUUGCCUCCCAUGACUUCCCUUUAGAGUUCCAGCUUCUCUGUGACUUAGAUGAACCAGACUGAGAAGCAUUUUUGUUCUGACCCUUUGAAUUCACAGUGAAUGAGGCAAAUGCCUUCUCAGCUGUAUCAACACUAUGCAUUUCAAGCCUUUGCUCCCGACUCUUCAAAAUGGCAGUUACUUCCUGCAAAUCCACAGUUUCUAGUGUCUUUGUGUUUUCAAUCACAAUGCAUAUAGGGUCAUACUUCUUACUUAGACUAAUUAACACCUUCUGAACCUACCUCUCAUUUGACAGAACUUCACCAAAUGUUUUCAUUUGGUUAAUCAAUUCAGUUAGUCUAGUAAGAUAUUCAGAUAAGGUUUCACUAUCACGCAUCCUACUGUAUUCAAACUCACGUCUAAGGUUUUGAAGCUUUACCGAUCUAACAUGCUCUCCACCAUGAUAUUCUGAGUACAGCAGAUUCCAAGCCAUCUUUGCAGAGUCAGCAUUGGCAAUUCUGGGAAAAAUCUGAUCAGAAACAGCAUUUUGAAUGAUACCCAAGGCCUUCGCAUCCUUCAUGAGAAUCGCAGCUGUUUUCUCAUCAACUUCUUCUUCUGAACCAUCCUCAGAUUCCUGCUUCGUCUUUGAAUCUGGGAUUAAAAACCCCUUCUCUACCAAACCCCAUAAACCAUAUGAUCUGAAUAUGGUUACCAUCUUAAUCCUCCAAAAUUCAUAGUUCUCACCUGAGAAAAUGGGGAUUCUAGCCUCUGAACUUCCAGAUCCAGCCAUUACGAAUUUCAGAUUCGCCUGGAAACAAGAUGUUUUCAGAUUUGACCCUUGAUCGAGCUCAAUCAGCUUCGUGAGCUUAGAAUGAGCUCACCUCGAUCGAUUUUCUUCACAGAACAACGCCCAGCUUCAGAUAAUCAAACUUGGCUCUGAGGCCAUGUUAGAGUUUUAGGAUCUGAGUGUUAGAUAUUGUGAGAAGAGAGAAGAGAAUUUAGUGAAAAUUUCCAAUACUGCUCUGCUAUACGUGUAGCAGAGAGAACAUUCUCUUUUGCUAUAUAUUUUCAGUACAACAACACACACUUGGUGUGAGAAGAAAAAUGACUGUUAUGCACAGUACCAGCUGGAUGCUUUCCAUCAAAGUAAUCUCAGCCAUUCACUAUCUAACCAAUCAAGCUAUGACACCUGGACUAAGUAUAAAGAAAUACAACUAAGCAGAAAACAAGACUCUUAAUCCUGAAAUCAACUUAAGCACUUAUAAUUCAACAUUGUUACCAUAAGAGCCAGCUCCGACUUUCUUUAAUUUCAGUCCUAACGGGGUUUCAUCUUCCACUCAUCUUUGCUCUUCUCAGUGUAAGCUCUGCAAUUUGAUUAACUUUCCCAUUAUCUCUCACUGUACUCUAUAUAAAGGAAUAAGUGUCGUCCACUAAUUAAUUACACUUUGUGAGAUUUGAUUUUAAUUAGAGUUCGAAUUGAUGUUGCAGCUAGCAGCGGUGGCACUGGCAAACCAUGCUGCUCAACCAGCACCUCAACUUUACUGGAACUCCGUCCUGCCAAACACACAAAUGCCAAGAGCUAUCAGUGAACUUCUGCAUCCUGGUUUGUGUUGAAUAAAUAUAGUAUGUUACUGGAGUACGUAUGGCAACAUAUUCACAAAUGUGUCACGUAUUUUCCAAUAUGACGUUGAUAUAUAAUUGCAGACUCCACAAACGAAGAAAAGAGCACAAAUGUCAUGAAUGCUGUUGGGAAUGGAAAGCCAAUUGACCACAAGGGCAACCUGAAAAUACUGUACUACCACAGCUUGCACGACGCCCAUUUUCUUACAAGAGUGAUGAUCGUCCCACUGACAAUCAACUCCAUUAUAAAAACGUAGCUAUUUUCUUCUUGGAGAAGGACAUGCGCCCUGGCACAACAAUGAGCUUCCAAUUCCCUAGAAAUUCAAACACGGCUACUUUCCUGCCACCAGAAAGAGCUCAAUCGAUCCCCUUCUCCUCUAACAAACUACCAGAAAUUUUCAACCAUUUUUCAGUGAAGCCAACAUCUGUGGAAGCCAAAACAAUUAAGCAAACAAUCGAAGAGUGUGAGGCUCCAGGCAUUAAGGGAGAGGAAAUAUAUUGCGCCACAUCUUUAGAAUCAAUGGUUGAUUUUAGCACUUCGAAUUUUCGAACAAGAAACGUUCAAGCAAUCUCGACAGAGGUAUUGGAAAAAGGUGCCACCAUGUCCAUGCACAAGCAUACAACAAUGCCGGGACUGAAGAAGUUGGCAGGUGACAAAGUCGUUGUGUGUCAUAAGCAGAACUAUCCCUAUGCUGUGUUUUACUGCCAUGUAAUAAAACCAACAGCAGCUUAUGUUCUCUCCCUGAAAGGCGAUGAUGGGGUGAAGAUUAAAGCAGUAGCCAUCUGCCAUCUAGACACAUCAGAAUGGAACCCAAAGCAUUUGGCCUUCCAAAUCCUCAAAGUUAAGCCCGGAACAAUUCCCAUCUGCCAUUUCCUUCCCACUGAUCAUAGUGUCUGGGUUCCGAACCACAAAUCUGCAUGAUCAUCACUUAGCACUGUACGUAUAAUAAGCUUGCACCCCUGUAUAAUUAUCUCCCUACUCUACUUAUUUCUGCCUCUUCAUGUGGUGUAAGAUAUAUGAUGAGAUGAAGUUUUUGGGAUUAGUGGUCGGGUUGCCUUAAAAACACAGAUUACAGAAACUGCUUGAACUUAACCCGAUCAUGUUUUCUCUUGUACUCGUAAAGCAUGCUGUUGUGGUUCUACUUAAUUUCGUUCUCCCCAAUGUUUGAGUGUUUAAUUGUUACGUUGGAUAAUGCUUGUAGUUAGAGAAGCCUUCAUUUAUAUCAAAGUCCUCAACUUGUAAAGAUAUCAAUGGUCCUAGUGCUGCCACGUGUAAGAAGAUUGAAGAAUAAAGCUGUUGAGAUAUUGUUAGACCUGUUAUGCAGUUUAGGAAAACUGUUAGUAUUGAUAAGAGAAGGUUAGAGAUGUUAGAGAGGUUAGAAAACACGUGAACAAGGCUUUAACUCAGCUGAUAUAAAGUCUGUAGUUGUGCUCAGUUGAACUUAAUGAGAAAUACAACAAGUCUCUUCUCUAUCUCUGAAAUUCUCUCUGCUCUCUCUGCUUUACUUCUUUUGUCUCUGCUCUACAUUUUUUUUCAAUCUUCCUAUCUUAACAAAACUAUCAAGAAUUAAUGCAUCCAGAAACAUAUAUACCAAGACGCAAAACAACAUAUUUUUCAUGCUCUGUCUGUAACACCAAAGCAAACUUCCUUUAUCACAAAAGGAUCAAAUUCCAGUACUAAUCUAAUCCAUCAUGUAAAGCAUACAAUCUACAAGUGCCUCCCUUAAUUUGUCCAUUGGAUAUAUAUGUCACUUUUUGGUAAUUUGGUAUAGCAGCACCACGUAGUCUUGAAAUAGUAGUGCGGCUAUACCAAAUAUACCAUUUGCCCCUGCAUUUAACAGAAAAGUAAACAAAAUUGACGGUAGAACUAUUUGUCCUAACGAAACUGCAGUUGAAAGACCAUGAGAACGAUUUUGAAAAUUGAGGGACUCAAAUGAAAAUUGGGUCUAAGUUCAAGAACCAAUAAAACGAUUAACCCAUAGAUUUUGGAUCCAGUACCACAUCCCAAAGAGAAAACCACAAGUUUGCAAGCAAGUUUGUCCAUAAUAACACUACGUACAGUAUGGGCAGUGCGCUAGACUCAUCUCACUUUCUCAACCUAUCCUAUAGUUGUCUAAAAGAGUUUCUAAUUUAAUGUACUGAGAUUUACGAAAGAAAUAUCAGAGAAACAAUUUUCAGGCAAUAAAAAAAUGUCUUGGCAAGAAAAUGUACAAUUUGUUACAUAACUUAUUAAAUAUGAACAGUUGAAAGAAAAAAGAAUCUGGAUGAGGGAUUUGCAAAUUCCUAUGGCCCAAUUACCUUUUUUUCUUUGUUGUUUUUUUUUUUUUUUUUUUGGUUCUUUUGAUCCAGUAGCAUAUUCCAAAGAAUGAAAACCACAGGCAUGCAAUGCAAGCUCUUUUCCCACGUUUUCCUCUGUUUUUCUCCUAUCAUGGAAGUGAUUAAAACACACCUCUAAGCUUGUUUUGCGUUUGGUAGCCGAGUGUAAAAGCUCAAUGCAAGAUAGUUUGAGGUAGAAUUUUCUCCUAUUUUAUUAGGACAAUGAUAAUUAAAAAAAAGUGUGAUUCAUUGAAUAUUUGCGGGGUUUUGUUCAGACCUGACAAAGUUCUAAGUCAACACAUCAAAUUCCUUUUUCCAACAUGCAACAAUUGUAUUUGAUUCCCAAUUUUUUCUGAUAUACAUCACAUCAUGCCACUUGCAUCAAAUGAAUUUAAUUGAGUGAGGCAAUGGGAAGUAAUUAAGCUCUGUAUUCGUGGGUGGAGUGUUACUUCUGGAACCCUAAUAAUUCGUCCCUACAGGACUCUAGAACUCUCAAACUUCUUACAAGGACUACUUAACUCUAUAGCUUAAUGCAUAUAGCAUAUAUAUGCAAACACAAUUAGAAAUUCUACAACAGAAGCAAGAUCAAUCUCACUAUGCCUUCUAAACAAACAAACAAAUAAAACAAGCAUAUUAAUUGCUUUAAUCACUCUACUAACAUCAACACAGCACACUUAGUUUACUAACAGAUGAUAUAGAAAGGAAAAAAAAGGACCAAUAGGGAGAAAAUGGUGAACUAAGGAGAGACUAAUACUUCUGGUCCUUAGAAGGCAUAACAGAAAUAAUAGAGCACACUGCUUGAAUGCAAGUCAGUAUUAGGAGCAAAACAGCUGCAAUGAAAGAAAUAGUUGCCCAAGGUGUAUUGAAAUAAUGUUGCCUCAAAUUUGCCUUCCAUUUGUUCCAAGGCUUUCUGCAGUAGCUAUUAAGGCGCUCAGAAAGAAUAGCAAAGUAGAAGCUUUCACGAUACACUGCAAUUCCUUUUCCGAGGUUGUUAAUCAGAGUGCACACCUCAUUGUAGUCACCAAGCAUAUUUUUGACAAUCCCAUCCUUCAGAAGGAACUCCACAUCCUUUUCGGUGUUCACAAACUCAUCCAUGAGUGAAACAUAAUCACUUAUGUAAUUCUUACGGCAAUGGCACUAUUCAAAGGCAAUGAGGUUACGGAGUGUGAGCUCUGUGUAAUCGUGUAUUUUUAGUUUUGGAAUUUCUAGAAUCCCAUCGUUGAAUUGUGUUAACGCAGCUUUCCUUUCCUAGCCUACACGGAAGUCAACUUCACAAUCUCCUCCUAGCAAUUAGUCUUUCCUGCUGUAAAUCAGAUUUCCUACUGUAAAUCGGAUUGUAUUCAUGUCUAUAUUAUUUCCUACUUUAAGUAGAUAUCUUGUACUAGUAUAAAUAGGGACUUUGUGUAAUCUGUUAAAUACAAGGAAAUAUAUACUCUGCAUGGUAUCAGCCUAACCUAGGGUUCUCUCUCUCUCCCUUAUUCGAUCCUCUUCUCCUUUAGGUCCACCUCAUGGCUUUGUCUGAAUCCACCAUCUCCCUCCCAAGCCCCAACUCUUCUAUUUUAUCAAGCUUAUUGACUCCAACUAUCUUCUUUGGCUCCGCCAACUCAAACCCUUUUUAGUCGGCCAUGACCUCUGGAAAUUUAUCGAUGGCAUUCAUAAACAACCUUCUGCCCACACCUCCACCUCUACCACCGCAACACCCACAACCACCACCACUCUUACCCAAAUCAAUCAUGCCCAUGCUCAGUGGUACCAACAAGACCAACUCAUUGUUAGCUACAUCACCAAUACACUCUCUGAGUCCAUUCUCUUUCUCACUGUUGGUUGCACCUCUGCCCGGGAUCUCUGGGAGUGUCUCCAACGCCACUUCUCUCAAUCCAGUAUGGCCAGUGAAUCUACUCUUCGUUUUAAACUCAUGGAUUUGCAAAAAGGCUCUGAACCCACUUAUGCUUACAUUCGUCAUGCUAAGUCCUUUGCCGAUUCACUGGCUGCCAUCAAUGAACCUGUCUCCCCAAAAGAACUUGUCACUACUGUGCUUUGGGGUUUAAGACCCUAUUGCAACAUCCUCGUCACAGCAAUUCUCAAUUUCCCUCUGCUUCCUAACUUUGCUAAUCUUCGUGCUCGUUUGUUAGCAUUUGACGCACAGACUCCUUGAAUCUCUCCUGAUCAAAACACAGCGCAAAUGGCCACCCAAUCCUCUCCUCACACCACCGGUCAUACUUCCUUCCCUUCUCACCGUGGUGGUGGCUCUUCCAACAACAGGCGUGGUGGCCUCGGUGGCUGGCGCAAUAGCGGCCGGGGUGGCUGGCGCAGCUUCUCAUCUUCCUGGAGCAACCCGUGGAAUGGCUUCCAGCAGCUCCAAUGACCUAAUCAACCAUGGCCUCCUUUUGCUCCAAGUUCUGGAUCUCAAAGCAACUGGCCUUCCUUUCAGCCUCCUUGGGCCUAAUCUGCCGCUUCUAUCAAACACUUUGCCCGGCCCAACUCAGCUCCUGGUGUCUUGGGACCCGCUUGGUGCACUACCUGCAAUACCAAUCACAUACUACUACAAUAUGUCCUCAUCGCUACAAUGGCCCAGAAUCCUUUCUUUGCUAGGGCUCAAUUCAUGUAGCCACCUGACUCUACUUGGUACCCUGACACAAGUACCACUCAUCAUAUGAUUGGUAGUCCUUCUAAUCUCCAAAAUCAAUCCUUCUAAUCUCCAAAAUCAACAGCCAUAUCAGGUUCAUAAUUCUGUAUUUCUUGGUAAUGGAGAUUCUCUCCCUAUCUCUCAUACUAGCUCUCUCUUUUGUCUUCCAUCUCUUCGUACUAAUCUUCUUUUUGUUGCCCAUUUUACUUGUGAUAAUUUAGUUUUCUUUGUCUUUACUCUUGACUUUUAUCAAAUCUAUGACUUAUGUACUGGUUCGUUACUCUUUCAGGGCCCUUCUAAAGAUGGUCUUUACCCACUUUCCAUCUCCUCUCACUCAUCCAUAGUCCCCCAUGCCCUUACCACCGUGCACUCUCCUGCUUGGCAUCAUUGCCUUGGCCAUCCAUUCCAUCGUGUGCUCUCUCAUUUAGCGCCAUCUCUAGGCUUUAAAGUUUCUCAUGCUUUCUGUAAGGAUUGUGCACUUAGCAAAUCCACCAAACUGUCAUUUCUUAGUAAUAAAACCUUUGCCCCAUCUCCCUUUUAUUUAAUUCACUCUGAUGUAUGGAUGUCCUCGGUCAUUUCUGUCACUGGUUAUCGCUAUUAUGUCUUGUUUACAGAUGACUUUUCUCGUUACUCCUGGAUCUAUCAUAUGCACCGUAAAAAUGAGGUCUUUUCUCACUUUCAAACCUUUCUUGCUAUGGUUAAAAAUCAAUUUCACACCACUGUACAAAUUCUUUAAAGUGACAAUGGCACUGAAUAUGUUAAUAAUGCUUUCUCUGAUCUUUGCAGUCAACUAGGCAUCCACCAACGUUUCACAUGUCCCCACACUCCCCAACAAAAUGGCCUAGCUGAACAUAAACACAGACACAUUGCCACCAUGAUCUGUCCCCGGUCAUUUAUUCAACCAUCUUGACCUUUUGCUUGAUCAUUUUCCACAAGCAACCGUCCACGUACCCCAAUAAUUUAAAAGGGCUGAUGAUCUUUAAUUUGGUGAAAGCUUCUAUCUACCUACCGUGCUAUAUAUGAGCUAUGCAAUCGUGACCGUGUUACAUGACGUCCCAAUGUCGUAGGGAUAAAAAAAUAAUAGUCAUGGUUUUCUUAUUAAUGUCAAUACAUUCAUAGCAAAGAGCUUGUAGCUCUAGUGGUUAAGAGCAAUUACCCAUGCACUUGAGAUAUUUUGUGUUUAAAUCCCCUCUUCCCCAAUAUUUCUUGUAUAAAAAUAAAAAUAACAAUAAUAAUGACAUUAAUGUUGUAUUCUAUAAAGUGUUGGACAUGUUUUAUACCCCUUUCUUGCAAAUUACAGUUUGCCACGUGUACAAAAAUAAUAGAUAAGUGUUGGACAUCAAGAGCACUUACAUAUAGGUUUAAUAGGUAAGUUUUGAAUAUUUCUGUAUUUAGCUUUAAAUAUUGAAAAUCAACCUAUUAGCAUAUUAAAGAUUUGUCCAUAUUCGACGUACAUUCUCUUAUUUUUCUCUCAUUGAAGUAAAUACAAAACUAAGCACAUAGUGGGAAAGUGCGUCACGAUUAGGGGUGGGUUUAGUCUAGGUUGGUUCAUUUUUGGGCUCAAUUUGAACACCGAACUGUAAGCUUCGGUUUGGCUAUUUUGGAAACCGAAACCAAACCAUAAUUGAUGAAAACCGACCACUUCGAUUACCUUCUGGUCUUCCAACCAGAAGAAAACUCAAAACUUUAACCAUACCAAGUGCAACAGAAUUACACCAGGCUGGAUUCAAGUUUAUGAUGGUUAAAGAUAAAAACUUAUUUGACAUACAAUUUGAGAAUGGAAUCCUCAAAAUUCCACACCUGCGAAUACGGGGUUUAACAGAAAUUUUCUUCCGCAAUCUUAUUGCCUAUGAGCAGUGUGAGCUUCAUGAUCAUUACAUCAACGACUAUGUCUUCAUCAUGGACCGCCUGGUCGACAGUGCCAGGGAUGUGGAAUUGCUUGUGAAGAGUGGAAUUCUUGAAUCUAUGCUACCGGACAGCGAGGCAGCAGGGGAAUUUAUUAAUUCUCUUGACUUGGGGCCUAUUUUAGGCAAGCUUGAAACAAGACUAUUUCAGUUCACCAUGGGCUGGCCUGUCUAUUAUUGUAGCCGCUAUACUAGUUGUGCUCACAUUUAUUCAAACAGUGUGCUCCGUAAUGGCGCUGUAGGUUCUUCAUUUCCUCAAUUUCAUGUUUAGUGGUUGCAGAUUUGUUGCUCAUGUACGUGUUUAUCUAAAGUUAAAUAAGAGUGAUUGACUGGAUUGACUGUUAGUCUGUUAGUUUGUUUUUCUGGGGUUUUUCCCCCCUGUUCGUCAAAAAAAAAAAUAAAAGAGUGAUGGCUUGUGCCUAUGAAAAUUACUUAGGAGUAUGCUCCACAGAGCCAAAAUAAAUAAACUAGGGAAGUGGAGGUUCUUCUGUUUGUAUAUAAAUGAGCAAUUCAAACUCUCAGUGCCAAGGGAGUUACCCUUGAUACAUUUGUUAAAAAUUAUAUAUUUGGUCUUACAUCAAACAAAUAAUUUGAAGGGCUUUUUUGACAACUGCUGACAGCGUUUGGCAGAAAAGUUUAGAAGCGCUUCUACGCUUCUAGAUCAUAAAAGUGCUUUACCAAAAAGCACUUAGAUUUCUUAUGAAAAUUUCAACAUUUUUAUAAUAAAAGCGCUUGCUAGAAGCACUUAUAAGCAGAAGUGCUUCAUAGAGAAGCAGUCCCAAACGAGCUUGAUUUUCAAAUGUGCUGCUUAAGAAGAAAUUUAAUACGUUUUGAAAACAAAAAAAAAUACGAAAUUUAAUACGUUUGUUUUACAAAUUGUAUUAAUUGUUAUCAAUAAUACUUGUGCACACCCACAACAUACUUCUUUCUUUCUUUAUUUUCCUUCAGUACAGUUCUGCCUUUCUUUAAUUAUUUUUAACGAAUGCAAAGAGUUUGUCACAAAAUCAAGGAUUGAAAAAAAAAGAGAGUAAAUUAUGUGCUAGAGAAACUUUCCUGCAGAAAUUGAAGAACAACUCUAGUUUCUCUCUUUCGCCUUGUACUCCCGCACUGAGGUUAGUAUUGUUAUAAUGUGCAGAUUAUACGGUCACUCUUGUAUAAUGGCGAGAAGGCUCUAAUUAUAUUUUUGAACCUCUUUGACAGGACCCGCCCCGAAUUUCCCGAAACCCAAGACGAAUUCUGUGGAAAUUCCCUACAUCACCCCGAUGUUGGGCCCACUUCUAAAACUAUAUCAUUUUUCCUAAAAAGGAAUAAGGGCACGAGACUUUCUACCGAAAUUUCGGCAGAGUCUCUCCUGUAAAUUGAACAUUUCCCAAAAUUUCAACCUGCAUAAAACACAUUUUAUAUUACCCAACUGGCAGCAUGCACAAAAUAAUAACAUGCAAUUCACAUAAACGGCCUCUGGCCCUCCGGUAAUUCAGAGCAAUGCAAACUAGCAACUCUAAACCUAAUAAAACAACAUAAGUAACAUUUAGCCAGCGGCUGCACCCAGGCACUACCCUAGGCUACCUACGUACCCUUACUAAGGGAUCAAGCCACACGUAGUUCUUUCAUACAAAAUUUCCAAAUCCAUCAACAUGCAAUCAAUUACAGAAUCCCAAACAAAAUCUUUCUCAAACAUCAUUAGUUCCCAACUCAGUAUAAUAAUCCUUAAUUCAUCUCUGUAAUAAUCACAAUAUCUCCCCAUACGCCGGAACUACCAACACCACGUAUGGAGCCUGCCUGUACGCCAGAUAACCAACGACACGUGGGACCUCAUCAUCAUAUCACAUAAUCUCCCCAUACGCCGAAACUACCAACACCACGUAUGGGGUCUGUCAACACGCCGGAUAACCUACGACGUGUGACCUCAACAUCAAAUCACAAUAUCUCCCCAUACACCGGAACUACCUACGCCACGUAUGGGGUCUGUCCACAUGCCGGAUAACCUACGACACGUGGGACCUCAUCAUCAUAUCACAUAAUAUAUUAACGAUCAAGAAAUAUCACUACGGUCAUUUAAUCCUCCUGGGAAGGUAAAACUAUCUCAGGAGACUCACGGUCAACCAAGGGUCAAACUACCUCAUACUUGGACAAACGAGCCCACGGAGCCCACAACCUCCGUUUUACUAUCCAAGAGUUCCUAUAGGUUCUACAAGGUUUAGGAUACACGGCUUGCAAGUUUGGUCAAGAUCAGACGGUCGGAUCGCUCACGAUAGGACGGUUACUGCAAACCUAGCCCUAGGGUUGGCAUUUUCGGAGUAUCCGAAACUCCGUUUUACGAUCUGUCGAAUCAUAGACGAUCCUAAGGAUUUGCAGACUAACUAUAAUAAAUUCAAGACCAUCCAACGGUCUAAACCUAUCGAACCCGGAUAACGCGCAAUAGGCAAUAUCCAAAUUGAAAUCCGAGCACACCUACGCACUCGUGAGGACUAGGAGAUUACAUCGGGACAUAGUGCCCUUUUUCUACAGUGCCCAUGAGCCGCCGCACGCACCAGCAACGCGUGGGUGCCCAAAGCGAUUAUGCAUCGCCAAAAAAUCUCAAAACCACGGCUCAAGACUCCUACCCUAGGUAUAACACCCUAUUUGGAACCACUUUUGUUCUUGGACCUACCCCAAAAACUGAUCAGAAGUGGCCGGAAUGGCUGAAAUGUAAUUCAAAAAUCAAGCUACCAACGCUCAAAAUCGAUGCAAUCCUACCCAACCAUCAACUAGAUUAUGAAGAAUGGAUAAAUUUCCAUACCUUGAUCGCCAACAAUGGCGGCCGGAGGAGAGAGAUCUGAUCCGGCGAAGUUCGAGUGAAAACGGCCAAAAAUCAUCUUUUUCAGGCGGCUGGAGGGCGACCGAUGUCAGGGAAGGGCAGGGUCGUGACGCUAAGGCUGAGCCUGUCCUUUUGGCACCGGUCCCUUCCGCAGCCGUGUCCGGUGGCUGGAGUUUCGAAGAGAGAGAGAGAGAGAGAGAGAGAGAGAGAGAGAGAAAUCUGAUUUUUAUCAAACCUUUUUGCCAAAAUUACGGUUAUGCCACUGAGGGUAUUUUGAUAGUAUCUCUCUCGUUACAACUUCGAUUCGAGCCCACCACGUGUGUACGGACUCAUCUAACUGUGUUGUACGCAACGGUAUAGUCGAAAUUCCCAAAUUAUUUCCUUGUCAAAAAGUCAACUUUAAACAUUAUAAAAUAUUUUAGGGAAAAAAUGGUAUUUUCUCUCAAUAAAUUAGUAACUAAUUUAUUUAGGACUGGGUCAUUAUACUCUUUUUCGCUUCAAUGGAUGGGAAAAAAUUUUAUGUAAUAUCCCACAUCGACCAACGAAGAGGGGGCGAUGUGUCUUAUAUGUACAUGCCCGCCUCCAUCUAGCAUAAGGCCUUUUGGAAGCUCACUGGCUUCAGAGUCAUGGGAACUCCGAAGUUAAGCGAGUUGGGGGCUAGAGCAAUCCCAGGAUGAGUAACCCACUGGGAAGUUGCUCGUGAGCUUCGAGAAACAAAACCGUGAGGGCAGAGAGAGGGGCCCAAAGCGGACAAUAAGGCCUCGUGCUAGAUGGAGGCGGGCAUGUACAUAUAAGGCACAUCACUCUCUCUCCGUUGGUCGAUGUGGAAUGUUAGAAUGGAAUUGUUACCUUUGGUGUGGAGGUGUUCUAUCAUUUGAGCAAGAAAUUCCCACAUAUUCUUCAACUAUUUUUCAAGCAUGCAUAUUCCUCCCUAUCAAUCUUUGGUUUCUUCCUUUACUGUGCAUAGUAAGGAUCCAGUCAGGGACGGACCGUCGCUAUGACUAUCCUGGGCUAUAGCCCAGGCAAAUUAUUUUUUUUUCUAGUCUAAAAUAGCAAUCCCACCGCUUGCUGUAGUACUUGUUCAGUUCGUCACAAACAUGAGCAUAAUAGAAGUUAUCAACAUCUAUAUAGGAACCCCAAUGAAAAGGCUGUUAACUAAUAAUGAAGUUAACCCGUCAAUUUUUCCGCAUAUCAGAUAUCUCUCAGAAUAUGCGAUUCCAUAUUCAAUAAGCCACUCCACAUGCCCUGAGGUUUUCAUCAAACCACCCAUUAAGGAAACAUACUGACUCAUGUAAUUAUCAUUACUCAUCGGGUAAUGCAAUUGUUCAAAGGCAAGGACAUUUCUCAUUAUUUAUGUAGCGAACCCCAAUGGAAAUGGUGGGAUCUUCAGAACCCCAUCGGUGCUACUGAAUUGUAUGUCAAAUAUGUUUUCACCUUGUCACGCCUCAAACUUGACUCCAGCGUGCUGUAAUUCUGUCAAGCUGGGUAUGGAUGAUGGGAGUUUGAUGCAGGAGCAUAGGGGUGGAUCAAGAUAGAUAUUUACUAUUUAAUUAGUUAUUUCAUGAUAUAUUGUUAUUUUCUUAUUUAGGUAGUUUUAUGAUAUCUUUUAUUAUUUAUGUGUGAUUUUAUAAUUAAUUAGUAUACUUUUGGACCAAGUAGCCUUGGUGCUCAAGUCUUGUAAAGCCUAUAAAUAAGGCUAAUGUAAUAGUUGUAGAAUAGAUGUCGAUGAUUAAUAAAAUCGUUUAUUUGUGGCAUGGAUUUGCUACGAUAUAUGUGAGUUUGCACUAGCCCUAGAUUUCAGUGCUCGUGUAUGUGGUUGGUGACCUGUGUCCGGAUCCCGAUCCCCAUCAAUUGGUAUCAGAGCUAUGGCUCAAGAUCUGCUAUAUCGGGGAGGUUUUUGGAUGGAGGGUCGUUUUAACAACUACAACGACAUGGAGGAAAUUAGGAGGAUGCUACGGCAACUUAUGGAACACAUUGCUCGCAUUGAAGCUCGAACCCAGAUAGGUAAGAGUUCUGACGGGGAGGGAUGUGUGAACCCUUAUCUGAACCGAGUAGCUCGCAUCGACACUCUAAGCCGUGAGAGUCUCGACGGGGAGUACGAGGGAGAUAGCCCUUUUCAUUAUUGUGCUCCGCUGUGUGAGUCAAGUGAAGAGGGGCACGGUUAUUCUCAUUGUGUCUUUGAAGGUAUAAAUGAAUUUAGUAAUUUUGGUGCAUCUUGUUAUUCAUCAAAGUUAUUAAAUUUGGAUUUACCUCCAUUAUUUGAUCCUUGCAAUUGUGAAAAUUGCAAUAAAAAUUGUUUGGGUGUUCAAAGCAAUUUUGAUAAGCAAUUUAUUGACCAGAACAGUGAAGAGAUGAGAAUUGAGAAAACUUUCGAAGAUAUUAUUGAUUUUAUGGGCAUUAAUAUUUUCACUUGGAAGGUUGCCAAAAAUCUGGUUGAUUUUGUCAAUCGGUUGAAGAUUCUAGAGAGAAACAUUUGCAUUGCUAGAGGGAGUAAGAAGUCAAGAAUAACGAAAUAUUCCAAAUAUCUUUUUAUUUGGAAAGGAAGGUUUCAAUUGGAUGCUAAAAGAUCCAAAAUUAAUAUGCAGCAAUUGAAGAUUCUACUCGGAUUUUCCUUAAUCAAAGGCUUGAAUUCGAGGACGAAUUCUUUCCAACUAUGGGAGUCUGAUGCAGGAGCAUAGGGGUGGAUCAAGAUAGAUAUUUACUAUUUAAUUUGUUAUUUCAUGAUAUAUUGUUAUUUUCUUAUUUAGGUAGUUUUAUGAUAUCUUUUAUUAUUUAUGUGUGAUUUUAUAAUUAAUUAGUUUACUUUUGGACCAAGUAGCCUUGGUGCUCAAGUCUUGUAAAGCCUAUAAAUAAGGCUAAUGUAAUAGUUGUAGAAUAGAUGUCGAUGAUUAAUAAAAUCGUUUAUUUGUGGCAUGGAUUUGCUACAAUAUAUGUGAGUUUGCACUAACCCUUGAUUUCGGUGCUCGUGUAUGUGGUUGGUGACCUGUGUCCGGAUCCCGAUCCCCAUCAGAGUUCCCCUCCAGCUUUUGAUUCCAACGGUUGAUAGAGUUUAAAUAUUUUCCUGAAAAGAUCAAUAAUAUGUGCCACUGAUCUAAAAGUCUCCAAAUUGUCUUCCAAUUUGUCAACAGGCAAUAGAUGUUCGAAGAAACUGAAAGAAAUACAAAUUAUUGAAAGCCCCUCAGUAAUGCUGUUAUUGUCAGCAUUAGCAGGGAGUGUAAUUUUCUGUGGGUCGAAAAGAUCCUCGAGAAUGAAGAAUGGCAACUGAUUUUCAAGCAACCACGUAUCUGUCCAUGCAUCUUGCAACAUACCUGGUUUGUCAAAUAUGCGGUCAUUUUCGUCCCAAAAUUUGAAGUAGUCCUUCAAUAAGGGCUCAAUAACGAAGGCGGCGCCCACUAGAAUGAUUGUUACAAAUUCAUCACUGCUAAACUUGAUGGGUUCUCCAUAACAACGUCUCAAUCUUGCUUCGUGGUCCUUUAUUUUCUUAAUAUAAUCCUCCAAACUCACAUUGGUCCGACCUAUAAAAUCUUGCAGGUAUCUCUGUUUGUUCUCUUCCAAUACGACAUUCAAGCCUUCCUUUCCAUGGUGAAGUGGACCUAUAGAGACCGACUGCCUGAGGUGUGCAGAGCUUUUCAUUCACACAUACGUAGAUAAAAUGUCUGGGGGCUCAGAGAGUGAUGAAUGUGCAACAGCUAAUGGGAGGGUUUAUAUUCCUGAAGUAAGAAAUGAGGAAACACCAGCAGUUGGGAUGAAGUUUGACUCGCUUGACCUCGUUUACAAUUUCUAUAAUAGAUAUGCAUUCUUGGCUGGCUUUGGUAUUCGACUUCAUUCUAGCUUUUGGGGGAAAAAUAAGAAAGAGAUUUUGAGGAAAGAAUUUGUAUGUUGCAAACAAGGUGCAUACAAGAAGGAUGAAACUCGGGAGAGAAAAAGACAACGGGGAAUAAGUAGAUGCAAUUGCAAAGCAAAGAUUGUGGUUGUGAAGACAAAUGGGAGCAAGAAGUAUACCAUUUCUCUUUUUGCAGAGGGACACAAUCAUAAGAUGACACCCUCAGAAAGAAUGCAUUUAUUGAGAUCACACCGUCAUAUUUCAGAUUCUACAAAAGUACUCACAAAACAGUUGGGUUCAGUUAAUAUUCCCAUUCAUCAGAAGGUAAGUAUAUUCGAGGUGCAAUCCGGAGGAAUGGAUAAAAUCGGUUUUAUCAAAAAAGAUAUCUACAAUCUUGAAUGUAGUGUGAAUGGGAAGCUGAGGAACCACGAUGUUGAACUAGUGACCGAGUAUUUUAUGGCUGAACAGAAAAAAAAUGAGGCUUUUUAUUUCAAGAUUGAGGGAGAUGGGCAUGACAGGUUUAGUCGAUGUUUUUGGGCAGAUGCAACUUCUAGACGGGCGUAUGGGUUUUAUGGAGAUGUUGUUGUAUUCGAUACCACAUUCAACACGAAUCGAUACGACUUGACAUUUGCACCAAUGUUGGGAGUUAAUAACCAUGGUCAGACAAUUGUCUUAGCAUGCGCAUUUUUGAGCAAGGAAACGACUGAGUCGUUUGUUUGGAUGUUUGAGGAGUUUAAGAAAGCCAUGCCAGGUGGGGAACCUAAAACGAUCAUUACAGAUCAAGAUGCGGCAAUGGCCAUAGCGAUUUCAAUAGCCUUCCCGAGUACAUUUCAUCGACUUUGCAUAUGGCACAUCACAUCAAAGUUCUCUGUUAAGUUACCACGUGACGCUUAUAAGGAGUAUUGGCCUGAAUUUCAGAAAGCCAUAUGGGAUACUGACAAUAAGGAUGAGUUUGAUGCAAAAUGGAAUAUUGUGGUUAUAAAGGCUGGUUUGACUGACCAUCCAUGGCUAAGUUCAAUGUUUGAUUUAAGGGAAUCUUGGGUUCCAGCCUACGCACGACAAUUUUUUGCCGCUGGAAUGUCAAGCAGCCAAAGAGCGGAAGGUUCUCAUGGUUUUUUCAAGCAAUACAUAUCAAGGAGAAAUUCGUUGAUGGAUUUCAUAAUACGAUUUGAGAGGGCAUUUUCUCAUCAACGUGAAAAAGAGUUAGUUGCUGAUCACGUAGAUGCAUUUGAAGUGGCUCAAUGUCUUCUACCGAUGCCAAUGAACAAACAAAUGGCUACCUUGUACACAAGGACAAUGUUUCAAAAGUUUGAGCAAGAACUAAUACAAAGUACAGCAUGUUUCCUAGAGCUCAAAACAGAGGAUGCAUGUAAAGUUGUGUUCAACGUGAGCGAAAGGAAAAAUUGGGAAACAAGAGUGGCAGAAGUCGUAUAUGUCAAAGAUUCUGACCACGCAUCGUGUAGCUGCAAAAGAUUUGAAUUUGUUGGAAUUAUUUGCAAGCACAUCCUAGCAUUGUUCAGAAGGGACCAGAUUGAAUAUAUGCCCGAUAAAUAUAUUUUGAAGAGGUGGAAGAAAACUGCGAAAUGUGGAUUGGUGUCAGAUGCAAAUGGCAACGAAAUUAAAGACUGUGCAGAUCCUGGCCUUCUAAUAAAGCGGAGUACAAUGUCUCGACUUGCUUCAAAUGUGGUUGAGGAUGCAUUAAUGAGUGAAGAAGGAUGUGAGCUACUGUCAGAGACUCUAAAAAGUUUGCAGGUGAAGUUGAAGUUGCUGAAGGAUGGACCAAGUAAUAACGAAGUUGGAGGGUCCAGCUCUCAAACACAAUAUAUGAAAGACCCUAAGAGAGUGAGGUGCAAAGGAAGGUCGAAAGGAAUAACGGGAGCAAAGGAAAAGGCAAUGAAGCGAGGGAUUAGACACUGUCGGGAGUGUGGACACAUUGGUCAUGAUAGAAGACAAUGCCCAGCCUUGAACACACCGUAAGAUGCUACCACUAUUUGUAAUAAUAUCUAAAAUAUGAAAAGGUAAAAUUUUUAUGUGCUUGUGUUUGAUGUUUAUGCAGGACAUCACCGUCGAACAAUGACAAAUCAACUCCAAUACAUCGUAGUGACCCAUUAUUCGACGAUUUUGACAAGAUGCACAGACCAACUGAAUGAUUGAUAUUUGUAUUAGACGAAAUGUGGUUGUUAUGAAGAUUAAUGAUCAAGUGAAGUUUUAUAGAUUCAGUUUUUGAAUGUUAUUGUGUUUUUGUUCAUGUCCACCGAUGAGCUCUUACUAUGUCCACUGGUAAUUGAAAUGAAAAUUUUCUUGGUUUCAUUCUUCCAAGACAUUUGGAGACAUGUUAAUUUUACGUCUUCUCCCUAUUUAUAAAUUUUCAUAGACAUUUGAUCAAGUUUGAAAUUUGUAGUUAUGUGAAGAAGCAAUGACUCUUACCAUGUAAAAUGGGCAGUUUAGGGUGAAAUUUGUUUUAACAGAGAUUCAUUUUUCAAUUCCUCAGGGUAAUGCAGCAAUUACAGCAGCCAGCUGUUGUUUCCAUUACCAGUAAUCAUUUCCAGCAGCAGCCACUUUUUCCGACUGGUUAUUAGGGGCACGAUUUUGUACACUUUUGUAAGUGAAGGAUACUCGAAGCACUUUGUUGGAACAGAGCAAAUAGAAACCAGCGGGUAAAAAAAAAACAUAACAUUGCAGCUAAUUACAUUUCGAUACAUAGGUGAAAAAUAUUAAAGGGUACACUAACUUACAUAAAUACUCAUAAUUCCACACACAAAAGAACAUUUGAUUGCAAAACAUAUUAUGUGCUUCCUCAUAGCAAUACCACGAUCUCCCCAACCAACUGAACAACGGUAGCCACAAUCACUGGGUCGUACUCGUCAGCUUCUUCUUAGCAGGUCUCACAUGCUUAUGGCCACUCAUAUCCCUAGUGAUAUACACGAAAUAAAUCUUCAGCAAUAUUUGGAAUUUUAUUAUAUAUAAAUAAACCAUAAACCAUUCAGUAAACAAUGUAUAGCACAUGUUAUGUAACUUAUGACUCACGUGUCAGUUUUUUUUUUAACACAUUAGUACUCCAGCUCUUUAAUGUAAAUGGACAUGAUAAGGAGCAUUUACUGAUUCCCGGCUUUCUAUGAUAUUGACUGCUUCUUGAAUAAUAUUUCCAUAUUUGCAAAAUAUAAUGUUAGACAUUAUAACACAUGAUGACUUGCAAUACAUAGUCCCAAUAAUUAUAUAUCAAGCAAAUGAAACUGAUAUUUGUGUUAUUUUAAGUUAGAUAAUGACAUUAAGGGAGUAUAUGUGCAAUACCACGGUCACCCUCAACCAACUGAACAGCGGUAGCCGCAAUCACUUAGUCGUAUCGGUCGGCUUCUUCCGAGCAGCUUUGACGUGCUUAUGCUCAUUCAUGUCACCCCCAUCGUCUAGUAUCUCUCUCACAGCAUCAGGGGACACAUAGUUCCAAUCAUAACUUGUAUGAGUAGUUGCCGCAAAUGCUCGGAAUUUGUCGAAUCCUUCGUUGAAUGCCAACUCCAGUUCAGUAUGGUGCUCUUCGCAUCGCAUAUGGUUCAUCAAACAACCUUUGAUUUCAUCAUUCAUUACUGUAUCCAACUCCUCAGCUUUCAGCUUCCUGCUAUGACUCAGCUUCAAGUACUUGUUCUUUUGGGAUAACGCUUUGUUCACCCUAAUGUUAAGAUCAGCCAAAAUUGCCUCGUCUUCAACACAUUUCUCGUGCCAUGAAUUGAUCAGUCUGGAAUUAUAAUCCAGCUUGCCACUGACUGCAUGUAUUGCCUGUAAUGGAUCAUCGGAGUCCCCCUCACUCCCAAAUGAUGUUGAAAAAGGAAGGGGUCGGCGAGUACAAUGUGGAAAUAGAACCUGCCACUCCAAUUUGUCAUCUUCGAUUGUGUUGUUGGCGCCUGAAGAGGUUGACAUGCUUGAAUAAUCCUCUUUGUUUUGGGAGGAUGAGGAUUGCAUAUGCAAUUUCGUUUGAGAAAGGGAACAUAGGUUUAUAGACCAACAUACCAAAGCUUGUGUGUAGUCAACAUAUGUACUUUUUGGCGGGAAUUUUUUAAAAAUAGGUGUUAGGUUUUGCUUUUCAAGCAUGUCAACCUCACACUCUCCUGACACCACUGCUAGUGGUUGAAACAAAGUCAAUGGAAGUGACAUCUACUUAGUUAACUCAACCAAACUAGUUAGGAUUAAACUUAGAUUGUAUCAGACCAAAAAAUAAUUUCUACUUUGUCAACCAAAUAUUUUUUGGCGGGAACCCUUUUCUUGGUAUUACUAUCACCCCUUUCAUAUAAAAUCUCCUUCCACACAAAACUCACUCCUCCACCGAAUCUGUCUCCAUCUACCGAUACUCUCUCAAGCAAACAAACUCAUUCCCCCCAAAGAAUGAGCAUAAGCACAACCAAGUUUGAUGUGAGCAUAAUAAACACCCCUCCAAACAAAGACCGGCUUCGACACGCAAGUGAGUCACCGGACAAGCAAUGUCACAUUGCUAGACAGAAUGACCAUUUUGUUGGAAGUUUUGAGUCUGAAAGAGUUGUUGCUUUUUGGAAGGAGAGGCAUCUUCAACUUGGUGAUGAAAUCCAAAGGGCAAGGGCACGUUUGGAAUUUGUGGAAGGCCAAAUUGAAGAUGACAAAAGGCAGGCCAAUCUGGAUAGGGCGAAGUUGUAGCGCAUGAAGCGUAGACACAAACGACUUCGGAGUGUAGCUGUUCAAAAAUACAAGAACUCAUCUAAUGUAGUGGAGUCAAAGAAGCGUGUGAUGCAAGCUGGAUUCGACUACUUCCGAUCCUAUGCAAAACUCGUCGUACCCGGGUUUGAUUGGUCAUCUAUUACCGUUUCCGACGUCACCAAAUAUACUCAGCAAGGGAAGUAACCAUUUUGGUUCUCGUGUUUUAGCAGAGGCAAAUAAGUGGAAUUGGAAUUUUGGUUACACUCUGCUUCAAAGCUAUUUUGAUGCUAACUACUAUGGAAGAUUUAAACCUUAAUAUUUUGAUGUCUUUAAUUACGAAAACAGAAGAUGCAAAGAGCUCAUCUACUUCAGCCAUAUGUUGCUGCCAUGUCCAUUUGUUUUUGAUCACUUAUCAGAUUUGGACAUGGUUGCAUCAUAUGCAAUGUUGCCUUUAUUUAUUAUAUGUUAGGACAAGGUUUAUGGAAAAGCUUUUGUGAGUGCGUUUGUGACAAGGUUAUGGAAUUAUUAUGUACACUUUAUAUAUUGUUUUUUGUACUGGUUCAUUUCCUACUAUUUCUUGCUUUCUUUAUAUUUUAUGUUUGUGGAAUCCCUCUCAAAGUUAACAUAUACUGUGAAAAAAAUAUUAUGCAACUGAUUAUAUAAUCACUCAUAUAGACUAGGACAAAUAUUCACUAAGGGUUUUAAACUUGCUUCACUUGUGUGAUGUUAUUGACAAAAAGUAUGGCAUUAUUUAUGUGAUUUGACAUGAUUGAAAAUAUAUUACUGAUUCCCAAUGCGGCGUCAUAUGGACAACGUAUUGAAUACCUGUGACGUGUUAAUAACUCAAGGUGCAGUUGCAUGUGGACAACUUCUUGAAUACCUCUGACGUGUUGAAAACUCUAGGUGCAGUUGCAUGUGGACAACUUAUUGAAUACGAACUGACGUCUUCAAAGCUCUAGGCGUAGUUGCAAUGAUGGCUUCAAAGCAUGUGCAAUUAUUUUUUAUGUACAUUAUUAUAACAAAACAUAUUAUUGUAUAUAGUGAAACUAAAUAUUGUAUUAUUAGAAAUUAUAUUUCGAAUAUUAUCCGAAAUAUACGUGUUAACGUGAAUUUGGGUUAAGAGGAAAGUGAGUUAUGUACAAAUAAUUUUCAUUUUCUCAUUUUCCGGGCAUUUUUUGGAUUUUCGUAGAAUUUAUUACCUAUGUCCACAGAUUGUUGCACUAAAAAAGCCAAAAUAAUAGCAAGAGGACACCUGGAGCGAUCUCAGCCCGUCACUGAUGACUACUUGCACAAGUGUACGUCAGUCAACAUGGCCACACCCUCCCAUUUUACCCUAAAUUAUUAUUUUAUUACUUUUCCUUACAAAAAUCAGAACUAAUUACACACAAAAUAAAAAAAUUAUCCGAAAAUUGCUACGAACUCAUUGACACUCCAUCUCCGUUGCUGAAUUCUCCGAUUCAUUGUUACGUAUUUGUAAAAUUAAUUCCCAACAUUAACGGGAGAUGCUUGUUGAAGUAGGUUAUUCAAGUUGAAGUUAACAAACAUCAAUACUUAGGGUUAAGAGGAAAGUGAGUUAUGUAACACAAUUUGGAUUAUUUCAUUGCGAGACGAAUGAUUUAUAGGUUCUCCUAGUUUUAUGACGUCACAAGUAGGCCGGAGUAAUUUUUGGGGCAUUUUUACGAUUUUCCUACUAUUUUUUACCUAGUUUCAAAGAUUUUUGAACAAAAGAAUCCAAAAUGUAAAAGAAGAUGACACCUGGCGCGAUCUCAGCCCGUCACUUUUCACUACUUGCACAAGUGUACGUCAGUCAACAUGGCCACAUCCUCUCAUUUUACCCUAAAUUAUUAUUUUAUUACGUUUUGUCUUGGAAAAUUCAUAACUAAAUACACAAAAAUUCAAAAUUAUUUCUGAAAAUUGCUACGAACUCAUUGACACUCCAUCUCCGUUGCUGAAUUCUCCGAUUCAUUGUUACGCAUUUUUAAAAUUAAUUCCCAACAUUAACGGGAGAUGCUUGUUGAAGUAGGUUAUUCAAGUUGAAGUUAACAAACAUCAAUACUUAGGGUUAAGAGGAAAGUGAGUUAUGUAACACAAUUUGGAUUAUUUCAUUGUGAGACGAAUGAUUUAUAGGUUCUCCUAGUUUUAUGACGUCACAAGUAGGCCGGAGUAAUUUUUGGGCCAUUUUUACGAUUUUCCUACUAUUUAUUACCUAGUUUCAAAGAUUUUUGAACAAAAGAAUCCAAAAUUAACAAGAAUAUGACACCUGGCGCGAUCUCAGCCAGUCACUUUUGACUACUUGCACAAGUGUACGUUACCGAACAUGGCCACAUCCUCCCAUUUUACCCUAAAUUAUUAUUUUAUUACCUUUUUUCUUGGAAAAUUCAUAACUAAAUACACAAAAAUUAGAAAAACGAUCCGAAAAUUUCUACGAACUUAUUGCGAUUUCAUCUUCCUACUGCAUUCCCUGUUUAAUGGUUAUGCUACAUUAGUAUUUUAUUAUUAUUUAUCCACAAUUAUUAUAAUUAUUAUGAUAUUACUUUUUAGGCUGUCCAUUUGUUAAUUAUACCACAUCCAACUUGUUGAAAACAAUUUUAUUUUCCGUGCGAAUAGGCCAUUUGUAGUGCUUAUCGGUUUCUCUGUUCUUCAAUUUGUUAAUUUUUUUAUUUUUUAGGUUGAAGGGAUGUUUUGAAACAUAAUAUGGAAAUAUACAAGUCAUCCAUUGUACUCCUUCCACACAAAAAAAUAGUCUACGUCAUUCACUGUUCAACACCCUAGGUUAAGACACGUGUAACCAAAUCCGUUCGGAUAUGCUAAGUGGGAAAAUGUCAUUCCCAAGCACUGGUGAAAAGACACUUAUUUACUCCAUGCAUGACUUUUGGUUUACCAAAUAUGAAGAUUGGGGUCGGUGAGCAAAAUAUCUGUGUCAGUAAAAUGUCAUUCCUAGCCAUCUAUGAUGUAAGUAAUAAUUCCGCUAUAUAAUAAAUAUUAUACAUUUAUAUAUAAAACGGUUUAUGACAAAAUACCAACAUUUGAACAACAUUUAAACUGAGAUAGGUAUAACGUAGCCAGCCAACCUAGAAGUGAAGAGAAGCAAGUCCACAAUGCAUCAAAACUGUAAAUUCGUACUAAAACUAAUGCAAAAAUACGUGAUUCCCUCGCACAACUUACUCACGCAGGAUUUUGCACCAAAAAAUACUCUCACGGUGCCAUUUGCAUCGGUUGCAGCAAGUCCAAAACGCAGGAUUUAUCUUGUCUUCACUAGGCCACCCUGGAAUAACAAAAUACCAUUCAUUGUUGUUACAAGCGCUGCACCGAUUGAACUUAAUCUUCCCAUAGUCAAACAUAUCUACGAUAUGUCUUGCAACAAAUGCUCCGCGACAUCUUCCUGUUAAAGCAUCCCUGGUUCCUUUCAUAUCAAUGUUGUUACGUUGAUUCAAAGAACACAAGAAUUGUAAUGCAUCCUCUUUUGACUGACCAAUUCCGGACAUACCAAGUAGUCCAACUACAUAUGCCGCUUCCAUAUGGCCUGCCGUGGCUGCAAUGCGCAUCCCAUACAACGCUUCCACCUUACCGUCUGUGAAAAAACCUUCGAAUGCUUCUCUAAAUAUGGACUCAGGGUUAUCGCAAGCCCUGCAUUGUUGCAAGAAAUGCUGGACUGCAGGUUUGGCACGGUAGCAGAUAGGAUGGUGUGGGUACUUUGCCAUUGAAAUGGUGUUCCACACUUGUGGACUGUUUGCCAAAAUGUUGAACAAUCGGCACACACAUGCCAUACGGAAGAGAUCUUCCGAUGAUUCGGUUGCCACGUAUAACAUCACUUGAAACCAAGCGGACUCCGGGAUAAAGGCUUCGGGCAUAUCGAAAUGGAGAUGCUUCCUUCUCUUUCCUCCGACUGUAGUGAAGUGUUUCGAAUUCAUUGAAAAGUUUUUGGAAUGGAACGAUUUGAGGAGUGGCAGAGGGGAUAAAUGAUAAUAUUUGGGGUACACGUUCUACUUCCGAGCCUCUGUUUAUAGUGUUUUGAAAAGGUGUUUCCAGUUGGGGUUUUUCCAAGUUGACCCUUUUGAAAGAAACUGAAUCCAAGUGAAUUAAAACUUAAGACAAAAGAAGGGAAAACGUCAUAACGGUGCAUACAGAGUCAGACAGUUAAAAAGUUAAUUAAAUGGCUAUUUGCAUAGCCAUUUUUGGGUUUAUCCCACUAUCAAAUUCAUUGAUACAAAUGUGAUGGAUUACUGACUAGUGACAGAAGGUCCCAUCAUAUACUUUUUCAUUUUCGCACACCCAACUAUCCCUAGUAAUGUUAUUAAAAUGGAACCAAUAAUGACGGAUUCUUAUCCAACUAGUUGCCUUAAUGAAAUAUAAAUAAAUUAAUAAAAUUGAAGCAGUGUCCCGUCAUUAGUCAGAAAAUAUAUUUGGUAGUGAAGUAGUUUCUAUUGCUUUUCGGGCUAAAAGAUGUCACAAUGCUGACGGUACAGGUGUCGACAUCGUGACCAACCCACCAAAUGAUCCCAAAAAAAAGUAAUAUAACUCGAUUUGGGCAGAGAUGAGAGAGAGCUGAGUGACAAGUUUAGGGUUAUGAGUGAAGGGGUAUGAAUGACAACUAUGAGUGAGAAGGUAUGAGUCCGAAGAGGUUUCAGUGAGAAGAUUUGAGUGAGAAGAGGUACAACUGAGAAGAUUCAACAUGUCUUCGUCUUCAUCUCCUGCUCAAACAAAGAGGUGUCAGUAUUGUGGAGCUACAAUGGUGCUUCGGGUUUCAAAAUCUGAAAAAAAAUCGAGGGAAGCCAUUCUGGAAGUGUCUAACCUCCUAUGUAAGUUUUAAUUUAAAGAAUAUGUAUGUGGGUGAAAAAAAACCUAUGUCUAACUCUGACAGAAUUAUAUUCCAUAUAUGAUGCCUGCAAUUAGGGAGCCACCAGUUGCAAUGGAUUCGAAUGGGUUGAUGUAACCUCCGCUGAAGCAGAACAUCAAGAUGACACGUAUGAUGUUAGAGUGCUGAACAUGCUGAAGUCCAUUAAGGACUUGGUAUUAGUUUUAUUAGUUGUAUUAAUUGUCAUUUUAUUUGUUCUUUUAAUGAUCAUUUAACUGCACGGUUUAAAAGAUUGUGAAAGUUCUCUCGCACAAGACAUAUUGCACGCACCACCAAUGAGACCCUAAACCCAUUUUGUAAUAUUUGGUAACUGCAUGUAUUUCGCAUGUUAUUGAAUGUUUAUUGAAGGUUUAUUGAUAGUUUGCUGCAUGUAUAUGGAAUAUCAUUGCCCCAAAAUUGGAUGUUUAUUGGGGCCACAAGUAUCACUCAAGUAAGAAUGAAGGGGAGAAACGGACCUUAUUCUUUCUUAUAGUAGGAAGAACAACUGUUAAGUUUAAUAUCCUAUUCAAUACGACUUCCCUAUGGUUGGUGUACUUGGGGACUGAAGUAUAUUGCAUCAUUAUUGUGGGCAAGGGCAUGUCUAUUGUGUGUGUUAAGGGAGUAUUGUGUGGGCAAGGGCAUGUCUACUGUGUGUAUAUUGCAUGUCUACUGUGUGUAUAUUGCAUAUCUAUUCUCUGUAUAUGGCAGGCCAAGUUUGUGUAUAUUGUUUGUCUGUUGUGUGUGUAUUGCUUGUCGGUGCGUUUGUGAAUUGUGGUUCAUUUUGUGUAUAUUGUCUUUGUUUCUACUUUUAUGCUACUGAGCUGCGGAAAACCUCGCAUGUUUAGACACCUAUUAUGAUGCAACACAUUGCGAUUAAUGGUGGCUUGCAUCAACAAUGACAUAUCACUUUGCAAUGAUGUAAUACACUUAAAAAGCCGUCUUCAAAUCCCAAUUCACAUAUGCAGUCUUAAAAUUCUAAUUCAAUGCAGUUUGGUUAACAAACAUGUAAAUGUCAUGAAGGAGUUAGCGGUAGAAUUCGAUAAGGACCCGUACGUCUCUAUUGUGUAUUUACAUUAGUUUGAGAAUGGACAUUCCCAAAACCUUCUCAUGUACCAUUUGUCAUCUUCAACCAAUAUCAUGGGAAGUAAGCAUCUCCCCUUGUUAUCUCCGCAGCCAAUUUCAACCGAAAAAAAGGCAUGUUGUGCGAGGUGCAAGUAGCUAACGGAAGCUUAGCGCUGAAAAGCUCAAUGUACUUUAACACAAACAUGCCACAAUCGCCUCUGAAGCAAAACAAGAACUCGAUCAAUUCAACUAAUGACAUUCUAAUGUAAUUGACAAUUGAAAGUAAUAAAAUUAAAUUGCAAGUUGUGCUUACUCAUUAGACUGUUGUGGAACAUCCACACGCUCUAUUGGCCACGGACACCACCAAUCUCGGCUGCAAUUGUUUGCAUAAACACCUUCUUCAUAAAAGUCGAUGGUGUUGAGAAGAUUUGGAAGCGUAAUUGAUAGCGGGCCGAGUUCUUCCUUUACGAUGUCAUCUGGAAUUAGUGAAACCUUUGAAUCGUACACUUUGAUUCACACAAUACCAGAUCAAACANNNNNNNNNNNNNNNNNNNNNNNNNNNNNNNNNNNNNNNNNNNNNNNNNNNNNNNNNNNNNNNNNNNNNNNNNNNNNNNNNNNNNNNNNNNNNNNNNNNNNNNNNNNNNNNNNNNNNNNNNNNNNNNNNNNNNNNNNNNNNNNNNNNNNNNNNNNNNNNNNNNNNNNNNNNNNNNNNNNNNNNNNNNNNNNNNNNNNNNNNNNNNNNNNNNNNNNNNNNNNNNNNNNNNNNNNNNNNNNNNNNNNNNNNNNNNNNNNNNNNNNNNNNNNNNNNNNNNNNNNNNNNNNNNNNNNNNNNNNNNNNNNNNNNNNNNNNNNNNNNNNNNNNNNNNNNNNNNNNNNNNNNNNNNNNNNNNNNNNNNNNNNNNNNNNNNNNNNNNNNNNNNNNNNNNNNNNNNNNNNNNNNNNNNNNNNNNNNNNNNNNNNNNNNNNNNNNNNNNNNNNNNNNNNNNNNNNNNNNNNNNNNNNNNNNNNNNNNNNNNNNNNNNNNNNNNNNNNNNNNNNNNNNNNNNNNNNNNNNNNNNNNNNNNNNNNNNNNNNNNNNNNNNNNNNNNNNNNNNNNNNNNNNNNNNNNNNNNNNNNNNNNNNNNNNNNNNNNNNNNNNNNNNNNNNNNNNNNNNNNNNNNNNNNNNNNNNNNNNNNNNNNNNNNNNNNNNNNNNNNNNNNNNNNNNNNNNNNNNNNNNNNNNNNNNNNNNNNNNNNNNNNNNNNNNNNNNNNNNNNNNNNNNNNNNNNNNNNNNNNNNNNNNNNNNNNNNNNNNNNNNNNNNNNNNNNNNNNNNNNNNNNNNNNNNNNNNNNNNNNNNNNNNNNNNNNNNNNNNNNNNNNNNNNNNNNNNNNNNNNNNNNNNNNNNNNNNNNNNNNNNNNNNNNNNNNNNNNNNNNNNNNNNNNNNNNNNNNNNNNNNNNNNNNNNNNNNNNNNNNNNNNNNNNNNNNNNNNNNNNNNNNNNNNNNNNNNNNNNNNNNNNNNNNNNNNNNNNNNNNNNNNNNNNNNNNNNNNNNNNNNNNNNNNNNNNNNNNNNNNNNNNNNNNNNNNNNNNNNNNNNNNNNNNNNNNNNNNNNNNNNNNNNNNNNNNNNNNNNNNNNNNNNNNNNNNNNNNNNNNNNNNNNNNNNNNNNNNNNNNNNNNNNNNNNNNNNNNNNNNNNNNNNNNNNNNNNNNNNNNNNNNNNNNNNNNNNNNNNNNNNNNNNNNNNNNNNNNUUUUCCUCUCCCUCAUCUCUAUUAUUUGGCCCUUCACCCCCUUCAAUCCCUUCAUCUUCUUUUUCCUCUCCCUCAUUUCUGUUACUUGGCCCUUCAUCCCAUUGAAUGUCAUCCAUUUCCCCAUAUCCCUUAAAUAGAUGUGAGACGACACAACGAUUCGUCCUCUGUUUCAGUAAAGCUAGGUCCCUCCUUACUUCCUGCUCAAACUGAGGACCUAAACAUUGGUCCAAUAGUUUUUCCAUCCGUAUGACCUUUAAGUGAAGGACGUCUUUUUCCCGCUUUUCUUGAAACAACUCGGACCUCAACAAGCUUACCACCUUGUUCAACUCAUCAAGAUCACCACAUGAAGAAGGAAUUGACUCUGCCGAGACAACAGCAGGGCGAUCCUGUGGCCAACUCCAAUAUGGCUGUCUCAUUUCCUCUUCACUUAGACAUAGCGCCCGCAACUGAACUGACUGUUUCAGAAUACAGACAAGAGUCAUAUUAAAUCAUUCUACUUCAUAAUUUCAUUCAAUCUUAUCAAUAGUUCUAAGGGCUGCAAACCAAACCUCUUUGCUCUGGAAAAAAUAAUUGUUCAACUUUCUCAUCUCUGGAACAGACGUAGUAGUUCUCCAUCGCAAAAUACGCGGGACAGCGGUCGGAUCAACAACCUUGCAGUAAUUCAGGUCCGCCAUUCUAGGAAUUAAUUCAUAUACCCAAAUCUACACAAUUCACAGGACAAAAGUCAUUAUUUAUGUUUUAAAGAAAAACAAAACAUAACUGACAUGAACAUUAUUACCAUGUACCUGGAAAGCAUACGUGAAACCUUUAAAACUCCAGCCACUCCUUUGCGCUUCACUAUGCUUAUCCUUCUUGCCCUUCUCAUUUCUCCGGCUUGUUCCCGUUACCUUACUUUUCCCCUUCCCUCUUCCCUCUUCAUUUUCCAAGCUUUUCACAUACUUUGUUGGUGCAGAAAAUAGACUGUCUUGGGUUUUGUCAAAGGACACCGAACCCCACGGAUACCUGUUGAACGCAUCCAAGUCCUCUACAAGGGUCAGGUAAUUUAGAUUGAUGUUCAAAUGUUUGUCCCUUCCCAAAACCACUAACUCAGCAAAGUAAACAAGAGGUAGCUUGAAGAUGUCAUCUUCCUCUGUGCACCUCACAAAUGCUUCUUCUAAAGCAUUGCAUGUAAUUCCUUCGUCUAUAAAAUAUCUUUUCUGAAGUCUGAUUUCAUUACUCUCUCCACUGGAAACUUCAGGCACUUCCCCAAAACGAAGCCCUGUGAUCAAACAGAAAUCCUGACGAGUGAACUGAGCAACGUCACACCCUAAUAAGAAACUCAGUCCAUCCAAGUCUUUCACACCCUGCCCCGCUACUCUACGCAACACAACCCCAUGCACAAUCUGUCCGCUAAACUGAAUCUUAUCUAUAUUCAGAAGAUGGCCAAAGCAUGAUGUCUUGAAUUGUUCUAAUUGUUCCGCACUCAACUUCGCUCGAAUUGCAGCUAGAGAUGAAUUUGCAUGUGAGCAGUUGUUCACCCGUGAUGAAUAUACCUCUGCCUCUGGCCAUACCAGCUCCACGUUGGAUCCCAUUUCCUCAAAUACAAUGUGAAAUAACGUGAACAUAUAUACUACCACGUAUUUGCACAAUCACAACUAGUCAACCAGGCACAUUACAACUUUUACAAAGUACAUGAGCAUAUGGAUUACUCAUCACAGGCUUUAACAUCAUCAAAGCAAUAUGACAAUUUUUGUGCAAAUACCUGUUAAUGCAAUGAUUAUGUGAAUUACAAACAAUUUCACGUGUUUUAUUUAUGGAUCCAUACUCGUGUGAGUGCAAUGUAGGCAAGUUCUGCACUUCACACACAUGACAAUUAUUGUCAUCUCAUACACAACCCAAAAUAAAUAAAUAAGAAAUAUAGUGGAAGGAAGCAAAGCAAAGCAUGUACUCUGCUAUCUGCUUGCUAAGCAAUUGCCACAUCCUUCUUUCUUUCUACCUUUUUCUUCAGUCACCCACAAUCGUCAUAGAUCAACCUUCAUUUCAAAUGCUUUGCACUUUUAUUCAUGAGUUUAUUAUUAUCUGUUCUCAUUUCUCAUAGGCAAAUUUAGUAACAAAUGAAAUAAUAUUUAUUUCACAAAAUAUAUAAAUUCUAGUGCCAGAGAGGUACUCUUCACUCUGCACUGCUUCAAAUGUGGAAGGUUUUGAGAUGUUAUUGACAUGUGAUUGACUUUAUUUUCAUUCGUUUUUUAACAUAUACCCAAGCAAAAAUUAACAUGCAAUUGAAGCACAAAUAAGAGAUGCCAAAUCCAACAACAUUGAUGGUACAAAUUGGGGAAAACCAUUACUCUAACCCUAAACUCAAAUUCCUUACAUUACUCAUCAAAUGCUUUGCAGUUCUAUUCAUGAGUUUAUUAUUAUCUGUUCAAAUGUUUCUCAGGCAAAUUUAGUAACAAAGGAAAUCAUAUUUACUUCAUAAAAUAUAUAUAUAUAUAUAUAUAUUCUAGCGCCUCUUCUUAAUCUGCACUAUGCACUGCUUCAAAUGUGGAAGGUUUUGAGGGCCUCCUCCAAUUCAACACCAUUAUCUUAUUCAUAUCAUUAUUGACAUGUUAUUCACUUGUUAUUGACUUCAUUUUCAUUCUUUUUUUAACAUAUACCUAAGCAAAAAUUAACAUGCAACUGAAGCACAACGAAGAGAUGCCAAAUCCAACAAAAUUUAUGGUACAAAUUGGGGAAAACCAUUACUCUAACCCUAAACUCAAAUUCCAUAAAUUACUCACCAAAUGCUGGUUAUUGCAAGGUGUCUGUGUGGGGUCUUUCUGUUUCUUUGCUCCACAAAUGGAACCUACCACUUCCAACGAAUACAGCUUUUCCCCUUCCCCUUCCACUGCUUCGCCUCUUCACUGAUUUGGAAUCCACACCUUUGCCCCUUCUACUCCAAAUAAAUACUUUCUCGGGGUCUGGAGAACGGAGUGGCGAAUCGUUGCCUUCAACUGUCGUUAGCCGUUGCCUUCAUUGGGUAUCUCAGACCUCUGUGUUUUAGAGAGAUGAGUUCUUUCUGUUCAAACUUCGAACUUGCCUCUUCUUCUUCUUUUUCGGACGUGUUUCCCUCUUCUUCUUCUUUUUGGACGUGCUGGAUAUUCAAUUCGGGUUUGGGUUCCUUACCUACCCAAUUGUGAAACUUUAACUCAAUUCUCCCCAGCCCUUGGAUUAAUCUGAUGGCUAUAAAGUGAACCCCUUAUAACUUACCCCUUAUAACUUUCCACUCAUUAUAGUCUUGGCCAGGUAUGGCGGCCAUGCUAGUAAGUGUUGGGUCUUUGACCCAACUUAAGCUAAAUGGGUCAUAAGAUGACCGAUCAUCUUAUCUCAUAAGGAUAUAUAAGUCAUGUUAUGAUUUAGGAUUUUAUAGGGUUUCCUUUGUAAGAGGUAAGAGAGAAACAAGCUCUCUCUCUCUCUACACAAGGAGGUCAGCCAUAGCAAGGGAAAGGCUCCUAGCACUCUCCUCUCUCUUAUUAUAUCAUCCUUCCAAGGACAGCUUUGGUAUGGUAAAGUUGGAGGUUGCACACUUUGUGCACUUUGGUAAGAACUCAUCCAAGGGAGCCAAGAUUAAAUUGGUUAGCUGUUGGAUUAAAUUGGUUAGCACGAUUCAACGGUUAAUAGAUAAAACUUCACAUAAAAGUCAUAUAUAAGGCCCUCACUAUAGAAUGACUCGUUAGUUUAGUCUCUUGUUACAUAUCAAAUGUUAGAGAUAUUUUUUAAUAAGGAUCUGCCAUACCACAUAGUUGGAUAAGACAUUAUACACGGCUUUUGUAAGAGCAUCUCCAGCGCUCCAAACUAGCCCAAGCAGCAGGGGGGCCUAAGUCUAGGAAGCAGCUCCAGCUCGCAAGAUUCAACCCAGGCAAGGUGUGGAACCCACGAGGAGAUCUAGCCCGUCACCUUGCCUUUGGGUUUCAGUCAAGCUGAUGUCAACGAAAGAAUUUCAAAUUUUUUUUACCGUUACAAUGUACGCGCCAACGAUAAAUUUUCUUUGGAUUUCUUGCAUUGAUCCACAGCUACCAAAAACCAACAGCUACAAGCCACGUGGCUUCUCCAGGAGCCUCCGAUCCAAAAAUCAUGUCAAAUCUAACGGCAGUCCAUUUUUUGGCUAAAAAUAUCAAAAAAUUAUGGAAACAUGUUCUAUAAAUUCCUACAAAUAUUAUUCACUUCCCACACCAAAUCUUCAUACAAAUUCAUAUCCUUUCAAUAUUUUUCACUUUCCAUACAAGAUUUUCUACUACUAAGUUUCGUUUGUGUAAAAAUACAAAUGACCUCUUCUAUCGAAGCCGGAGGCGCGUGUACAACCGUGGAAGAUAUUUUGUUGCGUGAGUGUUGGGUCAAAGUUGGUCAUUCCCUGAUCACGGGCAAUGAGAUGAAGUCCUCUCGUAGGAGUUUCUGACAUCGCAACGAAAGUAAGAUGUGAUAUGAAAAUGUAAGGAAUUUGAUGAGAGGAAUGGGAUUUGAGGAGUUUGAUGUAGGAAUUGAUGUAGGAAUUGAAUUUGGGAGGUAUGUAUAUAAGAUUUGAGGGUAUGUGUUUAGGGAUUUUGAUAAGAGGAUUUGAGGAAUUUAGAUUUGAAGGAUUUGGAUUUGGGGAAUUUAAAUAUGAGGAAUUUGAUUAGGGUUUGGGUUUGAAUAUGUGAAAUUUGAUAUGAGAGUUUAGAGACAACAGAUGAUCGAUUGCUCUGAUACCAUGCUAAAAUAUGAUAUGGUUUGAAUACUUUAGGUUGAGUUUUAUUCUUUUCCAUAAAAAGGUAUAUAUAGGAGUUUACAUGAGUGCUUUACAAAGAAAUAGAUACAAUAAUCAAUUAGGAUAAUAUCUCCUAAUUAUACAAUAAUUUGUCAACUAUAUAGAAUAGGAAAGUAAAUUCCUUAAUUAAUCAAGAAAAUAAAUCUCAUUGAUUAAUUAGGAGACUAACGUCAACAUUUAUAAGCCAUAAAAGAGCAGAAAAAGAGGUACUUAGGAGAUUUUAUACGUCGGACUAAGGUAAGCUUAAAGGACUAUAUCAAAAAAAUAAGGGACCAAGAAGCAAGACAGAGAAGUUGUUAUGCAAACCCAUUAAGUUUAGCAGUGAUGAAUUUGUAAAAAUCAUUCUAGUGGAUUCUGCCUUCACUAUUGAGUUCUUAUUGAGGUUCUAUCUGAAAGGAUCUGGACAUGAAGGAGACCGCUUAUUAAACAAACCGUGGAUGUUUACAGCCUGACAUGUGGUUGCUUGAAAAUCAGCUCCCAUUCUUUAUUCUUGAGGAUCUUUAUCACACAUACAUAAUAACCGACUCUUUUAGGAAUUAUUACAGUACUCAUGAUCAUGAGAGGCUUUCAAUAAUUAAUAUUUCUAAGAAUUUCUUCACAGCCGGAAUAUUGAAUUUGGAGGGGAAGGGAGACAAAUGGAACAGAAUAUCAUCUUCUUCUAGUGUUGGAAAUUUUAUAUUAUUUAAUAAUAUUUAAUUUCUAUUGUGAAUGAAAAAUAAGUUUCUUUAAGAAACGUGUGUCUUAGGCCAGUUUUUCUAACUGGUCGGCUUCCUUAGAUUUGUGCCUAUUGCUUUUCAAAGUAUAAUGAUGCAAUGGUUGUAUCUCGUUCAGGCAAAUGGAAGGUAUAUAGCAAUUUAUAGAACAAUACAGUAAUCCAGAAGAAAUAUUAUGAAAUGAAAAGAAUAAAAAGUAAAAAAAGAGAAAGAAAGGAAUUCCCACCUGCAAUGUAUAUGUAUGAAAGGAAGGACCAAGUUUGUUUUAAAAUGGUAAGAACAAGUUGAUUUUAAAUUGGGUUCAGAUCAACUCAUAGAUUUCUUGCCUUUUCUGUUCUCCUUCCUUGGACAUGAACUGUUUAAUCUUGGACUCUUCCCCAUCAUGUUGGGCCUGUCUUCUUCUUGAGGAUUGUAUAGGCCUAGGAAAUGCUUCGGGGUAGUUUUUGUGUUUUGGGCAUUGGGACCCAACUUCACAAAAAGAAAACAAAUUUGACCAAAACACAAAUUUGAAGGACAUUGAAAUUGUACCCGUAGGAUAGAUUAAAACACUAUAAGGGAGGUAAAUAGUACGUUUACAGAGUUUAAGUGUAAUAAAGGAAUAAAAACAUGCCCAGAGAAUUGAUAAGUGAUAUCAAUUCUUGAAUAUACGUGAAAAUUAUUUUAUGUGGUUAAACCCCACCUCUGGGGAAAAUCCACGGAACUUCUUAGUCCAACUUCUAUCACUUAUCCUAGACACAUUCUAGAUAAUGUUUGCCAACCUCUUCGUAACUCAACUUCUGUCACGAGAUGAUCUUUCAACACUUUAUGUCGAACGCAAUACUGGUCACGAUUUCUUCAAGCUCGCCGGAGUUCUUCCAAUUCUCCUUAUAUUGAAUCUGAUACUAGUCACGAUCGAUUCAAGCUCAUCGGAGAAAAAUCGCCACAACAAUCUUGGUGCCCUCAACCGUAUGAGUCACUGAACAUGCAAAUGAAUACAAUAUGAAUGAUAAAAGUGUUUGAUAAAUCACCAAGUUAUGGAACACUUGAUGAUUUAUCUCAAAUAAAAAUUCAGCUUUCCAAAGUUUAUGAAUUGAAAAUAUGACCGUUAAAGCUCUCUAAACAAAGAAGACGAAGGUCUUAUUUUAUAGACUUUUACUUUACAAGAAAGAAAACACGUUGAAAACCAAAUCUCCAAUUUCCAAGGCUUGACAGAAAAUCACAAAAUUAUCUUUCCUAUUCUAGAGAUUGGUCACAUGAAGUCCAACCAAUAGGAAAUGAGAUAUUUAAGAAAGGAAGAUUUUGAUCAAUAUCAAUAUCAAAUGAAUUCUUAUACGCCUAGUCAAUUGUUAUGGGUAUCUUGACUCCUUGAUAUUGUGAUAUGAUUGAAACAUGAUUUCCACGUUAGAAAAUUAAGGGGAUGUUAAAACAUGAAGGUAAUAGGAGAAUCAAAUUGAUUUGGGCCAAAAUUGCCUAAAAAGAAAACACUCCUUAAUAAACUUCAAUUUACUUUUAAAAAUAGUAAAACGUGAUUGAAUCGUUCUUUAAAACAAUUCCCUAAUAUACAUGCAUGAUAGUGAUAUCACUUACCUUUGAAUCAGAUGGCUUUCACGGGUCAAGCCACAAGUUUUUGUCUUGGGGAUUGCUGAGCUUCAUCAAUCCUGCCAAUGUCAAUUUUGCCCCUAAGCUCUCUCAAAGCACGUUUACAACCUAUGCUAACAUAUAUUAGAGUUUAUGUUAGUAUCAAGAAAAUGCCAACACUAAUUUCGUAACACGUAGAAAUUGUUAGAGAUUGAAGUUUUUAUCAUUUUUUCUUCCAGACUCUCCACCACUCACUAAUAUAGUUUACUCAUGUGAUGAGUUUACAAAACCUAUUUCUCUACUCUCACAAAGACUAUACUUAGGGGGGUGUAUUCAAUUAGGAUUCUAAAGCGUUUAAAAAGAUUUUGUUUAAGUGCCAGCUUUCAUAGAACUUGAUGGAACUUUAUAAUUCGUAUAGAACUUGAUAGACUUUCAGAAGACUUCUGUAUAAUUUUUUAAUAAAACUUUCUUAAGCUUUCAUAGAACUUGAUAGGCUUUCAUUCCAAACUUAUGUAGAUGGUAUAUUUCAUUUUAUCCCCAUCCUUGACAUUUAAAGAAAGAAACUUGAAUUUUUUCAAUCAAAUUUGUUUUUGUUACCAAAGCAGCAAAAACAAAAAGUACUUGUUUGCGAUGGAAGAACAUAUGCACAGUUCAAAAUGAAAAGAAUAAGAAGCAAAGUACCUAUUUGACCAAUGAAUGCUGUGUCAACUAGAGAAGCAAUUGGAUCGGCUGUCAAAGCCAAUGCUGCAGGCAAUGCAUCGAUGGUCCAAAUUGCAAUAAAAAAAUAUUUUGAAUAAUGGCUCUUGCAGACAAAGACCACAUAAAUUCUGAACUGGUCUAGCUUGAAUAAUAAGGUUAGAUUAGCCAAUUGAUGAGAUUAAAAGCAAAGCAAGUUGAUGAAUUUAUCAUCAACUAUUUAAUAACCACAGUCCUGAUCUCUUGGACCCCUGUAGUCCAAGAGAUUUAUGGUCACCCACCGUUGGAUGUAAAUUCAACGGUUGACUUGAAUCGGGUAAUAAUCAUUUAUGUCAUAUUGCAUUUAUAUAUAUCAUUUUGAACCAUUGGAUUAAUAUCCAACGGUGGGUGACCACAAUCUCUUGGACUCCUGUGGUCCAAGAGAUCGGGACUGUUAAUAACCAAUAGAGUAUUUAAACAUAAACAACAAUGUUUGAUCAACAAAACAAAUAGUCCAAAUAUCAUCCAAAAAACAAUAACAAAAAAUCAAUCAUUCCAAACAAACUAGUCAUUCUCAAAAACUCUCAAAAAACCCACUCAUUCCAAAUUGUAGGAUAUCCAAUUUGAGCACUCCUCAGGAGACAUUUUCAAAAAUGCAUCCUUUUUUGUGUUACUAUGCAACAAAGAGAGUGCUUUAUAACGAGCAUGUUCAUCCAAAUUUGGGGUCUCCUUAAUGGCAUCCCAUAUAUAACUCCGCUGCUCUCUCUCUUUUUCCCUUUUUGCCAAUAGGUUAUGGACCUCCCGGAAGUCGAUGACAAUUGAAUCAAUGCUAAGGCUAAUUCUUCCCAUAGCUUGCUGGGUGGUCACAUUUGAGAUAGCAUUCCCUUCCAAAUAUGUUCUAGUUCGUUUCCUCUAGUAACAAGCAUAAAUCCUAGUAACAAGCAUAAACCCUAACCCCAACCUAUAACCUAAUAACAAGAAGAAAACCCAACGAGGUAUUGAUCAAAGAAAAAUUAGGGAGCAUACCUUCACAGAUGGAGGAAGGAAGCUGUUCGUCUUCGCAGAGAGAAAAUCUAGGGAAAGAGAAAAACGUCUUAUGAAAUACUUGGGGGGGAGGUUGGAUUUAUUUUGGUCUUUUUUAUUUAUAACUCUCCCCUUAAAACCUACGUAAAUUUAUCACUUAAUGAAAUCCUUCCAAAUAUAUGACCUUUCGAAUACACCUAGAUUUGAUUCAACUUUUUUAUAAUCAUAAUUGAAUACACCCAUAUUUGAAUGGACUUUUUAAAAGUUCAUAUAGGUCCGAAAUGAAUAUACUCAAACUUGUAAAACCUCUUUUAAAGUUUGUAUAAAUCCAAAUUGAAUACACCUGGAUUUUUAAAAUCUUUUUAAACACUUUAUAAUCCUAAUUGAAUACACCCCCCUUAUUCUCAAAAGACUAUAUUACUUUACCUCUAUCUCUGUGAAAUGUAAAAAGUUGAAACUUUAAUGUCAAACCUCAACAAAAGAUGAACUUUCAUCAGUUACGUUGAAUUUGGAUUUGUUGAACUUAAGUGGUUUUAUUUUCUUUGUCAGUGUUUGAUGACUUAAUUUGGUAUUUAUUUCUUCUUUUUUUUCCUUGGAAAUGUGUUCCACCAACGUGAGGAAGAAAAAUAUGCACAAAUUAAUAUAUUUAAUAGAAGCCCAAGAUUUCGGAUGCAUAUAAUUUCUACAAAAAUCUACAAAGUUUUUUACUUUACAAACUUCUUAUGUCUACCAAUUUCUACUAAAAUUAAUUUCUCUGUGGUGCUCAAAUUCAUCAUAUGUGUGUCGUUAAUUUUAUUGAAAAUUGGAAGUUCCCAUCAUUUUUGUUUUUUGGGAAUUUUCUGAACCAAGGAAAAUCAAGUAAAAUUAAUAAAGCCUAAAUUGGAAAGGGAAAAUAUCUAGAGGAUGCAUUGUAGGAUUGCUCAUGCCAAUAAUUGUACCCUCUAAAUAUAUAGAGACAUAUUUUUUUUGUUUUCAUGACAUGUGGUCCUAAAAUUAUUGUGUAAAUCUUCAAUCCUGAACGAUGCACCUAAAACUCAUCCACCCAUUCUCAGGCCAAUUAUUGCACCUAGUGGGCUCUCGACCCCCUCUCAAAUUUAACCACAUAUUUUAUGGACCAUCCAGCUGUGAGGUACAUUCCCCCCACAUGCCACAAUUGUAUAUUCACAAUUACGUCUGAUACAUCACAUCAUGCCACUUGCCUCAAAUGAAUUUAAGUGAGUGAGGCAGUUGGAAGUAAUUAAGCUCUAUAUUGGUGGGUGGAGUGUUACUUCUCGGUUCCCCUCAUCAUUCGUCUAUAAAAUGGUGAAGGCAGUUGCUAUUGUUACCAUAAGAGCCAGCUCCGACUUCCUUUAAUUUCUUGCUUCAUAUCCACUAGCUACAUCUGUUACCAAGUUAAUUUCAGUUCUAAUGGGGUUUCAUCUCCCACUCAUCUUUGCUCUUCUCAGUGUAAGCUCUGCAAUUUGAUUAACUUUUCCAUUCUCUCUCAUUGUACUCUAUAUAAACGAAAGUUUUGUGUUCCUAUUGUUCUCUCCGAUUUUAUUUAGUACGUACUUAAGUGUCGUCCACUAAUUAAUUAUACUUUGUGAUUUGAUUUUAAUUUGAGUUUGAAUUAAUGUUGCAGCUAGCAGCAGUGGCACUGGCAAACCAUGCUGCUCAACCAGCACCUCAACUUUACUGGAGCUCCGUCCUGCCAAACACACAGAUGCCAAGAUCUAUCAGUGAACUUCUGCAUCCUGGUUUGUGUUGAGCUCUUUAGAAUCUUAGAUAUCUCUUCUACCUGCCAUUUUACUAAAAUAUGUUCCACCACAUAUUUAUCAGUUAACCAUUGUCAUUACAUGAGUGACACAUAUUCACAAAUCGGCUGAUCACUUAUUUUCCAUUAUGACUUGAUAUAUAAUUUGCAGACUCCACAAAUGAAGAAAAGAGCACAAAUGACGUUGGCAAACCUGAAACUUUCCCAUUGGGCAAUCAACAUUACUCCAGUCAAAAACAUUAUGGAGGCAUACCUGAAACUUCCCCAUUGGGCAAUAAACAUUACUCCAGUCAAAAACAUUAUGGAAGAGGCAAACCUGAAACUUUCCCAUUGGGCAAUCAGCAUUACUCCAGUCAAAGACAUUAUGGAAGAGGCAAACCUGAAACUUUCCCAUUGGGCAAUAAACAUUACUCCAGUCAAAAACAUUAUGGAAGAGGCAAACCUGAAACUUUCCCAUUGGGCAAUCAGCAUUACUCCAGUCAAAAAAAGUAUGGAAGAGGUGCUUCUCCAUCCGACAAUCAACAACUCCAUUAUAAAGACUUAGCUAUUUUCUUCUUGGAGAAGGACAUGCGCCCUGGCACAACAAUGAAGUUCCAAUUCCCUAUAAAUUCAAACACGGCUACUUUCUUGCCACGAGAAAGCGCUCAAUCGAUCCCCUUCUCCUCUAACAAACUGCCAGAAAUUUUCAACCAUUUUUCAGUGAAGCCAACAUCUGAGGAAGCCAAAACAAUUAAGCAAACAAUCGAAGAGUGUGAAGCUCCAGACCUUAAGGGAGAGGAAAUAUAUUGCGCCACAUCUUUAGAAUCAAUGGUUGAUUUUAGCACUUCGAAGCUUGGAACAAGAAACGUUGAAGCAAUCUCGACGGAGGUAUUGGAAAAAGGAGCCACCAUGUCCAUCCAAAACUAUACAACAAUGCCGGGACUGAAGAAGUUGGCAGGUGACAAAGUCGUUGUGUGUCAUAAGCAGAACUAUCCCUAUGCUGUGUUUUUCUGCCAUGCAAUAAAACAUACAGCAGCUUAUGCUCUCUCCCUGAAAGGCGAUGAUGGGGAGAAGGUUAAAGCAGUAACCAUCUGCCAUCUAGACACAUCAGAAUGGGACCCAGAGCAUAUGUCCUUCCAAAUCGUCAACGUUAAGCCCGGAACCAUUCCCAUCUGCCAUUUCAUUUCCACUGAUGCUAUUGCCUGGGUUCCGAACCACAAAUCUGCAUGAUCAUCACUUAGCACUAGUACUGUGCGUAUAAUAUGCCUGUAUAAUUAUCUCCCUACUUAUUUCUGCCUCUUCAUCAUGUGGUGUAAGAUAUAUGUUGAGAUGAAGUUUUUGGGAUUUGUGGUCGAAAUUAACCCGAUCAUGUUUUCUCUUGCAACCAUAUAGACUUCAACUUGUACUCAUAAUAAAGCAUGCUAUAUUUAUGAAGAGAUAUUAAUCUUCAGGCAAAUAGAUAUUAUGAAAACAUAUAUAGCAAUUUAUCCAGAAGAAACAUUAUGAAAUGAAAAGAAUAAAAAGUAGAAAAACAGAAGGAAAGGAAUUCGCACGUGCUAUGCUAUGUAUGAAAGGACCAAGAUUGUUUUCCCUUUGGUUAAUGACUAGAAAAGCUCACUUGCAGAGUGCUUUCUCCGACCAUAGAUGGAAGAGAAAUUUUCUCUUAAUAAUAGCACAAUGAUCGGGUAAUUGUAAGAACAAGUUGAUUUAAAAUUCCUUGACCCAAAAAAAAAAAAAAAGUUCUUUUCAAAUUCAGGUCAACCCAUAGAUUUCUUGCCUUCGUCUUCUUCAUCACGUUGGGCUUGUCUUCUUUUUGCGUUUUGGGCCUUGGAAGUUGGGACCCAACCCAACUUCACAAAAAGAAAACAGAUUUGCCAAAAAUCAAAUUUCAAGUCUCUCCUCCGAUCACUAAUACAGAUCAAAUUUUGGAUUUGAUGAACUAAAGUGGUUUUACUUUCUCUGUCAGUGUUUGAUGACUUAAUUUGUUAUUUACUUUUUUUUUUUUACUUGAUCUUUGUAGGGGCUUUUUUUUUUCCGGCAGCUUAAACGGGCUGGGCUGCCGUAAAGGGUAGAUUGAUGAAAUUGUCCCCUUUGUCUGAAUUCGAAAAUCAAGCCCCAAAAGCGCUUCGAAAGGGCAGUAGAGCCUUAGGAAGCGUUCUGGUUACCUUCACUAAUUAAAACAACAGCAACUUACAGAUGAUUUCUUGAGGCUUACAGAUAAAUUUUCUAGCUUGGCAUGACAUGGAAGCAAAAUCAGCAUGAGUUUAGCACCAAAGAGGAAAAUAUGGCUUCCUAGGGAGAAAUGAGAGUGUUUAAGGUGAGGAAGAAGAGGUUUGCAGGCUGAUUUGGCUGAGAAAAGAGAAAGAAAGAACAAUGUUCUUCCGGCAGCUUGACAAAGCUUCUGACAGAUGUGAAAGUCGUCCGCCAGAAGAGGAAAAUGGAGAAGAAGGAUGAAUAGUGCACGAAAUUGGUGGGUUCUUGCAGGUAAGAGAGAAAGCUUGCUCUCUGAAUCUGAGUUGGUUUUGGUUGGGUAGAAGAAGCCCCCUUUUAUAGCUGCGGGAAACCAUCUUUUUCCAAGAAACCCUAAUGGUUUCUAUCCUUUUUGGCCAAGCUUUUCCCUUCCUUUCUCUUCUCCUCCCUUGACUUUUCCUAUCUUGGUGAAAUUUCCUCUGCCUAUUUGCACAAAAUUAGAGAUUUUGAGGAGCUCAAGGCCCCUUUCCCGCAGCUGCCUUAGUGGAGAAUCCCCAUUUUCAGUCAUCUUUCUUCCUUCUUUUCUCCCAUCUUCCAAGGCUAGGUUUGAUGAGAGAAAGAAAUGGAUAUGCACACUGGUUUGAAGGGUGUUUUUCCUUGAAACUUGUUCUCUCCCAUGUGCUGGAGCUUCCCAGCAGCUUACACACAUAGAUAUUUUGGCUUUCAUCGUGGCUUUUGUUUUCAGCUAGGUGCUGGAGAUUUUGCAUAUAUUUUCUUGAGUUGCUUGGGCCUUCUAGGACAAUACGUUGGUUUAUCAAGUGAAUGGGCUAACUUCAUCAAUUGUUGGGCAAUUUUGGUUGAGUUAAUGGACUAUUUUGGUUCAAGUAAUGGACUAUUUUGGUUGAAAUAAUAGGCUAUUUUUCUCUCUUUGUGCUCACCCACAUAUUUGGGCCUAAAAAAUGGGCUUGAGUUUCGGGGCUCCCAAGCAACCCCGGGACUUCCAUUUCUCGGCCCAUCAAUGAGCCUCAUGUCAACUUAUUACCAUCCAUACCACAACCCACUCAAGCAAGCCUCAGGCAUCUUGCGUGGCUUGGGCCCACGUAAGCUCGUAGUGGCAAUGUUGCUUAUUUGCUUGACGUGGCAUGUGUGCAAGUGCAUAUGACGAACUUUCGCGUGCCCAAAUUGAGUUUCUUCUCGGUAGGGUAUCGCAUUGGGCCGAGAAUUUAAUUGGGUAGAACCGUGGAUUUUUUGGGCCUCAACAAUCUUAUAUAUAUUAGUUUUCUUUUUUUCCUUAAUAUUCACCACCUUUCUGUUGCAUAAGUAUUCCAGUCUUAGCGGGUUUCCAUCUACCACUCAUCUUUGCUCUUUUAAGUGCAAGCUUUUUUAUUUUUAUUUUUUUAUGCACAAGAUUAGAGGGGAGGGAGAUUUCUCAAUGUAAGCUUUGCAGUUUCAUAAUUAAUAUUUCCAAUAUCUCACUGUUAGUAAAAUAUGGAACGGGAAAAGUACGAAUAAAAUACACACAUGUUUUAUUUAGCAAAAUUUUGACAAGAUACAACUGAAAAGUUUGGCCACUAUAUAAUAUUUUGAUUUAAUUUUUUUUAUUUUUUUAAUAUAUAUUAUUUUUAUUCAAUAAUAUGUGAAAAAUAGGUGUACAAUAUAUGAAAUUUGUAUGUAUUAUUGAAAAAUUCGUAAAAAAAAAACAUGUUAUUAAAUGUGAAAAAUAUGUACGUAUAUGUAUAAAACAUGUAUUGUACAUUACUUUUUAACAAACUUGUAUUUUACCUAGUCUUUAAACCGUAUAUGGAAAACGGAAGUAUUAUUGAAAAAUACAUAUGUACGUAUAUGUAUAAAACAUGUAUUGUACAUUACUUUUUAACAAACUUGUAUUUUACCUAGUCUUUAAACCGUAUAUGGAAAACGGAAGUAUUAUUAAAAAAUACAUAUGUACGUGUAUAAUAUGAGUAUUAAACAAAAAAAUGUGCUAAGUACUUAUCUUUUAAUUUAAUAAUUCAUUUCAUUUUGUGAUCUCAUACGUAGUAAUGAGAGUUCAAAUUAAUGUUGCAGCUGACAAUGGUGGCUCUGGCAAGCCAUGCUUGAUGCAGGAGUAUAGGGGUGGAUCAAGAUAGAUAUUUACCAUGUAAUUAGUUAUUUCAUGAUAUAUUGUUAUUUUCUUAUUUAGGUAGUUUUAUGAUAUCUUUUAUUAUUUAUGUGGGAUUUUAUAAUUAAUUAGUUUACUUUUGGACCAAGUAGCCUUGGUGCUCAAGUCUUGUAAAGCUUAUAAAUAAGGCUAAUGUAAUAGUUGUAGGAAAAGAGAUGUCGAUGAUUAAUAAAAUCGUUUAUUUGUGGCAUGGAUUUGCUACGAUAUAUGUGAGUUUGCACUAGCCCUAGAUUUCGGUGCUCGUGUAUGUGGUUGGUGACCUGUGUCCGGAUCCCGAUCCCCAUCAAUGCUGUUCUCCCAGUACCUCAACUUUACUGGAACUCUUUCCUGCCAAACACAAAUGCCAAGAGCUAUCAGUCAACUUCUGCAUCCUGGUUUCUAUUAAGGGACUUUUCGUGAGCUUAUCAUCUACCCAAAUUUUACUCAUCCGACGUAAUUUUAAAAGUGAUUUGAUCCUUUGGCAAAGUAAUCUUGAACUACAAAAAAGGAGGGCACUCGAAUAGGCAUGCCAUUUGGUAUUACCCACCUCUAAUUUCUUUUAAAAUUUUAGUAAUUGAUUUUUAAGAUUAGAAAAUGGGAAAGUUCAAAACCGAAAAAGUUGUUUCAGUUUUGGCAAGUAUCGGAAAAGACUAAAAUUUUCCGACUUUAUUAUUACUAGAAACAAAGUCGAAGUAUUCACCAAUCAUGUGGCCUUCCAAGUGCUCAAGGUUAAGCCAGGAACCGUUCCUAUCAGCCAUUUCCUUCCCAAGUAUGAUCAUGUUGUCUGGGUUCCAACCCACAAAUCUACAUCAGUACCUGAACUAAUCAGUUCUACAUGAAUAUUCAUUCAUGGCAACCUUGGGCUAAGUAUUUGAAUUUAUGCUCAUAAAGCUUUAAUGCUUUUGAGGGCCAAUCGUUGUCUACAUAUGGUAUUGUAGCAUCUUUAGAUGGAAGAGGUCAGGGGUUCAAUUCUUGUUUUCCACUUCUUUAUUUGUUGGUUUAUCGAGUGUAGAGUGGAGUUGCACCUAUAUGUUCGUCUCUCACCCCAUCAUUUACCAUUGAUAUAUAUUUAAUAGAAGCCUAAGAUUUCGGAAGCACAUAAUUUCUACUUUACAAACUUCCUGUGUCUACCAAUUUCUACUAAAAUUAAUUUAUCUGCGGUGCUGAGAUUCAUCAUAAUUUUAAUAGAAAUUGGAAGUUUUCAUCAUUUUUGCUUUAAGUCUCUACUCCACUCACUAAUAAAGAUUACUCAUGUGAGUUUACAAAACAUUUUUUUUUUCUACUCUCUCCUGAAGACUACACUUCUUCUCAAAAAAUUAGAUCACUUCACAUCUUGUGUAUGUGAAAACUAAUGUAAAAAGUUGAAACUUUAUCGUAAAACCUCGACAAAAAUGAGCUCUACUACAAAAUGUUAAAUUUGGAUUCGUUGAUUUAAAUGGCAAUUUGACACUUGAUAGAAAUUUUUACAUACAUGUGUUAGUGUUUGAUCACUUCACAUGUCACUUACUAUAUUUAUUCCACUCAAGUUAGGUAAAUAUUAUUAUCAAACAUUUCAAUUAAUUUGUGAUUUUUUUAUUAUUUAAUCAAUUAUGAAUUAAUGGAUUCUUCUUGUUGUUUUGAAGACCAACAAAAAAAAAAAAAAGGGUAGUGAUGGCUUAUAAUUCUGGUAAAACAACAGUGACGUGGACAACAGAUGUUACGCUGUACUAAAGAUUUUUGAAGAUUCUUUAUUUGAGUUUCUUUCAAGAUAAAAACCAUAUUAUCCACAACCACAAGCACAUCCGGCAGACAAUCUUUGGCUAUUCAUCACAAUUGGGAGACAAUGAAGAAGACAGAAAAUGGAGUAAUUCAGAUGUUACCAGCCAUCCACGACAAACUGAAGUCUGCAAAGCAUUCGUAAUCUAAAAAGGAUGGGGAGGCUGCGCAAUACUUAGCCACGUGUAGGCCAGGAGGCUUUCCAAUUUUAAUAUAUAUAUAGAUUGAAAAAAUAAAAUAAAAAUCAAUCUAUUAUCAUAUAUAUUAUAAAAUAAAGAUUAUUGCUCCCAUGGGCGGUGCUAUGCACAGGACAGUGCCUGCCUAGUCCAAAUUUUUUUUAAAUAAAAAUAAAAAUCUACAUAUGUUAUAAGCUCAUCCAAAAAAAAAAAAAAAAAUAAAAGUGUUGUAAAUUAUAAGGUGGAGCCCACAUGUUGGAAGGCUUUGCCUACAAAAGGGUUCACACCCUCCCUUUGUAAUUAGACAUUGAGAAUACUAAGGAAGACAGAAAUGAAUAGAGAGAAAACAUUCCCUUCUCUCCAUCUCAAUUCCCUCUCCAAUUCCUCUAGAUUUAUAACACGUUAUCAGCAGCACGAAUCGCUUUCAAACAAUACCAGCUGAAUUUUAUGAUGAAACCCAGAUCUCUCAUCCAUCUCUGCUGCUCCACUACUUCAAAAUAAAUCCCACAGAAAAAGAAAAAGCCUCAAUGCUCUCUCUCUCUCUCUGUCUCGCUUGGGAGACUUGGACAAUUCCUCAUCCCCGUUACUGACAAUUUCAACAGCUUCAGGGGAAGCUAGUUUAUCUUCCUCUGCUCACGAAACCAUGACUCUUUCAGAGCCAAACAACAACACAAUAGACAACGCAUGGAGACCAGACUGGAGCUCGUCGGCUAAGGCACCGACGAUCCGACCCUACCCGUAUGGACCUUCCGGAUGUGGUUCCUGGGUCUUGUCUCAUGUGCCCUCCUCUCAUUUCUCAACCAAUUCUACAAGCAGCAGAGCUUCAAAUCAAACAGAUCAUGGCAUCGCUUUCACACCUCCCCAUCUUCCUCUUCCUCCUGUUCACCGCUUUCUAUUCUACAGCUUCGCAGUCCUUCAUCGGCGCAUCCAAAGGCGACAUACCGGCGCUCGCCUCAGAUCCGAACGCGGCGGCUCAGUGGGUGAACUCGAAUGUCCUCGCCUUCUACUCGGCCAGCAACAUCGACCUCAUCAACGUCGGCAACGAGGUCCUUUUUCUCCAACGACCAGGGCCUCAUCUCGCAGCUCCUCCCCGCCAUGCGAAAUGUCCAAUCUGCCCUCUCCGCCGCGUCCCUCGGCGGCAAGGUCCGUGUCUCCACGGUCCACUGCCUCGCCGGAUCGGGAUCCUUCCUUCAAGUGUUUCUCUGUCUUCGACUUGAAAAAGAAGGUCAUGGCAGGCCUAUGUAAAAAUUGCGAAAAGGAAGGCAAUCUUCAACCUUUUCUCCUGUCUCUCUCUUGAUCAAUUCAUGGAAGGCACAUUUGGGUCUUCCGGGGGCUCAUCAAAUGAGUCAGCAAUGUCAAAGGUGGAGGUGGUGGAGCAAGACUACGUGGGGAUGUCAUAUGAGGCAACCUCAUACCCAGCUGAGGCAGAGCUUGUGCUGGGCCUGGGCCUUGGCCUGAGCCUUCGUGGUGGUGGUGCAGGGAAGCAGCCAAAGCCAUGUGCAUGGGGUGAGCGUGGUAGAAUCUUGACUGCUAAAGUUAGGUGCUGAGUUACACUGUGUUCUCUGCUACUGACCCUAAGAGGAGUGCUAGAAACUUCCAUGUUCCGCCAUCAUUUCGCUUUCACUGUUACAAGGCACUGGAGUAUGUUUAAUUGAAAAGUGAGAUACACAGCAAGUUGAUCAGCCUAGUGGAAAGCAAAGGAUUAUUGCCAGGGAUAUGAACACCCACCGAAAUAAAGGGAUAAGUACUCUUUUUCCCUUCGACCAGUUUUUUUUUGUCCCACUGGGUUUUUACUGGCAAGGUUUUUCACGAAACAUAUUCCGUAUCAUUUGUGGUCUCUAAGAGGGAGUGUUGUAAAUUAUAAGGUGGAGCCCACAUGUUGGAAGGCUUUGCCUACAAAAGGGUUCACACCCUCCCUUUGUAAUUAGACAUUGAGAAUACUAAGGAAGACAGAAAUGAAUAGAGAGAAAACAUUCCCUUCUCUCCAUCUCAAUUCCCUCUCCAAUUCCUCUAGAUUUAUAACAAAAAGUAAAUUCUACACAUAUGUUGCCCAUCCAGGUGGUCCCAUAUCUUCUCUUUCCUUUUCUUUUGGCUAUUAGACUUCUUGUUUCUCUCUCUCUCUUUGCUACCCCACAUCAGCAAGUUUCUCCCUCUCUUUUUUUGGGAUCAAAUUCUUCUUCUAUUGACAAAAUCUUCUAUUAUAUUGGGUGGGCAACUUGGCAACAACAUCUUCUCCUCUCCUUUUGUCAACAGCAAGUAUUAUUCUCAUUCUCUCAUUUGCUAUAUAUCUUUAAUUAUAGUUUUAAUUUAAAAUUGAGUAUUCUAGGGUUUAAUUAGGGAUGAAUUAUAAUUUUGGGAUUUUGUUGAAAUUAAUUAGGGCUUCGAUUAGGGGUGAAUUAUUCUACUGCUUUGAUUUGGAAUUUUGUUAAAAUUGAGUAUUAUAGGUUUAAUUAUGGAUGAAUUACAAUUUUUGGUUUUGGUAUUGUUGAGAUGUUAUUAUGAGAAUUUGUUUGAUUUUUUGUUGGUAUAUUUGAUUAAAAUUCUUUCUACAUAUUAUUCAUAGGCUAUCUUUUAUUAUGUCGGAUCACAAUCGGAAUCCCAAGAAAACAAAAAAUUUGAAUAGUGUUGUUUUGUAUUGCAUUGCAUUUACUUUUGGUUUUAGUUUUGCUUUUAGUGUAAAUUACUCAAAUGGUCCUCAAAUUUGUACCCAAUUUACAUUUUGGUCCAUAAACUAAAUUAUUCAUUCAAAUGGUCCACCAACUCUUUAUUAAUCGGUGCUUUGGUCCUAUCGUUAUGUUUUCUAUUAAAUUUAGUCAUGUGAGCAGCACAUGCUACAUUUGUAUGGGUAAAUAAGACUUUUGACCAGUGGCGGAUCCACGUUGGGACAAGAGGGGUCGGACGACCCCUUGGAAGGCUGGAAAUUUGGCAAGGGAGUCCAUGAAAGCCCCCUUGGACAGCUGCUGGAAGCCCCCUUGUAUGCACACAAUGUGCUCGACGAAAUGCCCCAACGAAAUGUCCUGCGCAGCUGUGCUGCGCCUUGCGCGUAAUUUUUUUUUAAAACCAGCCUUGCCAAACGACGUCGUUUGGUCAAGGCUCAGUCAAAUUUUUUUUUAAUUAACCUGGCCUCAAAACGACGUCGUUUUGGGCCAGGUUUAAAAAAAAAAAAACAGAACAGUACACACGCACAGCAGCUCUGCACAGAUUCAUUUUCUCCAAACCUUUCAUUCCCAAUUCCACAGCCCCUCUUCCCAUCCUCUCAAACCCUAACCUCCCAACCUCCCAACCUUGGACAACCUCCAUCAACUCUUCACCGGUGGCCCAAUGCCGAUCACCACCACCUUCUACCGCCGUCCGCCGCCCAUUUUUUAAACUACAAGUAAGUAAGCAUGGAAAAUCUGAUAUUAAUAAUUAUAGUGAUAAUAUAUAUUGUUGAUAUUGAUAUUUUUUUUUUAUGUAAUGAAAUUUAUGGAUAUGAAUCAUAUUGAUUGAUUGAGUUUAUGCUUGAAAUUUAUGGAUAUGAAUCAUAUUGAUAUUUUUUUUUAUGUAAUUAAAUUUAUGGAUAUGAAUCAUAGUGAUAAUCAUAUUAAUGUAGAUUGAUUGAGUUUAUGCUUGAUUGAUAAUAUGAAUUGAUUGGGUAUAUUAAAUAUUGAUUGCUAUUUGAUAUGAUAAUUUGGUAUAUUGAAUAUUGAUUGAUAUGGGUUUAGGGAGUAUAUUGAAUAUUGAGAGUGGGUUAUUGAAAUUUUCAUAUUCAUAUGAUAAUUAGGAUAAAAAUUAAUGAUUGAUUGAAUUAAUUGAUUUGUAGAUUUAUGGAACGAUUCUUUAAAAGAAAAUUAUCUACGGAUAGUUCUUCUCUGUCUAAUCCGGGUAGUUCAAAUGCAAGACCAAUUGAAGUAGAUGAGAUCUUAGCUAAUCUUCAAGCAGACCCUGGACUAAGAACUCGAAUGGCGGAUUAUAGUCCUAAUAUUAGGGAUGAGAUCCGAAGAGCAUAUCUACAAAAGGGACCUUGUCAACCUAGAAGUUAUAAAUUCCCACAAACUAAUCAAUCAGGAAUUAAUAGACGCUUCAUUGCUCAUUGGUUUGAUGAUCAUGAUUGGUUGGAAUAUAGUAUUGCUAAAGAUGCUACGUUUUGUCUUCAUUGUUAUCUCUUCAAAUCUAAUUUUGAUCAAGUGGGUGGUGAUGCAUUCACUGGGGUAGGCUUCAAUAAUUGGAAGAAGGCGAAAGAAAGAUUUAACCUUCAUAUUGGACCGGUUGGUAGUGUUCACAACCAAGCUAGAGAAGUUGCUUACAAUUUGAUGCAUCAAACUACACACAUUGAAACAAUUGUGCUCAAGCAAACAAGCCAAGCUCGCACGGCUUAUCGCACUUGCUUGAAUGCAUCACUUAAGUGCACUAGGUAUUUGUUGCGGCAAGGGCUUUCUUUUCGUGGUCAUGAUGAAAGUGCACAAUCAAGUAAUAAAGGGAAUUAUUUAGAGCUCUUGCAAUUUCUUGCGGAUCAUGAUGAAAAAGUUAAGGCCGUUGUAUUGGAAAAUGCUCCGGGAAAUUUAAAGUUAAUAGCUCCUUCAAUUCAAAAAGAUCUUGUCAAUUCUUGUGCCAAAGAAACCAUUGAUCUUAUCUUGAGUGAUGUAAAAGAUAGAUAUUUUUCAAUAAUGGUGGAUGAAGCACGUGAUGUUUCAAUAAAGGAGCAAAUGGCAAUGGUGUUGCGUUAUGUGAAUGACAAAGGACAAAUAAUUGAAAGGUUUGUGGGGGUUCAACAUGUAACCGACACUACUUCAAGUGCACUAAAGGAAACAAUUGAUGAAUUCUUUUCUUCCGCGAAUUUGAGCUUUUCCAAGCUACGAGGACAAGGUUAUGAUGGAGCUAGCAAUAUGAGAGGUGAGUUCAAUGGCCUUAAGAGAAAGAUUUUGAGAGAACAACCUUGUGCAUUUUAUGUUCAUUGCUUUGCUCAUCAACUUCAACUAGCUCUUGUUGCGGUAGCAAAGAAAAACAUUGAUGUCAACUCUUUUUUCACAACGGCUAAUAGUUUGGUUAAUGUGGUUGGAGCAUCUUGUAAGCGUCGCGAUGCACUUAGAGCACAAUACCAAGAAGAGCUUGUGAGAGCUUUUGAAGAUGAUUGUCUUAUAACGGGGCGGGGCUUAAAUCAAGAAAGGACUCUCAAACGUGCCGGCAAUACACGAUGGAACUCACAUUAUGGUACGUUGAUUAGUAUCAUUUCUAUGUUCCCAUCUGUGGUGAAUGUGCUUCAAAUGAUUGUUGAUGAUAAUCUUAAUGAUAGUUCGGGUGAAGCCUAUAAGUUAAGGAGAGAAAUACAAUCUUUUGAGUUUGUGUUUCACUUAUUUGUAAUGAAAGCUAUAUUGGGAAUAACAAACACUUUGUCUCUAGCAUUGCAAAAGAAAGAUCAAGACAUUGUGAGUACAAUGAAUUUAGUGAAAACAUGCAAGGAAAACCUGCAGUUGAUGAGGGAUAAUGAGUUUGAAGAAUUGGUUGGGCAAGCAUCCUCGUUUUGUUACAAAUAUGAUAUUAUAGUUCCUACCAUGGAUGAGGAAUAUGUAAUUCCAGGGAGAUCAUGGCGUAAUGCUCCAAUGAAGACAAAUUAUCAUCGUUAUCGUGUGGAGAUCUUUAUUCAUGUAAUUGAUGGGCAACUUGCGGAAUUAAAUGAUCGCUUCAACGAGGUAAGUACUGAGUUACUUACUUGUUUGGCAUGCUUGAGUCCAAAAAAUAACUUUGUGACUUUUGACAAACGAAAGCUAGUUCGUCUUGCUCAAUUUUAUCCUUAUGAUUUUUCGGAUAGAGACUUAUUGAUGCUUGAAGAUCAACUUGGUGUUUAUGUUCAUCAUAUGCGUUCGAGUAGUGAUUUUUCUCAAUUGGAAGGGAUUAGUAGUCUUGCGGAAAAAAUGGUGGAGAAAGGAAUGCAUGAAAUAUUUCCUUUUGUAUUUGCUUCUUACAUUGGCUUUGGUUUUACCGGUUGCAACUGCAUCAGUGGAGAGGGCAUUUUCCGCUAUGAAUAUUAUUAAAAAUCCACUUCGCAACAGAAUGGGAGAUCAAUGGUUGAAUGAUAGCUUGCUUGUUUACAUUGAGAGAGAUGUUUUUGCUUGUAUUGAUAACGAAAUUAUAAUGCAAUGUUUUCAGAAUAUGAAAACUCGUCGUGGACAAUUGUAACUUGUAUUAUUGGUUUUGUUAUGAAUUAUGAAUGAAAGUACUAUCUUUCUAUCUUUUUAGCAUUAUUUUCUUUGUAGAAAAAUUUCAGAACUUUUACACUAAGCCCCCUUGGCUACAUAAUCCUGGAUCCGCCACUGCUUUUGACCACUUUAUCACCUAUGUAUCACCACUUUAUAACCUAUUUGGGGAACAUAGGUCAGUUAUGGACGGUUUUACCCUUACAUUUGACGGCAACAUUAACAUAAUGUAACAGUGGGAUCAAUGGAGUGAUUAAUAUAAAGUUGAUGGACCAUUUGAAUGAAUAAUUUAAUUGAGAGACCAAAAUGUAAAUCAAGUAUAAGUUUGAGGACCAUUUGAGUAAUUUACCCUUCGCUUUUAUAUUUGUUGAACUUUUAUUUAUGAUAGAUAUGCAUUUAAGGGUAAGACCCAUUAUGUUCCCCUGGCUAGGUGUAUCUUUUUAUGUUUAUUAAUGAAAUUCACUCGAACUGUUGAGUUUAGUAUGUAAGUUUUGCCUAACUGGCUUUUGAAUCCUAGAACCGCCACUGUUGCUCCAUCCUCCAUGCACUUGCAUGUGCUCUUACAAAGUGUGAAGUAGAUUUUGUGUGCUCCAAGUCAUUGACUAGAGCUGAAACAUGGUUAGCUAGAUUUAUAAGGACCCAUCUCUUUAUUUCCUAGACAUAUACCCAUCUCUCUAUAAAUCUAUAUGUAAAACCUAAUUUCAAACUUAAAUGACCAGUAGGAUAUAAAAGGUCAUAGUAUUCCUAUGUUUUUAUAUCGUUGCCACCAGACUUCUUAUUUUAUUUAUAAUUUAUUUCAAGCAUUUCAUUAACUGCCAUAAUUGUAAUUAAUACUCCAUAUUAAUAGCAUAUCAAUCACCCCAUUUCUUUUGGUUGCCAUUCCCUCUAACAUAUCGCCCCUUAAAUUUGAAAACCAAAAAAAAAAAAUGUAAAUUACAUAUCCAAUAAUGUACCUAUGAAAAAUAUAAAUAUAAAUAUAUACAUAUAAAAAUAUAGGUAUAUUAUUUACCAAAUAGAAAAUAUAAAAACCUAGGUCAGUUGCUUUGUAAUUGAAAUUUCUGUACAUUUUCCACAAAUUAAAAAUAGGUACAUAAUAAUUUAUAGAAAAUAUAUGUACAUUAUUUAUCCAUAGGUAAAAAUACCGAUAAAUGCACAUAGGUGAAUUAUUUACCAAUAUAUUAUUUUUUUGCUAAGGAUUUACCUUAGUUUUUAGUAGAUUAAUUUACCUACCUAGAGGCAUAGGUAGCUUAAAAAAAAUGUACCACCUUAGUUGGUUGCAUACUAAUUUACCUACCUAGAGGCAUAGGUUGCUAAGAAAAAAUGUAGGUAAAUUCAUGUACCUAAACACAUAGGGGUCAAAUAGAGAAUAACAUGUUAUUUCCCUUUGAACAAAUUAAUUUCAAACCAUAACAAUUAUUGAAUUUGGAAAUUGGUAUAAAUAAAAGGAAAUAAAUAAACUAUCAAUUUGAAAAUUAAAAUAAGAAAUGAUCAAGUAGUCAUAUUUGAAAAAAAAGGAAAGAAUAUAUUCUUGGUUUUUAUAGGAACAACGAGUAUAUUCAAACCAAACGGCGAUAACUACACCAAGCUUUAAUUACUUUUUUUUAAGGCCAAAAGUCACUUUUGGUCCCUGUAGUUCGGCAUUUCUACCACUUUUGAUGUUGUAGUUUCAAUUCCGUCAAUUUUGCCAUUGUAGUUUCGUAUUUGUAGCAAUUCAAGGACCUGUUAAUAUUAAUGUCAAUUUGUUUAAUGAUGCAAGAGGUAAUUUCGUCAUCCCAAAAUCCUUGAGCAUAAAAGAUUGUCUGAAAUUCUCCCCAUUUCAUAUUAGGGCUCGAAAUUCAACCACUAAUCCUAAUUUUUGAAGAACCCUAGACCCAAAUGACCAAUUUCAAGCCCUAAUAUGAAAUUACGGAAGUUUUAGAUGAGCUUUUAUGCUCAAGGAUUUUGAGUUGAAGAAACUGCCCCUUGCACUGUCAAAUAAAUUGACAGGAAUACUGACUUGUCCUUGAAUUGCUACAAAUACAAAACUACAGUGUCAAAAUUAACAGAAUUUAAACUAUAGGGUCAAAAGUAGUUGAAGUGUCAAACUAUAAGGACCAAAAGUGACUUUUAGCCUUUUUGUUUCAAUAAGGAAAAAACUGACCUAUUAAAUCCUUGGAAUCUAUACAAAAUUGAAACACAAUUAAUCAACAUUGAAUUGCAGCUAAUUUCUUAAACAAGGGUAUUAUAGGAAUUUAAAAAGUAUAACAUUUAAUCCAUUGAAUUUGAUUAGGAAACUUGAUGAAUUGAAUCCUAGUUAUAUAGUUUUUCUUAUAAAAAUCAGGUUUUAUUUAUAGACAAAUAAAACAAUGGGUUGUAGGUAAGAAAAUAUUAAUUUGAAGGGAAAGAGUCAAAUUUACUAAAUUAAUAAAGCAUAAAUUGGAAAGGGAAAAGAUCUAGAGGAUGCAUUGUAGGAUUGCUCAUGCCAAUAAUUGCACCCUCUCGAUAUUGAAAAACCUAUUGUUUAUUAUUAUCUUCAAUCCUGAAUGAUGCACCUAAAACCCAAGUGUCUCAGGCCAACCAUUGCGCUCAUACCACUUGUUGCAGUACACAUUCACCUGUUUUUAAAGAAAGAAAUUCUACCAAUCGAUAUUUUCUCAAAUUUAAUCACAUAGAUCUAUUAUGGUUAACCAUAUGUACUUUUAUCUGCCAUCCAGAGGUACCUUUUUCCAACGUGCAACAAUUGUAUUUGAUUCACAAUUAUGUCUGAUAUACAUCACAUCAUGCCACUUGCCUCAAAUGAAUUUAAUUGAGUGAGGCAAUGGGAAGUAAUUAAGCUCUAUAUUGGUGGGUGGAGUGUUACUUCUGGAACCCUCAUCAUUCGUCCAUACAGGGGAACAAUUCCCUUCCUUCUAUAAAAUGGGAGCAAUUCUCUCACUGUACUCUAUAUAAAGGAAUAAGUGUCGUCCACUAAUUAAUUACACUUUGUGAGAUUUGAUUUUAAUUAGAGUUCGAAUUAAUGUUGCAGCUAGCAGCGGUGGCACUGGCAAACCAUGCUGCUCAACCAGCACCUCCACUUUACUGGAAUUCCAUCCUGCCAAACACACAAAUGCCAAGAGCUAUCAGUGAACUUCUGCAUCCUGAUUUGUGUUGAAUAGAUAUAGUAUGUUACUGGAGUACGUAUGGCAACAUAUUCACAAAUGUGUCACGUAUUUUCCAUUAUGACGUUGAUAUAUAAUUGCAGACUCCACAAACGAAGAAAAGAGCACAAAUGUCAUGAAUGCUGUUGGGAAUGGAAAGCCAAUUGACCACAAGGGCAAACCUGAAAAUACUGUACUACCACAGCUUGCACGACGCCCAUUUUCUUACAAGAGUGAUGAUCGUCCCACUGACAAUCAACUCCAUUAUAAAAACGUAGCUAUUUUCUUCUUGGAGAAGGACAUGCGCCCUGGCACAACAAUGAGCUUCCAAUUCCCUAGAAAUUCAAACACGGCUACUUUCCUGCCACGAGAAAGAGCUCAAUCGAUCCCCUUCUCCUCUAACAAACUACCAGAAAUUUUCAACCAUUUUUCAGUGAAGCCAACAUCUGUGGAAGCCAAAACAAUUAAGCAAACAAUCGAAGAGUGUGAGGCUCCAGGCAUUAAGGGAGAGGAAAUAUAUUGCGCCACAUCUUUAGAAUCAAUGGUUGAUUUUAGCACUUCGAAGCUUCGAACAAGAAACGUUCAAGCAAUCUCGACGGAGGUAUUGGAAAAAGGUGCCACCAUGUCCAUGCACAAGCACACAACAAUGCCGGGACUGAAGAAGUUGGCAGGUGUCAAAGUCGUUUUGUGUCAUAAGCAGAACUAUCCCUAUGCUGUGUUUUACUGCCAUGUAAUAAAACCAACAGCAGCUUAUGUUCUCUCCCUGAAAGGCGAUGAUGGGGUGAAAGUUAAAGCAGUAGCCAUCUGCCAUCUAGACACAUCAGAAUGGAACCCAAAGCAUUUGGCCUUCCAAAUCCUCAAAGUUAAGCCCGGAACAAUUCCCAUCUGCCAUUUCCUUCCCACUGAUCAUAUUGUCUGGGUUCCGAACCACAAAUCUGCAUGAUCAUCACUUAGCACUGUACGUAUAAUAACCUUUACCCCUGUAUAAUUAUCUCCCUACUCUACUUAUUUCUGCCUCUUCAUGUGGUGUAAGAUAUAUGAUGAGAUGAAGUUUUUGGGAUUAGUGGUCGGGUUGCCUUAAAAACACAGAUUACAGAAACUGCUUGAACUUAACCCGAUCAUGUUUUCUCUUGUACUCGUAAAGCAUGCUGUUGUGGUUCUACUUAAUUUCGUCCUCCCCAAUGUUUGAGUGUUUAAUUGUUACGUUGGAAUAGGCUGCUAAUGCAUGUAGUUAGAGAAGCUUUCAUUUAUAUCAAAGUCCUCAAACUAUCAAGAAUUAAUGCAUCCAGAAACAUAUAUACCAAGACGCAAAACAACAUAUUUUCCAUGCUGUGUCGGUAACACCAAAGCAAACUUCCUUUAUCACAAAAGGACCAAAUUCCAAUACUAAUCUAAUCCAUCAUGUAAAGCAUACAAUCUACAACUGCCUCCCUAAAUUUGUCCAUUGGAUAUAUAUGUCACUUUUUGGUAAUUUGGUAUAGCAGCACCACGUAGUAUGCAUUUAACAGAAAAGUAAACAAAAUUGACAGUAGAACUAUUUGUCCUAACGAAACUGAAGUUGAAAGACCAUGAGAACGAUUUUGAAAAUUAAGGGACUCAAAUGAAAAUUGGGUCUAAGUUCAGGGACCAAUAAAACGAUUAACCCAUAGAUUUUGGAUCCAGUACCACAUCCCAAAGAGAAAACCACAAGUUUGCAAGCAAGUUUGUCCAUACUAACACUACGUACAGUAUGGGCAAUGUGCUAGACUCAUCUCACUUUCUCAACCUAUCCUAUACUUGUCUAAAAGAGUUUCUAAUUUAAUGUACUGAGAUUUACGAAAGAAAUAUCAGAGAAACAAUUUUCAGGCAAUAAAAAAAUGUCUUGGCAAGAAAAUGCACAAUUUGUUACAUAACUUAUUAAAUAUGAACAGUUGAAAGAAAAAAGAAUUUGGAUGAGGGAUUUGCAAAUUCCUAUGGCCCAAUUACCUUUUUUUCUUUGUUUUUUUUUGGUUCUUUUGAUCCAGUAGCAUAUUCCAAAGAAUGAAAACCACAGGCAUGCAAUGCAAGCUCUUUUCCCAUGUUUUCCUCUGUUUUUCUCCUAUCAUGGAAGUGAUUAAAACACACCUCUAAGCUUGUUUUGCGUUUGGUAGCCGAGUGUAAAAGCUCAAUGCAAGAUAGUUUGAGGUAGAAUUUUCUCCUGUUUUAUUAGGACAAUGAUGAGCUAUAUGUGACAACAAAUUGCUUUAAUAAUGAAAAUUAAAAAAGUGUGAUUCAUUGAAUAUUUGCGGGGUUUUGUUCAGAGCUGACAAAGUUCUAAGUCAACACAUCAAAUUCCUUUUUCCAACAAUCGUAUUUGAUUCACAAUUUUGUCUGAUAUACAUCACAUCAUGACACUUGCAUCAAAUGAAUUUAAUUGAGUGAGGCAAUGGGAAGUAAUUAAGCUCUAUAUUGGUGGGUGGAGUGUUACUUCUGGAAUCCUAAUCAUUCGUCCCUACAGGACUCUAGAACUCUCACACUUCUUACAAGGACUACUUAACUCUAUAGCUUAUUGCAUAUAGCAUAUAUAUGCAAACCCAAUUAGAAAUUCUACAACAGAAGCAAGAUCAAUCUCACUAUGCCUUCUAAACAAACAAACAAAUAAAACAAGCAUAUUAAUUGCUUUAAUCACUCUACUAACAUCAACACAGCACACUUAGUUUACUAACAGAUGAUAUAGAAAGGAAAAAAAAGGACCAAUAGGGAGAAAAUGGUGAACUAAGGAGAGACUAAUACUUCUGGUCCUUAGAAGGCAUAACAGAAAUAAUAGAGCACACUGCUUGAAUGCAAGUCAGUAUUAGGAGCAAAACAGCUGCAAUGAAAGAAAUAGUUGCCCAAGGUGUAUUGAAAUAAUGUUGCCUCAAAUUUGCCUUCCAUUUGUUCCAAGGCUUUCUGCAGUAGCUAUUAAGGCGCUCAGAAAGAGUAGCAAAGUAGAAGCUUUCACGAUACACUGCAAUUCCUUUUCCGAGGUUGUUAAUCAGAGUGCACACCUCAUUGUAGUCACCAAGCAUAUUUUUGACAAUCCCAUACUUCAGAAGGAACUCCACAUCCUUUUCGGUGUUCACAAACUCAUCCAUGAGUGAAACAUAAUCACUUAUGUAAUUCUUACGGCAAUGGCACUAUUCAAAGGCAAUGAGGUUAUGGAGUGUGAGCUCUGUGUAAUCGUUUAUUUUUAGUUUUGGAAUUUCUAGAAUCCCAUCGUUGAAUCGUGUUAACGCAGCUUUCCUUUCCUAGCCUACGCGGAAGUCAACUUCACAAUCUCCUCCUAGCAAUUAGCCUUUCCUACUGUAAAUCGGAUUGUAUUCAUGUCUAUAUUAUUUCCUACCUUAAAUAGAUAUCCUGUACUAGUAUACAUAGGGACUUUGUGUAAUCUGUUAAAUACAAGGAAAUAUAUACUCUACAUGGUAUCAACCUAACCUAGGGUUCUCUCUCUCCCCCUUAUUCGAUCCUCUUCUCCUUUAGGUCCACCUCAUGGCUUCGUUUGAAUCCACCAUCUCCCUCCCAAGCCCUAACUCUUCUCAUUUUAUCAAGCUUACUAACUCCAACUAUCUUCUUUGGCUCCGCCAACUCAAACCCUUUUAGUUGGCCAUGACCUCUGGAAAUUUAUCGAUGGCAUUCAUAAACAACCUUCUGCCCACACCUCCACCUCUACCACCACAACACCCACAACCACCACCACUCUUACCGAAAUCAAUCCUACCUAUGCUCAGUGGUACCAACAAGACCAACUCAUUGUUAGCUACAUCACCAGUACACUCUCUGAGUCCAUUUUCUCUCUCACUGUCGGUUGCAUCUCUGCCCGGGAUCUCUGGGAGUGUCUCCAAUGCCACUUCUCUUAAUCCAAUAUGGCCAGUGAAUCUGCUCUUCGUUUUCAACUCAUGGAUUUGCAAAAAGGCUCUCAACCCAUUGAUGCUUACCUUCGUCAUGCUAAGUCUCUUGCCGAUUCACUAGCUGCCAUCAAUUAACCUGUCUCCCCAAAAGAACUUGUCACUGCUGUGCUUCGGGGUUUAGGACCCGAUCACAAAAUGCUCAUCACAGCAAUUCUCAAUUUCUCUCCGCUUCCAGACUUUGCUGAUCUUCGUGCUCGUUUGUUAGCUUUUGAUGCACAGACUCCUCGAAUCUUUCCUGAUCAAAACACAACGCUAAUGGCCACCCAAUCUUCUCCUUACACCACCGGUCAUACUUCCUUCCCUUCUCACCGUGGUUGUGGCUCUUCCAGCAAUAGGCGCGGUGGCUGGUGCAGUAUUGGCCGUGGUGGCUGGCACAACUUCUCAUCUUCCUAGAGCAACCCGUGGAAUGGCUUCCAGCAGCCCUAAUGACCUAAUCAACUGUGGCCUCCUUUUGCUCUAAGUUUUGGAUCUCAAAGCAACUGGCCUUCCUUUCAACCUCUUUGGGCCCAAUCUGCCGCUUCUAGCAAACACUCUGCCCGACCCAACUCAGCUCCUGGUGUCUUGGGACCCGCUUGGUGCACCACAUGCAAUACCAAUCGACAUACUACUACAACAUGUCCUUAUUGCUACAAUGGCCCAGAAUUCUUCCUUUGCUGGGGCUCAAUUCAUGCAGCCACCUAACUCUACAUGGUACCCUGACACAAGUGCCACUCAUCAUAUGACUGGUAGUUCUUCUAAUCUCCAAAGGAAAUUAAAUGAAGGAGUCCUACGAAGGCUCAAGGCUCGAAAGCACACGAUCCGGCUCUGCUGCGGAGCUCACUCAACUACUGGCUGAGGGGGCGCAAAACAGAAAAUUGUGAGUGGACAAAAAUAAAAAUUCAGUUCAGUGUAAACCAACGUAAUAUAACCCCACCGUUUAGAAAACCAUGCAAGAAAUCCAAAUGCAUCUCAAAACCAUCAUAAUCAUCAAAUCAAAAUCAAAUACUGGAUGCCAAGUCCGAAAUCCAUAAAGAAAGCUUUACAAACCCACCAUCCAAAUCUUACAAUCCCACAACUAAACUCUCGAAAGCGUACCCAUUGGCAGUACCAGCAAGGAAGUAUCCUCACCGAGAAACAAGAACAAAAGAAUAGCUAUAUAUAUAAUUAUAUAAUAUAACCACACCUAGUUGUACCGGGAAAACAAUCCAACCGGGGGAUUGUUUGACUAGUCACCAUGGCAGAGUCAAAGUAAACAAAUUCCUCAAUUCACCAUGUGACUAGGGAACGAGCUGUCCAACUGGGGGACCAACUCUCAGCCAGCAUGUACCGUCGAUAGCCUCAAAACCCGUACGUCUGUGACCAGUCCUACGCGUGCAGACUACCCAAUCAAGGGUUUACAGCAACAUCCCAUCAAGGAUGCCCUAGGUUCCCACAAUUCCAAGUAUCUCAAGUUUGCGUAUCCAAGUUCCAAAUCCGGGGAGGUACAUAGGGUAGUGCUUAUAGCACUCCAAAUUGACAUUCUAUACUCAUCACUUUCCACAAUCUCAUCUCAACAACCUAAGUACCCCACACAUAGCCAAACAUAUAUAGAAAUUCUCAAAAUCCAUAUAUACAUACUCAAGAUACUCAAAUAUGUCAAAAUCCAAAAUAUAUUUCCAAUGCAUCAUAAAAAUAUCACUUUUAACAAUUGAAUAAAUAAUAUAUAUCCAAUAUACCAAUUAAAACAUCAUGCAUAAUAUUUCCCAUCAUAAAAUCAUGCAUAAGAUUUGAAAACAAAGUCCACUCACAAGUAGUCCCACACUGCUUGACCUUGAGAGGGUCCCGCCUACUGCGUAUGCGUGGUUGGAGUACCUAUUUCAGAAUACGUAUACGAGAUUAAUAAGAAGCGUUUCGAACGAGAACUUUGAAUUAAAUAUCCUAAUUUCCCAGGUUUCUAGUAAGUGUACUAGGAACGAGACGUUCUAAGGUUCCACUACCCAAUUCGAACCAUGGAAGAGCUUCGGGAGACACUCGGUCAACCGGCGGUCAAAUUCCCAAAUCGGGUCAACUGGCCCACGGGACCCACGACCUCCGUUUUUAAAAUCCGUAAGUUCCUAAAGGUUUCACAAUGUCUAAGAUACUACUAUCACAAGUUUGGUCCGAAACGGACUGUUAGAUCGCUUACGAUCGCACGAUCAGACGGUUAUUGUAAAACGUAAACUUUAAGUUAUUGAAUCAGAACAUCCGGGGCUCCGAUUCACGAUCCGCGAAUUCCUACACGAUCCUAGGAAGGUCUAGAGUAACAUAUAUUGGAAUGGAGUCGAUCCAAAGGUCCGAACAUAUCGAACCUAGACCGGAUAACUCCUAAUAUGUGAGAUUCGUUCGGGGUUCGAACAUCAACCAAAUUGGAAUCCUAAGGUACCUACGUGCUCGUGACAUUAAGGGGAUCAAUUGGGACAAAAAUGCCCCUCUGCUACAGUGCCCACGUGCCACCACACGCGGCGGUAGAGAGUGGGUGUCCAAAGCGAUUUCUCUUCGCCGGAAAAUCUCCAAAUUACAAGCCACUCUCCUGGCUACAGGUUCUACUCAACGAGUGGAACACUUUAUUCAACUACAGCCAAGUCCAAUUCGGACGGCAAGUGGCCGGAAACUCACGGUUUAACCCGGAACUUCAUGGCUUGGAUUGGGCGACCAUCGUCACCAUUGUCGUGGCACAACCUAGGAAAUAGCUAAAAGGAGAGGAGGGCUACCUAUUCCAAGCGAUGGCGCAGCUCGCGGUAGCCGAAAAUGUAGCCGAUGACGUUGGCAGUUUUGGCCGGUUUUUCACGUCGUUGCCAUCGCCGUUUGUCGAGUUUUCGAUUGGAGAAAAGGGGUGGGGUGAGUAGAGGAGGAAGAGAGGAAGCUUUUGCAAGAAAUGACACUUGUCAGGGAGGGGGGGGUUGGGGGAAGAGAGAGAGAGAGAGAGAGAGAGAGAGAGAAAAAAAAAAAAUUUCAGAUUUUCAUCCAAACCCUUUUCGAAAUAUUUACAAGUUUGCCACUAAACUACUUUUGGUUGCCAAAUCUUCGUUAUAACUCCGAUUCAAGCCUACCACGUGUCUACGGAUUCGUCUCAAUACAACCUACCCAAAAAUACCAGUCACUGCCCCAAACUCUUUUUGGGUAAGAAAAUGACCAAAAUACCCCUACCCCAAGGGUAAAUUCAUAAUUUCACUUCAAUAAUUUAAUAAAGAAUUAAAUUUGGAGUCGGGGUGUUACAUUAACUACCUGUUUAGUAGGUGUGGGGUUUUAUACAAAAAGCAUCGAUGUUAUUGGGAGUGGAACCACUUAUUAUAAGUUGUGAUUUAUUUAGUCAAGUUUCCUAUGUGGGAUUUUCUAUUCUUCAACAAGCCCCCUCAUGUGGGACCACCACAUAGUGGGCCACAUGUAAAGCUAAGUCCACAUCGGAGUCAAUCAUUCAAGCCCAAUACCUAAACACCACGUAUUGUGUGAGGGGUAGGGGUAAACAUUCAAGCCCAACAUGUGAACCACCAAAUAUUAAGUAAGGGUAAAGGCUCAAUUCAGGCCCAAUCAAUGAACCCAUUAUGAUAUCAUGUUAAAUUUCAGAUAGACGGGACUGUGGCCCACCACUAGCAACAUUGAUAUUGUCCCCAACUUAACUACAUGUUUAGUAGGUGUGGAGUUCUAUACAUAAGGUCUCGAUGUUUUUAGGAGUGGAACCACUUAUUAUAAGUUAUAAUUUAUUUAGUCAAGUUUCCAGUCAACCUGACUUUGAUACCAUGUUAAGAUUUUAAAGGGACGAACUCUUGGCACUAUUAGUAACAUCGACAUUGUCCCCAACUUAACCACCUGUUUAGCAAGUGUGGGGUUUUAUCCUAAAGGCCUCGAUCUUAUUAAGAGUUGAGUCAUUUAUUAUAUGGAACUUUCUAUUUUGUUAACUCUGUGUAUUCUUCAUCAAUGUGAACACCCCUAAACCAAUCAUACCUGAUACGAAUUGAAACACAAGUUUGUUUUUUGCCUUUGGUAGAUGAGUAGCUAGAAAAGCUCAAUGCACUUGCUCUUCUGCUACAUUUCAAUAUAAGAACAAGGUUUGGAAGUCAGGUCAACUCCUCAUAGCUUCCUUGCCUUUGCUUUGACAUGUCUAUGCACUUCUUGGGGAAGUUUGAAUAAUCCAUUGCAGGCCCCAUGACAACUAAGGAACCAACAUUUUGUAGAAGGUUUUGUCUAUACCUUUUGACUAUAAGUAAAAUCUUUUGUAUCUGCUCUUAUGUUUCGGUGAAGUUUCUAUGUGUCCUUUGUGCCGAGUUUCUAUGCGUCCUUUGUUGAACCAAAAAAUGAGGUUGUUUCUUACUAGAUUCAAAUACUUAAAAGAAAAAAAGAAAUUGUUGUUUCUUAAUGGAUUUUAUGAUGAACAAUAUCAAACUCUCCUCUUAUACGUCUGUUGGUAAAUUUUAACAACAAUAUUAAAACCUUGCAAGUGCACAAAUCAAAUGAUAGUAUAGUAAGCAAGCAAGGGUCGAUCCCACGGAGAUUGUGAUCUAAAGAGAUGUUUAUCAAUGUCACGCAAUGAAAAUCAAAACAAAGGACUUCCAAACACACGCCAACACCAAGGGGGGUUUUGAUUUGUUUUUGUGAAUCAAACAAAAUAAGGAAAAGGAAACAAAAGAGAAUUUAAAUUAGAGUUUAAGAGAAAUUGGUUUAAAAUCAAUCAAGAUCAAUAGCUAGGACUUACUAUCCACCUCCAAACAAUCAAUCAAUCCAUAAACAACAAUAGAUAAUCAAUUUCUAGUAAGCACACUACUACAAAAAAGCAAAAAGACGACGGUAAAUCACCGUCGUGUAUUCGGUUUUUCAAUGGUCGUGGAAUCCACCGUCAUCUUUUCCCUCAUAAACCACGACGCUAAAUCACCGUCGUUGUUACAAUAUACAACGUCAUCAACAAAUACAAAACGACGUCUUUGUACUGCAAAAAGAUCUAAAAAAGCAAUCGAUGAUGAGAAAAGACGACCAACUCUCUAAACAAACCGUCGUUAAAAAGAAAAAAUAUGACACAUAUUAACAGAACAUGGCCGCAAGAUAGACAUACAACGACGAAAAUUAAAAUAAGACGCCGUUAAAUAUCAUUUUCACGACAAUAAAAAAUAUGUCGUCUUUAAAUACAUUAGAAGACGACGUUAUUGAUACCUACUACGUCGCCUAUAUAAAAAUAACCGUCGUAAAAUAAAUUUUCCACUUCGAUUUUUCUAUAAAAGAUGACGUGGAAAUAGUUGUCAGUGUCAUUAUUUACGACGUAUGUAUUUAUAGAGUAGACGUUGAACAACGAAACAACGUCGGUUACAAAUAUAUGAGAGUCGUAUUACAAAAUUUAUACGUCCUAUUUUCAGAAACAAACAACGACGAUAAAUAUUAGACGUUGUUAAAUAAAACAACGUCGAAAACAAAUAAAAACAGACGUGUUUAGUCUGCUAAAGUUCUAAAAAAUAGUCGAGGAUGAGAAUAGACGACCAACUCAAACAAAUCACCGUCGUUAAAAAGGAAAAAUAUGACACAUAUUAAAAGAACAAGGCCGCAAGAUAGACAUACAACGACGACAACUAAAACACUACGCCGUCAAAUAUAAUUUUCACGACAAGAAAAAAUAUGACGUCUUUAAAUACAUGAGAAGACGACGUUAUUGAAAUAUACUACGUUUCUUAUUUACAAACAACCGUCGUGAAAUAAAUUUUCCACUUCGAUUUUUCUAAAAAAGAUGAUGUGGAAAUAGUUGUCAGUGUCAUUAUUUACGACGUAUGUAUUUAUAUAGUUGACGUUGAAAUGCGAAACAACGUCGGUGGCAUUUAUAUAGUCGACGUUGUAUUUAUAUGUAUUCAUUACUCACGACGCACUUAUUAAUAUAGACGACGUUGAACUUCUAAACAACGUCGGUUCCAAAUAAAUGAGAGCCGUAUUACAGAAAAUAUAGAUGGCGUUGAUUAUGAUGAGAGCCGUAUUACAAAUAACGUCGUUUAAUUGAUAUUAGACGGCGGUUAUAAUGAAUUACCGUCGGAAUUCAUUUCGUUCCUCUUCGUUUAUAAAAGAACUUGCGACGUGGAAAAUGUAUGAUGACGUCGUAUUUUUUAACGUUCAGAUUAUAUAUCUCGUUUUUUAGACGUCGGUAUUAUGGGAUUGGAGUCGUGUUAUUUUGAAUUACAUGGCGGUUCUUAAUCCUUCCCCGACGUGAUAUCCUGAAUAAUUGCUUCAUAAUAGCGUCGUGGUUCUUCAUUGUUACGUUGCUUUAAGACGUCGGUAAAUAUGCUGAAUAACUGGUUCACAAUAACGUCGUGUUUUAUUUGAACGUAGAAAGUGAAGAAAUCACAUUACAAUAUAUUACAAAAUUAAUGUCAUACACUGCCAAUUACAUAAGCAUCAUUCAAUCCAUAUAUCUUCACACCCAUCUCGAAUAUUUUGACCGCCUAACUCACCCACCAGUUCAUCAAAUGUGUCAACAUUUGGCAUCCCUCUAGUAAAUGGCUCACACUCAAUUAUCACAUCACCUAAGACUUCAUCACCAAUAACAUUAUUAUAUUCUCUAUUAGGCAUUGAUAACACUACCGACCAACCACGAUGCAUCGGGUCGUCAACAAAAAAUAUUUGUUUGACUUGAGAAGCCAAAACAAAUUGGUCAUUCCUAUGUCCAAUUUUACUCAAAUCUACAAGGGUAAAUCCAAGUUCGUCGACUACAAGACCAGAACUAUCUAUCCAAUCACACCUAAAGACUGGGAUUGUAAACUUUUGGUAGUCAAGGUCCCAAAUUUCUUGAAUGACACCAUAGAAACCCAUAUUUGAGAGAAUUGAGUUUUUAUCCUUGGCACUAGCAACUUGCAUGGUAUGUGCAAGUAAAUAAACUCCACUAUUUUGAGUUGUCCGCACAUCAUCUUGUGCCUUGAUAUUGAAUUUAAUACCUUUAAUAAGAUAGCUCCUAUAUAAUGGCACAGCCAUGUUUGGACCAGCUGCUAGCCACCUUAAAUUUUCUGAUACGCCAUGAUUGUCUUCCUCAAGUUCACUUUGAACCUGCAAAUUAAUCAUAUAUCUUAAUGCAAUCUAACAUAGAAAUAAGAAGAAAAUUAAAAGAGAAAUAUGUUAUUCAACAACAUAUACCUUGAAGCGUAGCCAUUGAAUGAAAGUGUUAUUGUGCUUAUCCUGCAGCCACUUUGUGAUUUAAGGUAUGACAAUCAUGUGAUUUAAGGCCAAGAAGUCUUGAAUCUUGUAAAGAUACAAGAUUUUUAAUAUUUGAAGAAUAACCUUCAGGGACCUUCAUACCAUAGAAAGAAUUGCAAACCUCUCUCUUCUCUGCUCUUGACAAAUUCCAAGGCCCAGGAGGCAAACGAGUACGUCUUUCUCCAUACUCGGGUUGCAAAUCAGUUUUGACCCCCAUGUUCAAUAAAUCUAAUCGAGCAGCAAUCCCAUCUUUAUUUUUUCCAGGGAUCUCCAGCAAUGUACCAAUGAUACUAUCGCAAACAUUCUUCUCAAUGUGCAUAACAUCUAGGGCAUGCCUCACAGGAAGGUAUUUCCAAUACUCGAGAUCAAAGAAUAUUGAUUUCUUCUUCCAACAAACUCUGUCACCAUUUUCAACCAUGUGCAGCACUUCUUCUCCGGUUAAUGGCUCGGGAGGUAUGCCAUAUUCAGGUUUCCCAUUAAAAGCUGCACGUUGCCUCCUAUAUGGAUGAUUGAUUGGUAACCAUUUUCUAUGCCCAAUGUAACAAAUUUUGUGGCCAUUUUCAACCUGUGACUAGGUGUAUCAUCGCCGCAUAUUGGACAAGCUUUAUAUCCUUUAACAACACAACCAGAUAAGUUUCCAUAGGCGGGGAAAUCAUUAAUUGUCCACAUUAAUGCAGCUCUGAGUGUAAAGUAUUCUCCAUUAUGUGCAUCAUACACUCCUCUAAUCCCAUCCCACAAAGAUUUUAAAUCAUCAAUCAAAGGCUCCAAGUAGACGUCUAUAUCAUUUUCGGGUUGUUUAGGACCGGAAAUCAAUAAGGUUAACAUCAUGAACUUUCGUUUCAUGCACAGCCAUGGAGGGAGAUUAUAUGUAACUAAGAUAACCGGCCAACAACUAUAUCUGCUACUUAGAGAACUGUGGGGAUUGAAUCCAUCAGAUGAAAGAGCCAAUCUCAAGUUUCUCGGCUCAUUACCAAACUCAGGCCAUUUAUCAUCAAGAAGUUUCCAAGACGGGGAAUCCGCCGGAUGAGACAUCUGACCGUCAAUUGAUUUUCUAGCAGCAUGCCAAGUCAAACUCUUAGCUGUCUCAUGUGAUUGAAACAUCCUUUUAAACCUUGGAAUUGGAGGAAAAUACCACACCACCUUCGCUGGCACAUCCUCUUUCAAGAUUGAAUCUUUGCCUUCCUUCCACCUUGAGAUACCACAAGUAGGACAAUUAGUUGAAUCCUCAUACUCCUUCCUAUACAAGAUGCAAUCAUUGGGGCAUGCGUGCAUUUUCUCAUAACUCAGCCCCAAUGCACACAAAGUCUUUUUUGCCUCAUACAUAGAGGUUGGUAUUGUAUUUCCUUCUGGAAGCAAAUCGCCUUGAAGUAUCAAUAAUUCUGUAAAACAGACAUCACUCAUCCCAUGUUUUGCCUUCAAAUUAUACAACUUCACUAAUGCCGAUAACUUCGUGUACUUUCUACAACCAGGGUACACUGGUUGAUCUCCAUCCCCAAUCACAUUGGCAAACUCAUACGGAUCGGAACCAAAAUCACCAAAAUCAUUAUCAUCCAUAUCAAUUUCUUCAGACACAAAACUGUACCUACUAUGGCCAUCAUCUUCUUCAACAUUUCUACUAGCAUUAGUAGUUGCUUCCCAAGGUUCUCCGUGAAAUGUCCAAUUCUUAUAGCUUUGGUCAAUUCCAUUAAAGUAUAAGUGAUCCCUUAUAAUUCCAACCCCAAACAACUUCAAAUUAACACAUUUAACACAUGGACAACGGAUAUGUGUUGUAGUUAGAAGAUUUUCUACAGCAAAGUUCAAAAAUGCUUCCACCCCAAACUCAUAUGCCUUCGAUCUUCUAUCCGAGUGCAUCCAUGACUUAUUCAUCUCCGACACUAUAACCUAUUAUCUAUAAUAAAGUGAAAAUACAGGCAAUGACCAUCACUAUAGCAGAUUAUACAAAGAUCUAAUAGCAAGUAAUACAUAACAGAGACGACGGGUUUUAAACAAAAACAGACGUAUUUGGCAUAUAUAGACGACGGAUUUUCAACAGACGUCGUCUAAUAUAAGUAAUACAAACGACGGUUUAUGAAAAAACCGUCGUGUAUAAGUAAUACAACGACGGUUUUUUCAUAAACCGUCGUGUAAUCGUCGUCGUAUGCCUAAAAAGGCGUCGUGUCUCAGUUUAUUUUCAAGAACCCAAAACCCAUUAAGAACACAACAUAUAUAUGAAACCAAGCAAGAAACCAACAUAUACAUGAAGCCAAGCAUGAAAACAAUAAAUCCAUUCCCAAUUCAACAUAACAUAGGGUGAUUAAAAGAUCCGACAAAAUUAAAACCAUUCCCAAUUCAACAUAACAGAUAAUGUAAUCCAUGAACCCAUUAAACAGAAAAUCCAUGAACCUAUACCUAUAAGCACAUUAUUAACAGAUCGCAAAGCAUAUACCUAAAACCCUUUAACAAAACAACCUAAUAUCAUUCAAUGAAUUUACAAAGGGAAGAUAGGGUUUGUACUUACAGGUUGGACGAGCUCACAGAUUCGACGAAGCCUGGAGAGUGCAACUUUUAAUUAGAGCAGAAGUGAGAGAGCGAAUGUUAUGUUGCGCGAAAUCUGAAAAUUUUAGGGUUCAGGGUUAGAAGUAUAAGAAUAAGAGCCAAAUAUAAAAAAAUUUAGGGCGCGCGAAAAUUUUUAGAGCGCGCGCUCUUUAAAACGUCGAAAGAAAAACCAUGGCGAAAGUUCUACAAGAACCGACGUAAAUGUAAUAUUCCACGACGAAAACACUUAACGUAACGCCGUUUAUUUUGACGUUCAUUUUUCGGAUUAAUUUUAAAUUUAUUUUGAAUAUUUUGAUAUAAAGACGACUGAAAAACCACGUCGAAGUUAAGAAAUUGAAAACGUUGUAAAUUAUAAUAGACGACUUACAUAUUAAAAUGACGUCGUUUAAAGUGGAAACCAUGUCGGAUAUUUUACUGCACGACGUAACAUAUGUAUUCCACGACUCAACCACCGUCGUUAACAAUUAAUACCCUAAACCCUUAAAACUAAAUUAUAUAAUUUUAAAAAUUAAGUUUAUAAAAGGGUUUAUGGUUUUACAGCCUAAUAUAUACCCUAUACUACCCAAAAAUUAUACUUUAAAAAUAAACCCCAAUAAAUAACAACCCUAAUCUCUAAACCCUAGACUCUAAACCCUAAACCAUAAAACUAGAAGUGAUUUUAUGACUCAUCAAAACAAUUUUGUUUUGGAUGGUCAUUUUAAAUUUUUUUUAUUCAAAAUGAAUUUUUUCAAGGUUUAGGGGGAAGAAAAUAUAUCAAUGACUUCAUAGGAGUUGACUUUUCAUUUUUCUGAUUUAUUUUAAAUUUAUUUUGAAUAUUUUGAUAUAAAAAUAAUAAAAUAUUCUUAUCACAAUAACAAACCACGUCGGUGUUAAUAAAUUUUAGACGUUGUAAAUUGUAAUAGACGACUAAGUUGUUAAAAUGACGUCGUUUAAAUGAGAAACCAUGGCGGAUAUUUAACUAUCCGACAUAAAAUAUAUAUUCCACGACUUAACCGCUGUCGUUACAAAGUACUACCCUGAACCCUUAAGAAAUUGAAGACGUUGUAAACCAUAAACGACUCAAUUGUUCAAAGAACGUCGUCUAAAUAUCCUUUUACGUCGGAUUUGGUUAAAACGAAACAACAAAAAACGACGGCUUUUGACUUUAUUACGUCGUUGGAAAAGUAUUACACGUCGGUUACGCAAUUUGUAUGUUUGUUUUUUUUUUUAAUUUAAGAAAACCUCAACAAAUUUUUACAUUAUAUAUUAUAGACAAAAUUUGUACAUUAUACAUAAAUAUCAAGUGUUCAAUAAUUCCCCUAUUCCAGGUGAAGGCAAACAAACUCUGACCAUUCAUUCCGGACUUCAUCAAUUGCUUCUUGGGGGUAUGGCGCUUCCUGUUUUCCCUUGGCAUACUGCAUAAACAAUGACUAUUAGGGUUUAUAAAUAAAAAGAAAUUCAAUCACAGACGACGAUAUUUUUCAUAACCGACGUACUAUAUCUAUUCAACGACGGUAAUUUUACAUGACCGUCGUUGAUAAUACAAAAAACGACGUAAAAUGUAUGAAGGUAAUUUCUUCUUACCUUCUUCUCAAACCCCAAGGAAGGAUCCAUGAUGAUGUCCCUCAUGAAGCGCAUCACAUAAUACCCGCAUUCGACAUUGCUGGGUUGCUUUGGUGUCCCUGACAGAGUUUUCCAAAUGGCUGCCUUACGGCCUGGUCUGGCUAUGUGAGAAUUAUAAAUUUUUAUAGCACUGUUCACAAUGUUUUUGGCCUCUUCAUCGACCACACGAUUUCCUGGCAGAGGAUCCAGAAAAUAGACGGUUUCUCUCUUUGCUCUUACAAUCAGCAAGAUCCAAUGACGGCUGCACAAAAUUAAUAUAAAAACGACGGUUAUUUACAAUAACGACGUAUUAUAAUGUUUCACACGACGAAAUAAAGUAGCAAUCGACGACAUUUUACAUUUAUCACGACGAUAAAUAACUACCGACGUGGUUAGUAGUUUCAAACGACUCAAUAAAAUAAAACACCGACGUGGUUAGUUUAUACGCUGUAAUUUAUUGAAAAUCAUAAAAACAAAAUCCUGUUAAGGAGACUAACCCUGGAUUGUAAGGCAUCAGGAAAAUCUGUUCACCGUCAGUCUUUUGAAGUCGAGCUGCUAGUAAGCGUGAUCUGUCAGCUAUUGUGCCAGAGUUGGCACUAACUGUAGCAAGGUCGAUAAAGCCAACCAUAUUGCACAUAUUUGCUCGUUUCAAAACAUCGUGCAAGUGCCUAAAUAUAUAAAAUAAUAUAAACAAGUCAGCACAAAAAAACACACGACGGUUAUGUAUAACAAAACGACGUAUUAUAAAAUUUCACACGACGUACUGAAAUAGACAACGACGUUAUAAUAUAUUUAUCACGACGGUAAAUACUAACGACGUGGUUAGUUAGUUAAGACGACGUAAUAAAUAAACCAACGACGUAUUAUUUUAGAAUGACAAACCUCAUAUAUACAAAAAAACACGACGGUUAUGUAUAACAAAACGACGUAUUAUAAAAUUUCACACGACAUACUGAAAUAGACAACGACGUUAUGAUAUACUAACGACGUGGUUAGUUGGUUAAGACGACGCAAUAAAUACACCAACGACGUAUUAUUUUAGAAUGACAAACCUCAUAUAUACAGCAAUGACAGUGGCUCCUAUUUCUUCCAUGCCUGCAAAUUGUGUAAUAUCUUCAGGCAGGAGGAAGGUAUCGCGCUCUAGACCAAACACCUCCUUAUCAAUUGUAAAGUGCAGGGUCUUAUCCUGAGGCACGAGUGUCGUUUCCACAUAACGACAAAGGGAGUUUAAAGAAGAUGGCGCCUCCAUAUUUGAAUAAUCAACAACUUUAAUAACCUGUUUAAAGAAAUAUAAAAAAUGACGUGGUAAUUCAAUAAAAACGACGGUUUAAGGAAUAAAACGUCGUCUGAAAAGAAUUUAAACGUCGUCUGAAGAAACCGUCGUGGUGAAUAAUUUAUUACGUCUUAAAAAAAAUUCCGCCGUCUAAGUUGUAAACAAACGACGGUUUAAAGAAAAAUAUCGACGUCUGGAAUUUUGAAAAACAAAUAAAAAAGGCAAAGUUAUGUGAACAUACCUGGUCGUCAUCUUCUUUCUCCUUUUCAUCAUGUUUUUCUUCUGUCUUCCCUUCAUCUAUUACGUCGAGAAUGACUAACUCCGUCGUCUAAAAACCACAAAGUUUUAAAAUAACGACGUUUAAUGGCGUGUAAAACAAGUAAACUAAAUACGACGUGGUAUUGAAAUACAAACGACGGUUUAUGUUUAAAAUCGUGGUGGUAUGUAUUUCAAACGACGGUUUUAUUAAUAAUAACGACAUCUAAUGGUUUUUAAAAAAACAGAGAAUUCAAAGUUCAGAUAUGUUACCUUUUCUUCCUGAUGUUUCCCAUUUUUGGCAGUAUCAUCCUCAAAAUGCUGGGAUCUCACAUCACCUCCAGAGCAGCUUGCUUUGUCAGACAUUGGAUUUUUGGGACUUUGGCUAAUUCUGGGUUUAAGCAUGCUUGGAUCAAAAUUGGGAAUUAAUUGGGAAAGCUGACUCAGGAAAUGCUCCCUCUCAGCCUCUACCAAUUGUUUCGUUCUAGCCUCCAUCCUUAAAGCCUCUUCCCUUGCCUUAGCUUCCAUCUUUUUAGUCUCUUCUUGAAGGAGAACUCUUAAACUGUCCUUCAAACGGUCGUCAAAGCUCACUCUCUGUGGUUUGGGUAAAUUGAAAUAUUGCCUUGGUGAGAUCCCAGCACCUACUCCUCUCACUCUGCCUGGAUGCUCGGGGCCCAAAGCCAUGGUCAGCACAUCAUUGCUGCCAGAAACAGUGACUUUGCCUUCCGAGACUUGUUUUUGCAAUUCAUCCUAAAACAAAGAUAUAUAAAAAAGUAAGAACAAAAACACACGACGGUUAUUUAUAUACAAACGACGUAUUAUAUAAUUUCACACGACGCAAUAACAUAUAAAUCGACGUUAUUAUAAUUUAUCACGACGGUAGUUUUUAAACCGACGUGGUUAGUUUUUAAAACGACGAAAUGAAUAAACCACCGACGUCUUAUGCUUUAUUUACAGAUAACAGAGGGAUGAUUCAAUAUUCACACCUUUAACGACCUUGUUUAAAAUAUUUCGACGUAGUAAUUCAAUACAAACGACGCGAAAAUGAACCACCGACAUCUUAUGCUAUAAUUACAGAAAACAGAGUAGUGAUUCCUGAUUUAGACCUUUAACGAUGUGGUAAUAUCAUUCACACGACGCAAAAUAUAACAUAAGACGUAAUAAGAAUUAUUCACAGUUUAAUAAAAAUUUAAAACAGAGUGAGUAGGCUUACAAUUAAUUUUGCUUUCUCUGCCACCUUUGGAUCCGGGAUGUUACCAUGUUUGUCCUGUCUAGCUCUCUUCCAUAAGGUAGAUCGAUCAAUUUCUACCCCAGGCAUGGUUUCCUCCAAUUGAUCCUCCAAACCAGCAUAUCCUUUUCGAGACAAUCGAUGAUUGUACUCAAGUUUCUCCCUAAUCUGUGCAUGUUGAGAAUGCACAGACUCAAAAUCUUUGGAUAACCUUGAAGCUACAAAGGCAUCCCAUUGUGCUUUCUCUAUGAAUUUAUAUAUUUCAGGGGGUUGGCUUAAUCUCUCCCUGUCAUUAGUGUAUGGAAGGAUAUAUUGCCUCGUUAGUGUAGACUUGAAAUCCUUCCAUUUCUUGGCAGCAGAAGCUAACACAGAGCUCUUGCCCCCUUGACCUACCACAAAAGCAAUGUCAACUGCUUCCCAAAUCUGCUCCUUUAUAUCCUUGGAGAUUUGAGCCUAUUUCAUGUCCACAAGUGGAACUCUGGAGCGUGCCAACACACCAAUGUAGGACUGCAUCUCACUAUGUGCUUGGCCAAUUCCUUUCCCCCUUUUAUUGUACUCAACAAUUGGCCUCAGUUUCUGAAGUUUUCUCUUCACAACAUGAGGCAUUGUGCUCAUACCUCGACCAGACUUUGAAUCAUCAGAGAUUGUUGUCGUGCUGGUUCGUUCUGUCUCAGCAGAUGAUGAAGCAAACUUCAUCUUCUUCGAAGGCUUCACUUGAGGAGGUACCAUUCCAAGGUCCUUACCUCCAUUUUUCUUGGAGCCAGAAUCCUUACUUUGGUCUUAGUGAGAAACCAUUUUUACAGACAAAACUGCAAGUGAAAAUAUUUCAGGAAAAGAUUAAGAACACAAACGACAGUUAUUAAUAAAAUACGACGUAUGAUAUGAUUUUAAACGACGCAAUGAAAUAAUCUCAGACGUAAUAAAUGUUUAAAACCAAGGUAAUUAAACAACGACGAAAUAAUUAACUAUAAACGACGUGAUAAUUAACUAUAAACGACGAAAUAUUUAUAUAACGUCGUGGUAUUGAUGUUCACACGACGUCAGUCGUAAUAUACCGUCGUCUAUAUAAGGAUCCAAAACCCUUCUUUCUUUCUCUGUGAAUGUUUGAUUGCAGAUUUGAUUUUUCUGAACCAUGGUUUUUGUUUUCUAAUUUGAUAAAAUACAAGGCCAAGAAAGAAAGUUUUGGAAUCUUAUAUAGACGACGGUAUUUUAAUAUGACGUCGUGGUAUUAACAUUCACACGACGUAAAACAAUAAGAUACUGUCGUCUAUAUUAGAUACCAACCCUACUUUCUUUUUCUUUAUAUUUUAUCAAAUUAGGGAAAAACAAAAACCAUUGUUCAGAGAAAUCAAACCUGCAAUUAAACAAGCAAAUAAAAAAAAGACUAUAAUUUUAAAAACAACUUUGUCAAUUUUCAGACGACGCUAGAACGACUGACGAACCGUCGUGGUCUACAUAUUUAACCACGUACAUAAGAAGCUACCGUCGUCUUAUUUAGUUGAGGUAGUUGUCUUCAAAGUUGGAAACUUUCCCUCUUUGUCUGUAUAUUUUAUUGAACUUGGAAAGAAGUAAAAUGAUUUUGGCCAGAAAAAAGGUAAAAAGAUUUUUCAAACAAAAAACGUAUGAGCAUGCAAAACAACAACCAAAAUAGUGAAAAUGAAAGCUUACCUUUUGCGUGCAAUGAAAGCAAGAGGAAGAUUAUGUUUAAGUUCAGAGACGACGAAGAAGAAGAGAGGAAGACGAUGAGAUACUCUGACAGUGCUCUGACAAGGAAAAAAGUCUAAAAGUUUUCUCUGGGAGAUUGAACUUUUUAAUCGGGUUUGAAAACGGCGCAUGUGUAUGUCAGGUAGACGAAAAGUUGCUUACAUAUAAAACCAUUUCAAAAAAAUAAUACGGCGGUUACAUAUAACUACGACGUAUAAAUUACAAAAUACGACGGUACAUUUAACUUCGGACGUGGUAAAUAAAUACGACAGUAGUGUUGUAGGUACCGUCGUAGUAAACUCAAAAAUUAAAGUACAUAAGUAAUAACUCGCGUCAUGGUAGAUUAUUUAACACGUCGUUUUUAUUAAUUUACCGACGUGGAUUUCUGUAAUAUACGUCGAUAAUACCGACGUUGAUUUUACAAUUUAAACGGCGGUUUUUUUGUAAGGACCGCCGUUGGUUUUAAAAAUUUAUUCUAUAAAUUUGUCGCUUUCAUUCAUUUUCGGUUUACAUUUAAGGUUCCAAGUUCUUCCUCUCUCAGUCUCUCACGUCUCAAAGACAAUAAUUUGGAUGUCUUUCUCAAAGAGAAAUUGAGCUUACUCGCAUCAAAUAUAUGUCCACAAGAAGAAGCUUGUCAACUAGCCUUCUCACUUCCUUGAUCAAGCCUGAUAGGACACUUAGUGCUUCUGAAUACUCCUUGCUUUCCAUCAAAAGAGAUGCAAGCCUGGCCUCCACUCGCUGUCGAAGGAAAGUUCGCUUCUCAGGGAAAUCUUCUUGAUUUUCUUGGCUAAGAAGAUCCGUCAGAUUUGUGAUAGCCUCUUCCUUUAUCCGUAGAGCUUCAGAAGAAGAAGAUGGGUUUCAAGAAUGCGAUAAAGAAUAGAAAUGGCUUCAGAUGGCCUCUAAAGCAUGAGCAAUCGAAUCAGUAGUUGUUGGGAGAUAUGAUGAAGACAUUGUCAAUGCUUUGAACUAUACAAGUCCUGCAGAAAGAUAAAGGACCAAACUGUUAAAGAAACUGAAACAAUGGCGGUUUUCUGUUCUACCGUCGUCUUUUCUCGUCGUCUAUAUUAAGGUAAGAUGGCGGUAGAUUUAUAAUUACCGACGUAGAUUAUUUUGUUAAACGUCGUUAAGUGUACUACAACCGACGUGGAUUUUAUUUUUAAAUUAUAAAUAGAGUUUUUUUUCCCCUAUUCUUUCAGUUUUAGUUUUCAAUUACAAAGCGUGAUAAAUAGAUUUUUCUUUCCCGAGGAAAUUUAAAAUGAGGGAAAUUAAUGUUCUAGAAUUUGUAAACUAACACGACGCAAUAUUUGCAAAUCUGUGUCAUCUGUUAAGAUUAUGAUGUGGAACAGAGUUCCAUCUGGUAAGAUUUCGUAACCCUUGGGAUCUCAGACAAAUCUGAUUAUGUCGGCGGUUUUCUAUAUAAAUCGUCGUGGUUAUUUCAAUUCUUGUCAUUAAGUAGAUCUACCGACGUAGGAUAAGAAAAUCAAAGAAAAAAAUUGUUAACAAAAAUUCUUAUUAAGACGACGGUUAAAAUUAAAGGUACGACGUAUAAAAUGAAUAAAUACGACGUUAAAUUUUAUUGUACGAUUUAAAGAUAACGUCGUAGAACUAUAAGAGAAUGACGUCGAUAUAUUUAUAUUUUCCGUCGUUGUACAUUAAUUUAAUACGGCGAUAUUUUGUAUUUUAAAGCCGUGGAUUUGUUUGUAAUUAUACGGCGUCUUAUACGAAAACCUCGUCGUGUUAUUUUAUGAGUAAAAACGGCAGUUUUUAUUGAAAUCGUCGUCUUUACUUUCUACGUCGGUCGAUUCAUAACUUCUGCCGUUCUUUGUUGGCAUUGAUUUUACACUGCGAAAAUCUGUUUCAAAUAGACGUCGGUUGUUUAAUUAUGUACGUUGUUGUUUUUGAACAGCCAUUUGAAUCUCCAUUUUUUAGUUGUCUAAGGUUGUAUUACACGACGGUGUUUUUAGAACCGUCGUCUUUUUAAAAACCACGACGGUUUUCACUUAGACCGUCGUUGUUUUCUGGUCGUCUUUUUCACUUUUUGUAGUAGUGGCAUAUGAUGACGACACUCACAACAAGAUCAUGGCAUUUGACUCGAGUUGUAUGAUUCUCUCUUAAGUGUAUGUAAAGUGUAUGACAUUUACAUCAAUACGUGUAUUCUUAAUUGAAAUCUACUAUGGCAUUUACUCAAAUUAACAAUCAAGAAUCCAUUAAGAUCAAAGAGAAUAUGAGUGUCACAAAAACCCUAAAACAUGGCAUUUGUUAUUAGGAAUUCAAGAAUCGAUUUCUCAUAACUAGUUCUUAACCCAAUUAUUCGUUGCAAAUAAGAACACAUUCAAUAUGGCAAUUGACCUAUGUUCUACAACAAUUUAAUUCCAAUACAUGCUUCUAAGUUAGCUACUCAAAGAAACAAAAUAUCAGAAUUCACAUAACAUAUAGAAACCGAAAACAUCACGCUUGUAGAAACUAAAAAUCCAUUAACCUUGUUUAUAAAAUUGAAAUCAUGUUUAGGGCUUCAAGAUUAAGCCCUAACUAACAAGAAAUUAGUUACUCAUGGUCUUGGAUGAACUCAAAAAUAAAUACAUAAGAACUGAAAAUUAAAGAAGGAAGGAAAAGAAAGAACUCGUUCGCAGCUUUCUCCUCUUGCGCUGUUGAUCUCUUUAGGACGUGAAUCCUUUUUAUCAGCCUUGCCUCGUCUUUUAUAUCACUUAUAUCAGAGUUCUAAACCCUAAAAUUGACUGAAAAGUCGUCCAAGAAGUCUUGGUAAACAAGGAAUCCAAAUAGGAAAGUAAAAAUCACAAUUCCUAACUCCACUGGGAAAUACAGCUCAGCCCAAUGUUCACACGAUUUUGGGAUCUUCGACCUUGUAGAAAAAUCAUUAAAAAUAUAUUUUAGAAAGAUAAAUGUCUUAUCUUUCCAACCAUAUAUAGCACGUAACUUGAAAAAUUCGGAAAGGCUUCCGUUUCUUCACAUUCACGUAGCAUGUACGAAACUGUCCUGUCUGCACGUGGGCUAACUUUACUUGUAAUACUGUACCAAUUGGCUCGGUAGAAAAUUCUAGAAAAAUCAUAGAUUGAACUUCAAGAUGUUAGCUUUCAUCUCCAAUCAGGGGCGGCCUUGGGGAGGUGCAAGUGGCGCCACCGCACAGGGCCCCCGAAAAAAAAAAUAUUUAUAUUAUAUAUAUAUAUUAAUAUUAUAUGAAUCGUAUAUAUAAUAUAGCGUCUGGAUAUUUGCACAACAGCGUGUUCAGGGGAGUUGGAUGGAGCACAUCUCUCUUUGGCAAAAGGGCCCGAGUUCGAUGCUCCUUGAUGUCGUUCUACUGGCUAGCCUUUUGUGAUAUUAUUUUUGCAUUCAAACUUUACAUAAUUAUUGAACCAUUGGAUUAAUAUGCAACGAUGGGUGACCACAAUCUCUUGGACUCCUGUGGUCCAUGAGAUCGGGACUGAUAUUACAUGACUUAUUUUAUUAAAUUAUUAUCAUGUUGAUGAUUGGUUGUAUGAGAAUAUAGUUUGUAGAAAUAUUUAUCUAUUUCUUGUUGGGGUUUUCUUCCAGGUUAUAGGGUUUUGGAAUUUUUCUUUGUAAUCUAAACAUGCCACCUACUAGAAAAUACGUUUAUGGAUAUACAAAACGGCUUAGAAAAAGAAAAUUCGAGGAAUUGACUCAAUCUCAAAGAGGAGCUCUUGAUAGAUUCAUUGUUAGAGAAUCACAUGCUACAAUUGAUGAAAAUAUUUAAAUUUUUAUGAAUUUAAUUUCUGAUUUUCAUUGCAUAUUUAUUGAUGGUGAAUUUUAGUUAUAAAAAAAAAUUGUUUAUGACAUUAAGUUAUGGCAAAUUUUUAUAGUAUUUUCGUAUUAGAUUAUGCAAGGCCCCAAUUUAAGUUUCGCACAGGGCCCUCAAAAUCUCAGGGACGGCCCUGUCUCCAAUUGGUCUUGUGCUAAAAUUCCUCCGAAAAGUUGAUUUUCCCUUAAAAACCUUCUAAGAGUGCAGAAAAGCUGAAAAUCAGAAAAAUAAAGUAAUAAGCCAUUUUUAAAUCUAAUUCUCUUACAAAACCAAAGUAAAAAGAGUACAUAAAUGAGUAUAUUUAUGGACUUAUCAACGUCUUCUUCGUUGGACUUGGGGUUGUUUUCCUUAUAUGUCCCCUAUAUAUAUAUAUGGCCUUUAGUUGAGCCCACAAAUACCUUCAGUUAGUUUUUGGGUUUAGGGGCCUACAGAACCUGCACUAAACAAUAAAAGAAAAUACCUAAUUAGUUUAGUACGAAUUUAUAAUGAAGGCUUUAUUAGGUGAAGUUUUAUUUCUUAAUCGUUAGAUCAAAUUGGUUAGCAUCUGAAGUCGCCCAAAGAUUUGAGAGGGAUUCCACAAACAUAUAAUAUAAAGAAAGAAAGCAAUAGUAGGAGAUGAACCAGUACAAAAAACAAUAUAUAAAUAGUACAUAAUAAUUCCAUAACCUUGUCACAAACGCACUCACAAAUGCUUUCCAUAAACCUUGCCCUAACAUAUAACAAAUAAAGGCAACAUUGCAUAUGAUGCAACCAUGUCCAAAUCUGAUACGUGAUAAAAAAAAAAGGACAUGGCAGCAACAUAUGACUGAAGUAGAUGGGCUCUUUGCAUCUCGUGUUAUCGUAAUUAAAGACAUCAAAAUAUUAAGGUUGAAAUCUUCUAUAGUAGCAAGCAUUAAAAUAGGUUUGAAGCAGAGUUUAAAGAAAAUUCCAAUUCCACUGAUUUGCCUCUGCUCAAAGACGAGAACCAAAAUGGUUACUUCCCUUGCUGAGUAUAUUUGUUAACGUCGGAAACGGUAAUAGAUGACCAAUCAAACCCAAGUACGACGAGUUUUGCAUAGGAUCAGAAGUAGUUGAAUCCAGCUUGCAUCACACGCUUCUUUGACUCCAUUGCAUUAGAUGAGUUUUUGUAUUUUUGAACAGCUACACUCCGAAGUCGUUUGUGUCUACGCUUCAUGCGCUGCAACUUCGCCCUAUCCAGAUUGGCCUGCCUUUUGUCAUCUUCAAUUUGGCCUUCAACAAAUUCCAAACGUGCCCUUGCCCUUUGGAUUUCAUCACCAAGUUGAAGAUGCCUCUCCUUCCAAAAAGCAAGAACUCUUUCAGACUCAAAACUUCCAACAAAAUGGUCAUUCUAUCUAGGAAUGUGACAUUGCUUGUCUGGUGACUCACCUGCGUUUCAAAGGCGGUCUUUGUUUGGAGGGGUGUUUAUUAUGCUCACAUCAAACUUGGUUAGUAAAUCCAUUCUAUGGGGGGAGUGAGUUUCUGUGGAGGAGAGAGUUUCAGUAGAUGGAGACAGAUUCGGUGGAGGAGUGAGAUUUUUGUGGAGGGAGAAUUUCUAUGAAAUGGGUGAUAGUAAUACCAAUAAAAGGGUUCCCGCCAAAAAGUAUUUGGUUGACAAUGUAUAAAUUAAUUUUUGGUCUGAUACAAUCUAAGUUUAAUCCUAACUAGUUUGGUUAGUUUGGUUGAAUUCACUAACUAGAUGUCACUUCCAUUGAGUUUCUUUCAACCACUAUCAGUGGUGUAAGGAGAGUGUGAGGUUGACAUGCUUGAAAAGCAAAACCUAACACCUCUUUUUUUUAAAAUUGAAAGAAAGUACAUAUGUUGACUACACACAAGCUUUGGUAUGUUGGUCUAUAAAGCUAUGUUCCCUUUCUCAAACGAAAUUGCAUAUGCAAUCCUCGUCCUCCCAAAACAAAUAGAAUUAUUCAAGCAUGUCAACCUCUUCAGGCGCCAACAACACAAUCAAAGAUGACAAAUUGGAGUCGCAGGUUCUAUUUCCACAUUGUACUCGCCGACCCCUUCCAUUUUCAACAUCAUUUGGGAGUGAGGGGGACUCCGAUGAUCCAUUAGAGCUAAUACAUGCAGUCAAUAGCAAGCUGGAUUAUAAUUCCAGACUGAUCAAUUCAUGGCGCGAGAAAUAUGUUGAAGACGAAGCCAUUUUGGCUGAUCUUAACAUUAGAGUGAACAAAGCGUUCUCCCAAAAGAACAAGUACUUGAAGCUGAGUCAUAAAAGGAAGCUGAAAGCUGAGGAGUUAGAUACAGUAAUGAAUGAUGAAAUUAAAGGUUGUUUGAUGAAUCAUAUGCGAUGCGAAGAGCACCACAGUGAACUGGAGUUGGCAUUCAACGAAGGAUUCGAAAAAUUACGAGCAUUUGCAGCAACUACUCAUACAAGUUAUAAUUGGGACUAUGUGUCCCCUGAUGUUGUGAGAGAGAUACUAGACGAUGGUGGUGACAUGAAUGAGCAUAAGCACGUCAAAGCUGCUUGGAAGAAGCCGACCGAUACGACUAAGUGAUUGCGGCUACAGUUGUUCAGUUGGUUGAGAGUGAUCGUGGUAUUGCACAAAUUAGAAGUAUAUUCCCAUAAUGUCAUUAUCUAAUUUAAAAUAACACAAAUAUCAGUUUCAUUUGCUUCAUAUUGUAACACCCCGACCCCAAAUUUCCCCAAAAUUUACCCUCAUUUAAUUAAUUAAUUAUUUAAGGGUAUUUUAGUCAUAUUUUUAACCGGAGAGAGUUUGGGACCAUGACUUGUAUUUUUGGAUAGGUCGUACUGAGACGAGUUCAUAGACACGUAGUGGGCUCGAAUCAGAGUUGUAACGAGAGAGAUAUGGUCAAAAGAAACCCAGUGGCACAAUCGUAAAUAUUUCAAAAUGGGAUUUUUAUAAAAAUCUGGUUUUUCUCUCUCUCUCUCUCUCUCUCUCUCUCUCUCCCGCGACUUCUCUCUCUCUCCCGUCGGCUCUCUCUCUUUCUCUCCUUGUAUCUCCGGCCACCGACCACGGCUGUGGGCGGGGCCGGUACCAAACUGACCGGGACGACGUCCCCUUCCUUCCCCGACCAUUCCCCGCCGGCAACGCGGCCGUUGCUGGCCGGAAAAUGCAGAAAACCGCCGGGAGGUCGUCGAAACUUCAACGCCGUCGAUCUCCCUCCUCCGGCCACCAUUUUCGUCGACCCAGGUAUGGAUCUUGAACCUCUCGAGCUGUUCUAGCUGUUUGUUGGUUGGGUUUUGAUCGAUUCGAUCUCUAGAUCACUCGAUUUUCGAAUUGAAAAUUGGCCGAAACUUCGGCCGCCGUGAUCGGCCAUUUUCGGCCACUUUUUGUGGUAGGUCCAAGAACAAAAGUGGCUCCAAAUAGGGUGUUAUACCUAGGGUAGAAGUUUGGAGCCGAGAUGUUGAGAUUUUCCGGCGAAGCGUUAUCGCUUUGGGCACCCACGCGUGCGGCGGCGCGUGGGCACUGUAGAAAAAGUAGAUGUGUUCCGAUGAGAUCCUUAGGUUGUCACGAGUGCGUAGGAUUUGGCGGAUCUCAAUUCGGACGUCGUUUGACUAUCGAACGGAUAAUCGCAUAUUAUGCGUUAUCCGGGUUCGAUAGGUUGAGACCGUCGGAUGGUCCCAAAUUUAAUAUAUGUUGAUCUAGGUAUUUCUAGGAUCGUGUAGGAUUUCACGGAUCGUGAAUCGGAGCCCCGGAUGUUCCGAAUAAUAAUUUAAAGUUUAUAUUUUAUAUUAACCAUCAGAUUAUGCGAUCGUGAGAAAUCCGACCGUCUGAUCUGAACCAAACUGGCAGGAAAAGUGUCCUGUACCUGGUAGAACCCAUAGGGACCUUCGGAUCGGAAAUUGGAGGUCGUGGGUUCCGCAAGUCUGUUUGACCAGGGUUAGAGUAGUUUGACCCUUGGUUGACCGUGAGUCUCCCGGAGUAAUCUCACCCUUCCAGGGGGAAUUAUCGGGAGCUAGACUAUUGUGGAGGGUUACACAAUAUUAGAAUUAUUUAUAUAAUUAUAUAUGGUUGUACAAGGGUACAACAAAGUCUAGAAUGUCAGUUUGGAGUGCUAUACGCACUACUUUAGGUACCUCCUCGGAUUUUGGAUUCGCUACAAGCACCACCAAGUGAAAGUUAGGUCCCGCGUGGCGUAGGUUAUCCGGCGUUGGGACAGACCCCAUACGUGGCGUUGGUUGUACCGGCGUAUGGGGAGAUUUGCAAUAUGAUGUUCAGGUCUCACGUGGCGUAGGUUAUCCGGCGUUGAGACAGGCCCCGUACGUGGCGUUGGUUGUACCAGCGUACGGGGAGAUUAUGUGAUAUGAUGUUGAGGUCCCGCGUGGCGUAGGUUAUCCGGCGUUGGGACAGGCCCCAUACGUGGCGUUGGUUGUACCGGCGUAUGGGGAGUUAUAUGAUAUGAUAGUAUGGCAUGGUCGCACAUGGCGUAGGUUAUCCGGCGUGUUGACAGGCCCCAUACGUGGCGUUGGUUGUAUCGGCGUAUGGGGAGAAUAUGUGAAAUGCAGAGAAAGGAAAUAAGGUAUCACCGAUGUGUGGAAUUGGGUUUUAGGGAAGAACUACGUGUGGCUUGAUCCCUCAAGGAGGGUACGUAGGCAGCCUAAGGUUAUUGGGUGCAGCCGCAGACUAAAUAUUAGUCAUAUUUGGUAUUUGAAUUGUAUGGUAGUUGUUUGAGAAUUAUUGGAAGGCCAAAGGCCAUUUAUGAGAAUUUGCAUGAAAUUAUAUUGUGCAUGCUGCUAGUUGUGGAUAUUAAAUGUGUUUUUAUGCAGGUUGAAAUUUUGGGAAAUGUCCAAUUUAUAGGGGAGACUCUGCUGAAAUUUCGGCAGGAAGUCUCGGUUUUUAGUAAGUGGGCCUGGCAUCGGGGUGAUGUCAGGAAUUCCAAAGGGUUCGUCUCGGGUUUUGAGAAAAUUCGGGGCGGGUCCUUAAACAUAUAUAAUUAUUGGGACUAUGUAUUGCAAGUCAUCAUGUGUUCCUUCUGUCUAACAUUAUAUUUUGCAAAUAUCAAAAUAUUAUUCAAUAAGCAGUCAAUAUCACAGCAAGUUGGGAAUUAGUAAAGCCCCAUUAUCAUGUCCGUUCACAUUAAAGAGCUGGCGUACUUUUUCUCAAAAAACUGACACGUGAGUCAUAAGUAACAUAACAUGUGCUAUACAUUGUUUAGUGAAUGGUUUAUGGUUUAUUUAUAUAUAAUAAAAUUCCAAAUAUUGCUGAAUAUUUGUUUUUUCUAUAUCCCUGGGAACAUGAGUGACCAUAAGCAUGUAAGACCUGUUAAGAAGAAGCUGACUAAUACGACCGAGUGAUUGUGGCUACCGUUGUUUAGUUGGUUGGGGAGAUCGUGGUAUUGCUAAGAGGGAGCACAUAAUGUGCUUUGCAAUCAAAUUUUCUUUUGUGUGUGGAAUUAUGAGUAGUUCAAAUGUUAGUGUACCCUUUAAUAUUCUUCAACCGUUUGAAAUGUGAUUAGCUGCAAUGUACUUUUUUACACGCUGCUUUCUAAUCACUCUGUUCCAACAAAGUGCUUUAAGUAUCCUUCAGUUACAAAUGUUUACAAAAUCGUGCAUCUAAUAACCAGUCGAGCUCAGAUCUUAAUAACAAGUAAAACACUAGAACAUAACAUUCGGAAAAAGUGGGUGCUGCUGGAAAUCAUUACUGGUAAUGGAAGCAAGAGCUGGCUGCUGGAAAUGCUGCAUUAGCCUGUGAUAUAAUCAAUGAAUCUCUGUUAAAACAUAAUUCACCAUAAACUACCCAUUUUACAUGGUAAAAGUCAUUGCUUCUUCACAUAACUCAAAAUUUGAUACUUUAUCAAAUGUCUAUGAAAAUUUCUAAAUAGGGGAAAGACGUAAAAUUAACAUGUGUCCAAAUUUCAUGCAAGAAUGAAACCAAGCAAAUUUUUAUUUCAAUUAUCAGUGGACAUAGUAAGAACUCAUCGGUGGACAUGAACAAAAAAAUAAUAAUAUUAAAAACUGAAUCUAGAAAACUUCACCUGAUCAUUAGUCUUCAUAACAACCGAAUUUCGUCUAAUAGAAACAUAAAUCAUUCAGUUGGUCCGUGCAUCGUGUCAAAUUCAUAGAAUAAUGGGUCACUACGAUCUAUUGGAGUUGAUUCGUCAUUGUUCGACGGUGAUGUCCUGCAUAGACAUCAAACACAAGCACAGAAAAAAUUUACCUAUUCAAAUUUUAGGUGUUAUUAUAAAUAGUGUUAGCAUCUUACGGUGUGUUCAAAUUUCUUGCGCAUUGUCUUCUAUCAUGACCAAUGUGUCCACACUCCAGACAGUGUCUAAUCCCUCGCUUCAUUGCCUUUUCUUUUGCUCCCGUUACUCGUUUCGACCUUCUUUUGCACCUCACUCUCUUAGGGUCUUUCAUAUAUUGUGUUUGAGAGCUGGACCCUCCAACUUCGUUAUUACUUGGUCCAUCCUUCAACAACUUCAACUUCACCUGCAAACUUUUUAGAGUCUCUGACAGUAGCUCACAUCCUUCUUCACUCAUUAAUGCACCCUCAACCACAUCUUAAGCAAGUCGAGACAUUGUACUCCGCCUUAUUAAAAGACCAGGAUCUGCAGAGUCUUUAAUUUCGUUGCCAUUUGCAUCUGACACCAAUUCAGAUUUUGCAGUUUUCUUCCACCUCUUUAAAAUAUAUUUAUCGGGCAUAUAUUCAAUCUGGUCCCUUCUGAACAAUGCUAGGAUGUGCUUGCAAAUAAUUCCAACAAAUUCAAAUCUUUUGCACCCACACGAUGCGUGGUCAGAAUCUUUAACAUAUACGACGUCUGCCACUCUUGUUUCCCAAUUUUUCCUUUUGCUCACGCGAAAGACAACUUUAGAAGCACCCUCUGUUUUGAGCUCUAGGAAACAUGUUGUACUUUGUAUUAGUUCUUGGUCAAACUUUUGAAACAUUGUCCUUGUGUACAAGGUAGCCAUUUGUUUGUUCAUUGGCAUCGGUAGAAUACAUUGAGCCACUUCAAAUGCAUCUACGUGAUCAGCAACUAACUCUUUUUGACGUUGAUGAGAAAGUGCCCUCUCAAAUCGUAUUAUGAAAUCCAUCAACGAAUUUCUCCUUGAUAUGUAUUGCUUGAAAAAACCAUGAGAACCUUCCACUCUUUGGCUGCUUGACAUUCCAGCGGCAAAAAAUUGUUGUGCGUAGGCUGGAACCCAAGAUUCUCUUAAAUCAAACAUUGAACUUAGCCAUGGAUGGUCAGUCAAACCAGCCUUUGUAACCACAAUAUUCCAUUUUGUAACAAACUUAUCCUUAUUGUCAGUAUCCCAUACGGCUUUCUGAAAUUCACGCCAAUACUCCUUAUAAGCAGAAUGUGGUAACUUAACAGAGAACUUUGAUGUGAUGUGCAAUAUGCAAAGUCGAUGAAAUGUAGUCGGGAAGGGUAUUGAAAUCGCUCUGGUCAUUGCCGCAUCUUGAUCUGUAAUGAUCGUUUUAGGUCCGCCACUUGGCAUGGCUUUCUUAAACUCCUCAAACAUCCAAAUAAACGACUCAGUCGUUUCCUUGCUCAAAAAUGCGCAUGCUUAGACAAUUGUCUGACCAUGGUUAUUAACUCCCAACAUUGGUGCAAAUGUCAAGUCGUAUCGAUUCGUGUUGAAUGUGGUAUCGAAUACAACAACAUCUCCAUAAAACCCGUACGCCCAUCUAGAAGUUGCAUCUGCCCAAAAACAUUGACUAAACCUGUCAUGGCCAUCUCUCUCAAUCUUGAAAUAAAAAGCCUCAUUUUUUUUUUCUGUUCAGCCAUAAAAUACUCGGUCACUAGUUCAACAUCGUGGUUCCUCAACUUCCCAUUCACACUACAUUCAAAAUUGUAGAUAUCUUUUUUGAUAAAACCGAUUUUAUCCAUUCCUCCGGAUUGCACCUCGAAAAUACUUACCUUCUGAUGAAUGAGAAUAUUAACCGAACCCAACUGUUUUGUGAGUACUUUUGUAGAAUCUGAACUAUGACGGUGUGAUCUCAAUAAAUGCAUUCUUUCUGAGGGUGUCAUCUUAUGAUUGUGUCCCUCUGCAAAAAGAGAGAUGGUAUACUUCUUGCUCCCAUUUGUCUUCACAACCACAAUCUUAGCUUUGCAAUUGCAUCUACUUAUUCCCCGCUGUCUUUUUCUCUCCCGAGUUUCAUCUCUCCUGUAUUCACCUUGUUUGCAACAUACAAAUUCUUUCCUCAAAAUCUCUUUCUUAUUUCCCCCCCAAAAGCUGGAAUGAAGUCGAAUACCAAAGCCAGCCAAGAAUGCAUAUCUAUUAUAGAAAUUGUAAACGAGGUCAAGCAAGUCGAACUUCAUCCCAACUGCUGGUGUUUCCUCAUUUCUUACUUCAAGAAUGUAAACCCUCCCAUUAGCUGUUACACAGUCAUCACUCUCUGAGCCCCCAGACAUUUUAUCCACGUAUAUUAUUGAUCCACUUCUAUAUUAUUGCAUAGCAAAUAUUAAUUCAUUAAUAAAUCAUUACUGCAUCACAACAUAUCAAUGCAUUCCACUUACACAAAACAUUGCCCAAAUUGACACAAAACACGCAUAGCCUAACUUGUUGGAUUCCGAUUACACAAAACGCAAGCAAAAUUUAAUAAUAGUUACGUCAUCUCUUGUGAAAUAAUCUAGAAAAAAUAACAUUAGAACCAACAUGUUCAACUAAGAACACAAAUGCAAUUCAAACCAGCAAUCACAUAACUUCACCCAAUAUCCUCUCCAAAUGCUUACUCCUAAUGUCAUUAAGCCUAAGUUUAGGAUCUUUUACCUACAUUUCAUAAUUUUUCACCCCCACCAAAAAUAAUCAACUAAGUAUACUGAAUAUUCAUAAGGAAAUGACGCAUUAUUGAUGCCACAAAUGACGAAUUUCCUACCCUCACAAAAAACAAAUCAAACCCAAUUAAAUCAAUCCAGCAAGAGUGAACUUACCUCUCAAAAUCAAUCGGGAGCUCCGAAGUCAGUAAGCUUGAGAGAAUGUGGUGGACAUUAGAGAAGACUCUUUGGUAUUGGAGACUCCAUCUCUACCAAAAUCGAGGAACGAACUGCUGCUACGGCGUCUAGCUACAGAAAAAGAUAUGCUACUUUACUUUCAUCUGGAAUCUUGUUUGCUGAACGAAAAAGAGAAAGGGUUUUCACUUGAGCCAUAGAAUCAAAACAAGGCAACAUCUAGGUAAGAGCCAUUAAUCGUCAUAUCGAGGAUACCAUAGAUCGCAGGCCUCCCAAGGAGCUGAUGACAAUGGAGCGACUAUAGGGUUUGGGAGCUUUGGAUCCUUCUAAUUGUGGGUUUGCGUUACAUUCAAAAAAAGAGGAGUGUGUUGUUGAGUUUUUCACAUAGAGGGAAAGAGGGAAAGAUCUUCAACUGAAGUUGGGUUUCCAACGGGUCAAAUUUCAACCCGGUUCUACAUGCACCCUCUUUUAAAAACUCACCGUUGGAUUUCAUCCAACGGCUCGUACAUACCCCUCAAAAACACCCCUUAUAACUUUCCACUCACUAUAGAAGCUCUCCCCAGGAAAUGCUUCGAGGUAGAUUUUAUGUUUUGGGCCUUGGGACCCAACUUCACAAAAAGAAAACAAAUUUGACCAAAAAACAAAGUUGAAGGACAUUGAUAUUGUACCUGUAGGAUAGGUUAAAACACUAAAAGGAAGGUAAAUAGUACGUUUACAGAGUUUAAGUGUAAUAAAGGAAUAAAAACAUGCCCAGAGAAUUGAUAAGUGAUAUCAAUUCUUGAAUAUAUAGAACGUAAAAUAAAGGAAUACGUAGAAAAUUAUUUUAUGUGGUAAAACUCAAUCUAUGGGGCCACGGGACUUCUUAGUCCAAAAAAAAUCCAUUGAACGAUGAUUACAAGAAGUACUCACACACUUAUCCUAGACACAUUCUAGAUAAUUUUUACUAACAUCUUUGUAACUCAACUUCUGUCAUAGGAUGAUUUUUUGACACUCCUUAUGUUGAACGCAAUACUGGUCACGAUUUCUUCAAGCUCGCAGGAACUCUCCUUAUAUUGAAUAUGAUACUAGUCACGAUAGAUUCAAGCUCAUCGGAGAAAAACAGCCACAACGGUCUUGGUGCCCUCAAUGGUAUGAGUCACUGAACAUGCAAAUAAAUACAAUAUGAAUGAUAAAAGUGUUUGAUAAAUCACCAAGUUAUGGAACACUUGAUGAUUUAUCUCAAAUAAAAACUCAGCUUUCCAAAGUUUAUGAAUUGAAAAUAUGAUCGUUAAAGCUCUCUAAACAAAGAAGACGAAGAUCUUAUUUUAUAGAAUUUUUCUUUAUAAGAAAGAAAACACAUUGAAAACCAAAUCUCCAAGGCUUGACAGAAAAUCACAAAAGUAUCUUUCCUAUUCUAGAGAUUGGUCACAUGUAGUCCAACCAAUAGGACAUGAGAUAUUUAAGAAAUGAAGAUUUUGAUCAAUAUCAAUAUCAAAUGAAUUCUUAUACGCCUAGUCAACUAUUAAGGGUAUCUUGACUCCUUGAUAUUGUGAUAUGAUUGAAACAUGAUUUCCACGUUAGAAAAUUAAGGGGAUGUUAAAACAUGAAAGUAAUAGGAGAAUCAAAUUGAUUUCGGCCAAAAUUGCCUAAAAAGAAAACACUCCUAAAUAAACUCAAUUCACUUUUAAAAACAGUAAAACGUGAUUGAAUUGUUCUUUAAAACAAUUCCCUAAUAUACAUGCAUGAUAAUGACAUCACUUACCUCUGAAUCAAAUGCCUUUCAUAGGUCAAGCCACAAGUCUGUGUUUUGGGGAUUGCUGAGCUGCAUCAAUCCUGCCAAUGUCAAUGCUGCCCCUAUGCUCUCUCAAAGCACGUUUACAACCUAUGCUAACAUAUACCCUAAACCCUAGUAUCAAGAAAAUGCCAACACUAAUUUCGUAACACGUAGAAAUUGUUAGAGAUUGGAAGUUUUUUUUCUUCAAGUCUCUCCACCACUCACUAAUACAGAUUGCUCAUGUGAUGAGUUUACAAAACCUAUUUCUCUACUCUCACAAAGACUAUACUUCUUCUCAAAAGACUAUAUCACUUUACCUCUAUCUCUGUGAAAUGUAAAAAGUUGAAACUUUAAUGUCAAACCUCGACAAAAGAUGAACUUCCAUAAGUUACGUUGAAUUUGGAUUUGUUGAACUUAAGUGGUUUUACUUUUCUGUCAGUGUUUGAUGACUUAAUUUGGUAUUUACUUCUUCUUUUUUUCCUUGGAAAUGUGUUCCACCAACGUGAGGAAGAAAAAUAUGCACAAAUUAAUAUAUUUAAUAGAAGCCCAAGAUUUCGGAAGCACAUAAUUUCUACAAAAUUCUACAAAGUGUUCUACUUUACAAACUUCAUAUGUCUACCAAUUUUUACUAAAAUUAAUUUAUCUGCAGUGCUCAAAUUCAUCAUAUGUGUGUCCUUAAUUUUAGUGAAAAUUGGAAGUUUCCAUUAUUUUUGUUUUACGGGAAUUUUUUGAACCAAGGAAAAUCAAGUAAAAUUAAUAAAGCAUAAAUUGGAAAGGGAAAAUAUCUAGAGGAUGCAUUGUAGGAUUGCUCAUGCCAAUAAUUGUACCCUCUAAAUAUAUAGGGACAUAUUUUUUUUGCUCAUACCACUUGUUGCAGUACACAUUCACCCGUUUUCAAAGAAAGAAAUUCUACCAAUCGAUAAUGUCUCAAAUUUAAUCACAUAUUUUAUGGACCAUCCAGCUAUGAGGUUUUAUCUCAAAAACCUUCGGUACAUUUCUCCCACAUGCCACAAUUGUAUAUUCACAAUUACGUCUGAUACAUCACAUCAUGCCACUUGCCUCAAAUGAAUUUAAGUGAGUGAGGCAGUUGGAAGUAAUUAAGCUCUAUAUUGGUGGGUGGAGUGUUAGUUCUGGGUACCCCUCAUCAUUCGUCUAUAAAAUGGUGAAGCCAGUUGCUACUGUUACCAUAAGAGCCAGCUCCGACUUUCUUUAAUUUCUUGCUUCAUAUCCACUAGCUACAUCUGUUGCUCUUCUCAGUGUAAGCUCUGCAAUUUGAUUAACUUUCCCAUUAUCUCUCACUGUACUCUAUAUAAAGGAAUAAGUGUCGUCCAUUAAUUCUCUCCGAAAGUGUCGUCCUGAUUUUAAUUAGAGUUCGAAUUAAUGUUGCAGCUAGCAGCGGUUGCACUGGCAAACCAUGCUGCUCAACCGGUACCUCAACUUUACUGGAACUCCGUCCUGCCAAACACACAGAUGCCAAGAUCUAUCAGUGAACUUCUGCAUCCUGGUUUGUGUUUGAGCACUUUAGAAUCUUAGAUAUCUCUUCUACCUGCCAUUUUACUAAAAUAUGUUCAACCACAUAUUUAUCAGUUAACUACUGUCAUUACAUGAGUGACACAUAUUCACAAAUCGGCUGAUCACUUAUUUUCCAUUAUGACGUUGAUAUAUAAUGUUGGGAAUGGAAAGCCAAUUGACCACAAGGGAAAACCUGAAAAUACUGUACUACCACAGCUAGCACGAAGCCCAUUUUCUUACAAGAGUGAUGUGGGGACCAAAUCUCAUGUAUCAUAGCUUAACCCAUAUGCCACAACUAAAAGACGUGGGAUGAUCGAACAGCAUACCCACAUGGUCAUGGAUCUCUUCAGAUAAUCAAUAUUAAACAACCCAUAAACUUCUCCCUUUGAAGAACAAAUUAAAACCAAUUUCUAGAGGAAGGUUACAAAACAUUUUAGCCCGUGAAGAACAAAUCAAGACAAUAUAACCCAUUUGAUAACAAAAUCAAAAUGAGAUUUACCAAUACUAGAUGACCACGGCGCCAGUAUAAUGGUACGACGGCGGCGUUAUUGUAACGGUGGAGAAGUGGAUGGUAUGACGACGGUGUUAGUGUGACGGUGGAGGAAACGAUAUUAUGAAGGAGGCGUUGCUAUGUUCGGUGGAGGAGUCGUGUGUUUCACAGUUCAAUAUAUCCUUUUUAGUCAUUUUAUAUUAGGGUAAAUCAGUAAUUCAAUAAAUAAUUUGAUAGUAUGGUGUACUCAGUUAAUAUUAGGGUUCAUUUAACAGCACUCAAAUUAACUAGUGUAGAGUCUAUCUAUAUUAUUAAUACUAAAAAUAAAUAUAUGACUAAAUAACUCAAAAAAAAAAUAAAUCUACAAUCUUUUUUUUAAAAAAUUUUUUUUAUAGAAUUUUAUUAGAUUAAUAGGCACUACUAAAAAAUCUCCUUAUAAACUACAAAUACACGCAUAACUUAUACUAAUGUGAGCUACUGACACCACCUGCCACAUGACAGUUGUCCAAGCAUAGUGUUGUCAUUCAUUAUUCCCCACAGCAACUAACAUCCAAUAAAGGGUUGGGGCCCACCCAUACUCCACCUCUCUGUAUGUAGCUCUUUGAGAAUACAGAAGAAAUAUUUUUUAGGGAAAUAGCUUAAAAUGAUACCCAUUUCAUAAUUUUAAUUAAAAAUACCACCCCUUUCCAAUUUUUGUACAACUAUCACCUAUAAAUAUAAAAUUAUUGUCCACUUAUUGCUGAUUUUUCACAAGUUCAGAAAUUUUGGAAAGAAGAAGCUCACACAGCUCUCUCUCUCUCUCUCUCUCUCUCUCUCUCUCUCUAGCACAACUCUCUUUCUUUGGUAUCUGUCUAUCACAGCUCUCUGUGUCUCUCUUGGCUCUCUCUAUCUUGGCUCUCUCUCUCUCUAGCACAACUCUCUGUCUCUCUCUUUGCUCUCUUUCUCAUAGCGCAGCUGUUUCUCUCUCUAGCUUCGUUAUGUCUCUUUCUCCCCUAUUCGAUCUCUUGCUUUCUGUUUGGAAUCGCGAACCCCUCCCUUUAGCUAUGUCUUCUGAAUAGCUGCUUGCAACCUUGAAGCUCUAGUGGAUUGCCGACCUCGAAAAGGUAGUGUUGAUGGUUAUUUUCUUAAUAUCAGUGGGAUUAUGUGAAAUGGGUUAUAGUUUGAUUGUUUGGGUUUGUGUUAAAUUCGUUUUGGCUUUAAUUUCUUUGGGUUAGGUUUUGUUGAAUAUUCAUACUCAUUCAUCUGGGUUUGUACCAAUUGCAUUUAGAUUGGUCUGGAUAUGUGAAUCUUGAAACUUGGGAUUUUCUAUUUGAUGUAGUAGAUCUGUAUAGUGUGAUUCUGUUGUGUUCCUCUUAUUUUACAGUCGUAUUGCUGUUAUAUUGUCAUUAUAUUGCUUAUAUAUUGCUGUUAUAUUGUGGUUAUAUUGCUAUUGUAUUGUUUGGUUAUUGUGGUUAUAUUGUGUUAAUGAAAUGUUGUUUUGUCAUGGUCAGAAAUGGAGACAAUUGUUAUUCUCGUGUGCUACAAUGGAAAAUGGGUCACCUCGAAGAAGAUGUGCAAAUACGAAGGGGGUGACUCAAAAGGCUUAAUAGUUCCACGGACCAUCAAAUUUGUUGAACUGUUGGACCGUGUGCAUUAGAUUGGUAAUACAAACAGCAGGGAAGACAAGGUUUGCUUAAAAUUCUCAGUUUUGGUGGCCUCGAAUGAGUGGAAGCACAUAAAUAUUGAGGACGAUGAUGAUAUCAAUUUUUUUAUGAAGUACAAUUCCGAGGUAACACCUUCAAAACUAGCUCCCUUACUCGUGAGUAUAGAAGAUAAAGGAUUGACAAAUGAUGUAGUUCAUAGUAUGCAUAUCACGACAGAUAGUAGUCGGAUGGGUCAUUCUUCAGUUGCCAUUGUUGAAAGCAAUGAAGUAACUUGGAAUAAUACGAAUGUCACUGAUGUGGGAGGUGAAGUAGGGACAGAUUUUGUGGAUAUGAUUGAUUUUAGCGAGGUGUAGGAGAUGCAUGGUGGUGAUAAUAGUACUGAAAGAAAUGAAGUGUCAGUGUACUCUGCCCCUCCUAAUUUGGGCUGCUUCAACAUAGCUGCCCAGUUGCCAAUAAUGCGUUUAGGAGGAGAAUCUGAACCCACUCGUCAACAUUAUUGGAGUCAAAUAGGUGAACAAAAUCGGUACAAUGCAGCCGGUGUAAAUGAUGAAGAAGCAUAUUUGGACAGCGGGUUUUCACGAAGUGAUUGGAAUCCGAAAAUUACAGUUGGGCAAAUUUUCUCUAGUAAGAAAGCAUUGUUGACGGAGUUACGGUUGACGGCAUUAAGAGGCCACUUUGAAUUUAAGGUGCAAUUCUCUUGCACUAAAAGGUUGCUUGUGGUUUGUUGUCAACGUCCAUGCCCAUGGCGGGUCCGAGCAUCGAGAAUUGGAGAAUACAGCUUCAUGAUUGUGAGGUGUACAACUGUCCAUGAAUGUGAUUUGAGGUUCGUAAGUGACAAGCAUCGUCAAGCAACCGCAGCACUUGUAGCCACUUCACUUAAAAGGAAGUGACAUUAUGAGAGAUGUGAAACACAACUUUGGUUGCACCAUCCAUUAUUCGAAAGCUUGGAAAGCAAAGGAGUUAGCUCUAUUGUCCAUUAGAGGAUCAGCGGAGGAGGCAUAUUAUAUCCUUCCAGCUUAUUGCUAUGAAUUGGAGCGUAUGAAUCCCGGCACAAAAACACACAUCCAAACUGAUGAGAACAAUCACUUUGUGUAUUUAUUUAUGGCGGUUGGCGCAUGUAUUAGAGGGUUCCGUUCUUCCAUGCGCCCAGUGAUAGCCGUGGAUGCCACUCAUUUAAAAUCCAAGUACAAGGGUGUUAUGUUUGUAGCAAAUGCAUUCGAUGGUAAUUGAAAUAUAUAUCCUCUUGCUUUUGGGAUCGGGGAUUUGGAGACGGAUGCAUCAUGGCAUUGGUUUUUCACUAAACUUCAUGAAGCCAUUGGUGAGUGUCCCAAUCUUGUUAUUAUUUCUGAUCGCAAUGUUAGCAUAGAGAAUGUGUGGAACAAAAUUUUUCCAACUGCACAACGUGGCAUAUGCUUUUAUCAUAUGAAGGGGAACAUGAAACGCACUUGCUAGUUGAAAAAGCGUGAUCACAUACUUAUGCACUUUGAGCAGGCUGCGAAAUCUUAUUCCAUUGCUGAAUUUGAUUGUCAUUUUUGCAAGAUCAAGCGAAAGGAACAUGUUGCUCAAUAUCUUGAAGAGACAGGGUUACAUAAGUGGUCUAGAGCUCACAUGGAUGGACGCCGCUACAAUGUAAUGACAACAAAUAUUGCAGAGUCAAUCAACUCAGUCCUUAGGUUUGCAAGGAUGCUGCCAGUGGUUCAUUUGAUAGGGGAAAUUGUUAAUCUCCUUGUGAAAUGGUUCACCGAACGUUGUGAGUUGGUUUUGAAUUGCACAACAACAUUGUGCCCCAAUUUUGGAGAGAAGAAGUUGAGGAACAGGUUGGAGGAUGCUGCAAGGAUGAAUGUGGUUAAAGUAAAUAAUGCACAGUUUAAUGUUUUGGACGGUGAUAUGGACGGCCUCGUAGAUUUGGCGAACAGCAGUUGUAGUUGUAGAAAGUUUCAGCUUGAGCAGCUACCUUGCAAGCAUGUAGUUGCAGUUUGCCGCUUCUUGAAAGUAAAUGUAUACGCAAAGGCUUCUCGGUAUUACACUCAGAAAACCUGGAUGAUGCUUAUUCGGAUAGCAUCUACCCGGCACAACCUCACGGAAUGUGGGAUAUUCCUGAAGAUGUUCGAAGUCGAGUUGUGCUGCCUCCCAUGGCAAGGGUCAUGCCAGGCAGACGAAAGAAGAUCAGAAUUCCCUCGCAAGGAGAGGGCACCAUUAGAAGAAAGUGCUCAAGGUGCGGUUCCGCAGGCCACAAUAAAAGCACAUGUAAAAACAAUAUUCCAUUGCGCAAUGUAUCUUAGACAAUAUGAUUUGUGUUGCUUUGGUAGGUCAUGUAAACUCUACUUUUAUUUGUGGUGGGUUUCGUGUUAUGUUGAAUGGGAAUUCUUUUAAAUUUGCAUAAUUUGGGUUGCAUUGCUACAGCAUGCUGUAUUGCUGACAGAUUGCUAUUAUAUUGGACUUUUAUUGUACUGGUAUUGCUUCCAGAUUGCUAUUAUAAUUUGAGUGCGAAAUUAAAGGGACUGGAAUGUAAUUCCAAAUGGAUCCAAAUCAUUAAAGUUCUUAGAAUUCCUAUAUUACACAGUUACUGUGAUACUCCGACUAUACCUUCUUUUAUGAUUACAAAUUCGGCCAAUGCAUAGGCCAGAUGUGGGGCAAAUACAAGGUGAAAUGUCCUAUGUGUUUGACUACAUAUACUUGUUGAAGGAGCAUUACGAAUGCUAACCUCAAUAGAUUGCUCAUGUCUUGCCAAGAACACUCUUGAAUUUAUGCAAUGUGCCCAAGCCAGUCCCAAAGCUGGACUCACCCGUCUGCCUGAUGUGUCCAGGGACUCCAAGUUUCCCAACCUCACCUCAUUCACUUUAUCAUGUGGCCCAAUAAAAUCCACCACUUGGUUGGUGACAACCACCGCCAACCCAAACUUAUUUGCUAAACCCUUCAAUGUCCCAGAUAUGUUGAAAAAUAUUUCAAACCGCCAUUUCAAAUCUGCUGGUGUUGUCUGAUACUGUGAUCGGAACAAUGCAGCAAUGGAAUCAAUGACAAUGAGUUUCACAGGUAGGUGGGUGUGAUCAAUGGCAAUAAAUGCUUCUAUGUCUCCAAGGACAUGGAUGAGUUGUUGAGCAUCAUGAACACCAUGAACAUAUAUGUCUUCCAAUGGCUCCAACCUUAUUAAGUUGGGGUAUGAUGCAUGAUAAAGGUUGCCUAGUUGUUGCAAUCGACGAAAUGGGAAGCUGAAUUCUGUGAAUAUGUAGACGGUGGAGCCCUCUAGUCCGCCAUGUGAGGGUGGGAGCUGAGCUGGUACCGUAAGUUGGAGACAAAGUUGCGUCUUCCCAGAACCACUCUCCCCUACCAAUUCUGUUAUAGAGUUGCAGGGUAUCCCACCCCCCAAGCAGUCAUCUAGUAUUGGGCAUCCAAUGGAUAAUUGAGGGGUUGAAAGAGGAAGGAGCAUGAGGUUUUAGGGUGUCAUAUUUGUGUAAUUUAGGGGGGGAUGUGAUGGUGCUACAAGGCAUGCAUUAUAUAUAUAUAUAUAUGUAGAGUUCAUUUUGAAGGUCUGUAUUGUAGGCCAUAUGUCUUUUAAGGGAUGUAUAAUCCAUCCUUUUUUCAGGUUGUAAUUAAUUUUUUGUUUAUUUAUUAGUAUUUUUUUGGACCAAAUAAUUUAAAAAACAUUAUGAUGCAGUACGUACUGUAAUAGGAUCAUAUUGUAACUCUAUCAUCACUCUAUUGUACUCUUAUUGACAUAAUAUUGCCGUUAUAUGCAUGUUUAUUAUAUAGUUAUUACUGCUAUAUCGCCACUGAACUGGACACCGAUAAACUGUAUACGCACAAAUACAAAAAGAGGCUUCAUCAUUCCAUAAAAUCCUAUUUCCAAACUUACAUAAUACAACAACAGGCCACCCCAUCGUUACAUAAUACAAAAAUACGCCACCUCAUAGUUCCAUUUCCCUACUGUUGACAAAUUCGAAGUUGCAUACUCUUCAAGUGCGGUGACCGCGACGCAUGAAAUUCAUGACCCCGGCCACAGUGAUGUUGGCCUAGUUUCCUGCCGGAUCCACUAUUUUUGCAAACUUACGAAAUAGUUCGAAUCCGCUUUCCACUUCUUCUUGCUUCAACUUGGCCGUUGCUUCUGAUUCCUUGAAUACCAUAAUUGCAGUGGUAGGGGCAAUUUCAAUUUUUGCUUUCAUUGUCUUUAUAUGUAGGAGAUGCAUGCGCGCAUGAUAACGAGAGCGAAUUGUGCGGUUUUUUAUGACACCCCAUCUAGUUUGGCCCUCCACAAUUUUGAAACUAUGUCUGCAUGAAGAUUUUUCCAAAACAUGGUAUUGCCUCGACAUUGCUGCAUGCCAUGGACCAAGUCUGCAGGGAGUGAAUUGGGUGACUUGGCUUGUGUUUCAGUCUUCUCUCCUUCAGUAAUUGAAAGUGUUGGGUGUGGUGUGAGGUUAUGGUCCAUGGUCUUCGAUAUUUAUUGUAGCCUAGUGUACAACUUAAUUGGAAAAAAAGGGGACUAAAUGCGAUGGGAGUGAAAUCAGUGGGGAAGGUAGUGGCUGUAAGCAGGAGUUAAUGUGAUGGAAGUUUUCAUUUCAAACAACUGGGUUGAUUAAUAUAGGCAAGUUUUAAUGACCUGGAGUAACUCAGAGAGUUAUUGGUGGGAGGGAUUAGAGGGAGUAAUUGGCGGGAGGGAUUGGCGGGAGUCUUAGGCGGGAUAGUAUUGGGCGGGAGUUAUUACCCAGUUGACUGUAUGCCUUUUUGUAAUAUAUUUGUAUGUUGGACGUUCCAAACUUGGUAAUUUUCCCAUUAUGUAAUUCAAAUAAGGGAUUUGCCUAUUUGCCUAAUUGACCAACUCAUUCAAAUUGACCAAUAUGGUUAUUGUCUUAUUUCUCAUUUCAGCAAUCUCAAUUCGUUUCCAUUUUUCCAUUCUUCAUAUUUUCCUAUUUUCCAUGUGUCAUCCAAUUUUCCAAUUUUCCAAUUUUUCAUUAUUUUUGCCUAUUUUUUCCUAUUCCCUAUUUUCCUAUUGUGCAAUUUCCCAAGUUUCCUUUUGUUGUAUUUCUAGUUUUCCAAUUUUUCAAUGUUCCCAUUUUCCCAUUAUGUAAUUUAAAAAAAGUUGCCUGCUUUGCCUAAUUCAGAAAGUAAUUAAAAUGGUCCAAUAUGGUAAUUGUCUUAUUUUCCAUUUCCACAAUUUCAAUUCGUUUCCAAUUUUCUUAUUUUCCAUGUGUCCCUAUUUCCUAUUUCCAUUUUUCAAAUUUUAAGUUUUUGUCCAAUUAUCCAAUUAUCUUUUUUCCAAUUGGACUAUUUUCUAAGUUUCCUUUUUUUCCUAUUUCCAAUUUUCCAAUUUUUCAAUUUGCUAACUUUCCUUUUGUUCUAUUUCCAAUUUUGCUAUUUUCCAAGUUGCCUUAUUUCCUAUUUUUCAAUUAUCCAGUUAUCCAAUAUUCCAAUUUUCCAAUUAUCCAAUUUUCAAUUUUCCAAUUUGCGAAUUUGCCUAUUUUCCAAGUGUCCUUUUUUCCUAUUUCCUAUUUCAAAUUUUCCAAUUUUCAUGUUUUCAGAGUUUCCUUUUUUUUUCCUAUUUUCCAAGUUUCCUUUUGUCCAAUUUCAAAUUUUCCAAUUUUCCAAGUUGCUUUAUUUUCCAAUUACCCAAAUUUCCUAUUUUCCAAGUGUCCUUUUUUCCUUUUUCCAAUUUUCCAAUUUUCCAAGUGUCAUGUAAUCCUAUUGCCUAGUUUCCUCUUUCCAAUUUUUCCUUUUUUCCUAUUUCCAAUUUUCAAUUUUCCAAAUUUCCCAAAUUUCCAACUUUCCAUUUUUUCGUAUUUCCGAUUUGCCAAUUUUCCUUUUGUUCUAUUUCCAAUUUUCCAAGUUUCCUUAUUUCCCAUUCUCCAAGUUUUCACUUUUCCUAUUUUUCAAUUUCGCUAUUUUCCAAUUUUCUGUUCUGAAAUUCGCAAUAAAUGCUUAGUUACACAGUCCUAUUUUGGGUUGAAAUCCACAAUUUUCAAUUUCCCAUUAAGGUUUGCUUUUUUGUCGUUUGGAAGCCAAUUUUAUUGUUGUUAAUGUAAUGUUGUACUGUUGUAAAUUACAGCCAAUGAGUUAAUGAUGUAGUUUGCAAUCCCAUCAAUUGAAUGCACCAACUAAAUACCCAAUAUACUUCAUAUAAGUUCGUACAUAUAACUCAACCUUCCUAUACAGAACUGCAACAGAGGCACCUUCUUAACGGGAAAGGUAAUUAGUCUUACUAAAACGCAAAUAUUCUCCACUACAGCUAACCAAUUGUCGUUUACAACUGGAGACUGAAUCUACCUUUAUUUGUUUUGUUGCAGGCAACAGCUGUGAAUUGUCCCCGGCAAUACUUAAAGAUGUCGGAUGUACGCCCUCCAAAUGAGCAUGUCACAGUUACCCGGGGGACCAGCCGUGGCAUGUGCCAUUCCCAUCUCCACCUCGGACUCCCAAUCAUGAUCCCACUUCAUCUGGAAGUGAGGCUGAGAGCAAUGAUCCGCUUGACAAAAUCUCUGCCGUCAAGCACCACCUCCAAUAUAUGUCAAAGGCAACGGAUUGGUGGGAGAGUAAGUGCGAUAUUCAUGGCCAAGUUAUGGGAAACUUGGCCAACAAGUUGAACAAAGCAUACGCUGGAGAGGUGAAGCAAACUCUAAAAGCAAAAAGUCGGAGCAAAGAGUUAGAGUCCUUGAAGUUGAAAUUGGAAGAGAGAAAGAAAAAUGCUGUCGAAAAAUUCACACAAUCUGAAGAAUAUAACCAUGAAAUGGUUGAAUGUUUCAACAACGGCUUUGAAAUGUUCCGAGAUUAUGCUUCGGUCAUCUCACCAGACUACAAUUGGAGUGAAAUUGAUGUAGCUGGUGUUUGGCAGGUGCUGAAUAUGGGUGCUGAGGGAAUGGCUCAUCAUAGCCUCGUGCAUGCAGCAAGGAGAAAGGACAAAGACUUGGAUCUUUUGAUGGACCUGUAGUAACAGUGAGUGCUGCUUCAGUUCAACUCACCUGAGUACAUGGAUCUUUUGUUGCCUUCAUUUUCCCUUCGCAGGCUAGUAUUGUUAAGGUUCGGUGGCGAUUUCUUUUGCAUGUGUAAAAUGUUGUCUGUAAUGUGUAUGUAUUGUAUGUAGAUUGACUUAAUAUUGUAGUUCUAUUGUAUGUAUAUUGCCUUAAUAUUGCCUUUGUAUAGCAUAGAUAGUGUAUGCAUAUUGCCACCGUAUUGGAUGUAUAUUGUAAAACUAUUGGUAUCGUAUUGCCCUUAUAUUGCUCUAAUAUUGCCUCUAUAGUGCACCUAUAUUGACCUAAUAUUGCUCUUAUAUCGUAUGUCAAUGGCAUGUGCUCUAAUAAGUCUCCAGUUCGUUGAAAGUAAUCCUGAAUUCAAAUAUGAUGGACAAGACAAUUGUUAUCCAUCCUUAUAUUACCAUGAAUUGAUUUGGACCUUUCAAAUGAUAGUUGGAGUUGCACAUGGAUUCAUAUUCAAAAGGAAAGUAAUUCUCUCCCUCAAUGAAUUGUCGUUCAAAAGAAGGCAGCUAUCAAAUUUUGGGUACAAAAAGGCAACAUCCACGGUAAAUUAAUUGGGCACAAACCACAUAUUACAAAACCAGGAUGAUUUUUGGCAUGCUUCAAAAGAGAAGGGCCAAAUACAACAGAAAAGAAAAUCCAUUCAAGCUUGUACAAUAGAAUGCACAAUAACCCUUUUACAUGUCCUUCCAACACCAGUGUUUUGCCUACUUUAGAGUCGCAGGAGGAGAGCUUAUUGCCAUUGUGCAAUUCGAGGGGGCAGUCAAUUUGGAAUGGUGGCAUAAACAUGUUUACUCCACGGAUCACCUAUAUGGGACAGAGCUUCCUUCUUCCCUUGUCGUCUGUAGGUUUCAACUUCACACUUUUUAUAUACAUGUAUGAGAACUUGUGGCUAUUUAUUUAUGGCCUUCUAACACUUGUUCUGCCAUUCCAAAGUGGGUUGGAGACUUUUUGAGUUGAAUGACUGGAAAGACUUCAGAUGACAGAAACUAGAGAGUUUGAAGAAAAAGGGUUACCAAGAACAGCAGUCAUGCCCACGACAUAAACUAAACAUGCUAUAAGCUCCACAGUAAUAUUUACUUCAUCUCCAUAAUCAGAAUAUUGGGAAAAAAAUACCACGGAGAAAUACGUGAAAUGAAAAACAACUCGGCAGUUACUGUGAGAUUGUGUACAUAAAACUUGGAACAACCAAACCAAUUAAAGCUAAGCCAUCUCAUACGUAUACCUACAUCAAAUAACAGUGUAUGGUCAUCUUGUUUAGAAUAUUGCAAUCAACACUUGGUUGAGACCGACCUGCAAAAACAACUGGGUUAAGUACAGAUGAAGCCAUUUAUGAAGGGCAGUUCCAGAAUUAAGACCUACGUUAAUUUGUAACUGCCACCGAAUCAGUUCAUAGUGCCAAAUGCAUCUACCAAGCACACAGAUAUGACCAGCCAAAAGAAAAAAAAGCAAAGUAAAAAAGAUAAAAGAGGCAUGCCAUAAAUGGGAACCUCAGCAGAAAUCAUCAGAUAUGCAUACAAGCAGAUUGAGUAACAUCUCACUAAGUAGAGGUCAUGUUGGUAAUCGCAUGUUGUGUUUGCACACAGACAUUUGGUUUUUGCAAACACAACAUGCAAUUGCAUUCCAUGAUGUGUGUGUUGUGUUUGCACACAGACAUUUGGUUUUUGCAAACACAACAUGCAAUUGCAUGAUGUGUGUGUUGUGUUUGCACACAGACAUAUGGUUUUUGCAAACACAACAUGCAAUUGCAUAUUGUGUGUGUUGUGUUUGCACACAGACAUAUGGUUUUUGCAAACACAACAUGCAAUUGCAUAUUGUGUGUGUUGUGUUUGCACACAGACAUUUGGUUUUUACACACACGAUAUGUAACAUUUAGUUUUACCCUUUUAUUCUUAUUUUCUUCGUUCAAACAUGGUGGUGAGAAAAGCACCAAACCAUCCCAUCAUAUAAAGCAAAACUCAUACAAUAUUUUAGAUGCAAAAGUUAUAUAUUUUAUAUAAAUGCAUCAUCCGCAUGGCUUGAAAUUACAAAUUCACGUUCACAUAUUACUUUUCACAAGCGCACAGACUAACAAUAAUAAUAAUCAACCAAGUAGUUGCGACAUUCAUCCUAUUACGUCCAUAUUGAUAAUGUCAGAAGUUUCAUCGAUAAGCCUCAUCAAACUACAAGUUUUUUAAUUUGAAUUAUGAAUUCAGAACUAAAAGCUCAUGAUAUGCAGAAAAUGACAUACAUUGUCCACAAUCGACUUUUCGAUAUAUUUCUGCUCUAGCAAUUUAUCGUCCAAAUUCUGGACUCUCUGUGUCAGGUGCUUCUUUGUGUUCUAUCCAGCAUAAGAAUAUUUAAUAGUGUGAUUUCAAUUGUUUAUACAAAUUCUAUAAGUAAUAUUGAUGAGUGCUGUAAAUCUAUUUGAUAUUGGGAACAAACAUGGUCCCACUAACAGAAACUCAAACAAAACAGGAAUUUUUUUUUAUUUUUUUUGGCAUAGACAGCCGAAAAGAAACUUACAGCAAUAGCCUCUGUCACGCUCUCCAGACGUUUAUGCAAUUUUGAAACAGCAGCAUUCAUACUACGCUUUGUCACAUACAGAAGAUCUGAGAAUUUUAGACCCUAACCAUUUGUGAAGAGCAAAUAUUAGAUUUGCUUAAAGAAGACAACAACUCACAGAACCAAUGGAUGAAAUAAUAUGAACAUAAAUAUAUCAUUUGGAUACCUUCCACCACAUGUAACCAUAACCCAAUGCCCCCAAGGUAGCUGUUGGCAUUAUUAGUGAUGUCAAACCUAUUAAAAAAAUCAAAAAAAAAAAUAUAACCAAGUAUAAAAUGUUUCUAUUGCAUUAUGAAAUACAUACGUGUAAGGAAUUAAUCGUUUUACAACUUAACCAAAAAGUCAAGGCAGGAGCAUGCAUUCAUUGAGUGGUUAUAAGCAAGAGGAAAAAGCACAAAGCAUGCUAAGAAUUCAUUUGAACACAGAAGAGAAAGUAAGCUACCUUGGAAUUUGGCUGUCAUUCCCCUUCAGGACGGCUCUCUGUAGUGACGAGUCUAGUUGUCGGACCUCAGCUGCCAGUCGGCGCACCUAAAACAAAGUAACACAGGAAAAUUGAUAUCCAUUACAAAAAACAAAAAUUGAACACGAGAAAGCAUCCUUCGACACUAAAUUUAUAGCAGUUUUUCCAAUACCUGUGAUGCGAUCGCAUAAAAGUCACCUUCUGAUUGUUCUCCGGUUCCAUUGAACAAAGGCUGCAAACAAAACAGAAAUAGACACAAAUCCAUCAAUUUUUUGAGCAACAAGACACAAGCUCCGAAAUAAAUAAACUAUCUAACUGAUCAAAACCCUAGUUUACCAAAUGCAUUACAAAAUUAAAAACUCAUACAAAAAUAACACCAAAUACAAAUGUUCUGCGAGUUCCACUAGCAAAGCAGAGUACAAAUCAUGAAAAUGGUACCUGAAGUUCACCGAUCAAUUCAGAUAAUUGACCAUUCUUACGCAGGAUGGUGCUCGUAUACCCUGUAGAAAGAGAACAAUCACUCAGAUCAAAUGUAGCUAAAUACACAAGGAAACUAAUCCAGUAUGCAAGAUGAAAGAGGAGUGAUUGGUACCUACUCCAGCGAAGAUCAGCAAACACAGUAUGAGGUUCCAAAUUCAAAUAACAACAUAAUGCUAAGCAGAGAAGUAGAAUUGCUGCCGAAAUUAUUUAAAACGAACUAAGUCAAAACUAAAUGGAGAAAUGUUAACAAAGUUGUAUGCUUCAGUAAGUCCAGUAACAGAUUCCCAAAACCACAGAGACAAAAUGUGAACAAUGGCUACAAAAGCAUCCAUAAAGAGCAACUAUGUUUAUAUAUGGAGGUGUACAAAAUAGUUAACCUUCAAAAUCGAAACAGUGUGUGUGCCAUGUAAGGCAAUUAGCCACUGCUUCUAGACUAUACAAUAUUACACCUCACAAUAAUAACUAAACCAACUAGCUCUAGCAAAAAGGCAGGAUGACCAUAUAAAGUACCCCCAGCAAAGCAUCUACGUCUGCAUCUUCAUAUCAAGGAGUUCCUGACAUAAGUAAUGAGCAAAGUGAAUUCCCAAGUCAUAAGUCCAGAAUGAGGUGAAUUCACGGACAUUAAAACAUUUACCUCAUAAAUAUGCCUCCCCCCUUAAACCCUCAAUUGCAAGCCUCAGCCGGUAAUAUUUGAUCUUCAAAGGGUCAACUUUAUCUACCGAAAUCCCAGCACUGAGAUGCUCGAUGAAUUUGACGGUCAUGAUUCCGCAAGACGUACUGUGAGACCAAUAAGUUGGGAAAUUAGAACUGCAGUUAUGUAAGAUUUGGAUAAACUGCACUAAAUUCACAAAGCUUACCCAUCUCGUUGUUGUGGCACAUCUGCAAUGCUGCAAACUGAGAAUGGCGUAAACGUCAACAUCUUCAGCCCCUUUUGCUUAACCUUUUCAACCUCAGAAUCUUCAUAAAAGUGCAUAUCGUACAGCACUCGUGCCAGCGUAUCGCUAAUAGGGUGCAGAAGUGUAACCAGCUUCGAACAUUUGGUAAAAGCAACAUAUGAGUCAUACACAGUUGCAGUAUGUCAGACGAAAUCAAUUUCGAUUGCAACCCAGUAAGACCCUUUAAGAUUAUAUGGAAUAUAGACCUUCCGGACUUUUGUCCAAGCUUGGCCAUACCCGUGUUGCCACGUACCGCGUACAAAGUAAUGUAUAUUCUGCAGCUUGCUGGGUGGAAGGUCAACGGUGUUUGAAGCAACUGCCUUCUUCGAUCCACGUUUCUUGGCAGUCGGUUUGAACGGAUCUAGAAAUUGCUGCAUAAAUUGAAAUGAAGGCAUAUUAGAAAAUCACAACCGAAAGCAAAUGAAGCAGCGAAUGUAACAUGGUAACAUGUUUACCUGCAAGCAACAAUCUGCUGUUGUCCAGUCAGUUCCAAAUACCAACGGAUGAGAGAGUUGCCUUUUCCAGAUAAGAAAGGUUGCCAUGUCCAGGUGCUGAAAGUUGACACACAUAAUAUCAGCACAAUUUCAUACAACUGUACACUUAAAAAAGGUGAGAAAACAAUUUAAUUAUCGCAAUAAAGUAGAGCUUUGUGUAUUCUUACCCUUGAGCUAAUCCAUUCCGUUUCAUCGAUAAGUCUGUAGAAAAAAUCAGCGCCCACUGAAAAUAAUUCCAGCUGCACCUCCGCACUACAAAAGGCAAACUUGCAAUGGUUACUUUUAUAGUCAUCUCAUAAUUCUGACUUUGUUGAUGACAAAAAUACACAUGUAUAUUAAAGCAAACUCUACGUUUUCUCAUUAGUCUAUGACUACAUACUAGAAUAGGAUGAAGAUUGGAAUUCAAAGGUAAAGAAUCCUAACCUGAUAUCGUUUUUCCAGGCAGUACAAAACUCUAUUACUGCCUUCACAUCUUCAAUGGGCACGGAUUUUGAUGGAUCAAAACAUGGCGGGGUUGCAGUCGCAGCCAACACACUCAUCGUCCUCUUCUUCCUCAAAGGAUCAGUAAAUGGGCUCAACAAUGUCUGCGCCGGGCGCUUCUGUCUGCACCCUUUACCUUCCACUUCUUUUUUUUCCACACUCGAACUACCUUCUUCAUCACCAGCCAUACUAACUGUGGGUAGACUUGGAGGAUUCAUCGGACCUCCCGAUGGCAUACUCUUAGUCACUUUCCAAUCUUCUAACAGAGACAACACUUUUUGGCAGAUUUCGUCACACCCGGCCACAUCUUCCGGGGUAGGCAGCUUCUCGGAUUGUGCCUGCUCAGCUGCUUCAUGCACUUGUAAGUGAGGAACUGAAGCGGCCAUUUCUGCCUCUUCGACUACCAUGGCUGCGGAAGGUUCGGCUCCAUCACCGGGAACUUGUGUUUCCAUUACCGCCGGUUCUGUAGGCGGACUAACAUGGUCAUGUAAUGGCGACAAGUGAUUGUCGCCUCCUUCAUUCAUAUGAGGACUACUGAGGUCCUCAUGUCCUUUCCCACCUUCAUUCACCCCACCAUUUCGUUUUUUCAGCUGCUCUAUCUCCACAUUAAAAUAAUGCUCCAUUAAAGCCAGGGUGUUGCGGAAAUCCUCCACACACUUUUUAUUUUUUUCGAACUCUCUUUCAACUUUCAAUGACUCCUUCCGUACCAUGUCUUCCAACUGAUGCACUCUGUUGCGAAGCGCUCGAUUUGAUAUGGCAACUUUGGCCAAUUCAUCCUUUGUCCUUUGAAAGUCACGCUUCAAAGUGCGUAACUCUCUGGACGCGACUGUACCCUGCAUUCAGUUAUAAUGCAAGUGUUACAAUAUUUUCAAAAUAUAUUGCAACAAUACAGCAGUUAUUUUCCUAUUGUAUUAUGACGUAUAUCUUGGAAAAAAAUGUAAUGCUUGCCUUAGAAGACGACGGAAGGCUAGCAGUUUCGUCAAUGUCCUUAUCUUUUUCUUCUACAGAGGCAGAAGUGCUGGUUUUUUGUUCAGCGUCAUCGCCAAACAACUGAACAAGUUCUUCAGUGUCGUCAACACUGUCACCCCAAGUCCAAUACGGCUGCUGCUUGUCGAUUACAGAUGGCCGGAGAAGUUGCACAUCAACCUGCAAUUUACACAUACAAUAUACAUAUCAGUAAACUUAUUAUAUUAUAUUUUCAUAUGCCUAACAUUAUCAUUAAAAACUUAACUAACCUCACGGUUCUCGAAUACUUGGCUCAUUAGCUCAUAAAAACACGGCGAACUAUUGCUCCUCCAAUGUAGUAAACGAGGGAUGUAGGCAUUAUCUUCGUGCACCACCAAAUGUAGUGCAGCCAACGCUGGAAAAACCUCAUAAGCCCAAAUCUGGUUUGAGGAAUAAAACGUGAGUCACUGUAAACAAAUGAAAUUUAACUUCAACAUGAAUGGAAAUUUGCUCACCUGAAGUGCAUAGGCAAAACCUUUGAGGUGGUACUCUCUUGGUCUACCAGUUGCCGUUGUUUUUGCUUUCUUUUCAGAUUUUUUUGUUUUUGCAGCUUUUUUGGGCACUUUCACUCGCUGGUAAUCUGUACAAAGUGCCCUCAGAAGUGACACAAUUGUCUUGGCAUAACACACAGCACCCCAUGGAUACUUCCCAAACUCUUCAAGGUCUUCCACCAACUUCAAAUAUCGCAUGUCAAUCUGGACAUGUUUUUCACUGCCCAACAGCACAAACACAGCAAAGUAUACAAAUCUGAGCUUCAAUACAUCGUCCGCAUCAACGCAUUUGAGGAAGGCCUUUUCUAAUUCCAAAACAUUGACAGUUUUAUAGUUGCCAAAGUACUUCCUUUUCAAUGAGCAGUUCUCAUUAGUGGGAAUCGGAAUAAAGGGAAGGUUUCCAAACCUUAGCCCUGUCACGAUGCAAAAUUGCUGCGCCGUGAAUUGGAUCACCUUAUUGCCAACGAUGAAUUUGAUCCCGUUGAGUUGGGAAACUGUCUUUGGAUCAGCUUUCCUCAGCAGCAAGCCGUGGACAAUUGGCGAAGUCCACUUGAGGUCCUCAAUCAGUAGGAGAUGCCCAAAACAACUCUCUUCAAACCUUUGUAGCUGUUGUUCACUGAAUUUCUCCUUUAUCGUGCUGAUUGCAGUCUUCGUAUGGGAUAGGGACAAUGCUUUUCCUUGGAACUUUUCUUCCUCUGCAAUCAUCAACUUCAUUUGAGCAACCAUCUUUCCCUGCAUGCCAAUAUUAUAAAAAAAAAUUCAGUCCGUUGCAAUCUAGACAAUAACAAGCAAUAAACAAUCAGCACUUAUCUACAGCCUAUUAUAGGAUAUUAAGUGAAAACAAAAAAACAAAAAAUACAGGGCAUAAACAAAACCCCAGCUAUUUACAACUGACCUACUAAUUCAAUAGCUCAAAGCCACAUCCCAAGACACCCAGUACUCUACCACUCUUGCAUAAUAUAAUAUCUAAAGACACAUCUCAACACACCAGAUAAUCAUGACACAGCUUCAGCUAGAAUGGGAAUGUGCGGUAGCACAAGCCUAAUUGAGAACAAUUCAAGACUAACGAUAGAAAUCUAUCUGACUAGAAAGAGUUUUAAAAAAACAAGAAGACAUCGGGAAAGAAUUGAUUGACUUCAAGGUAUAAUGUAAUGGAACAUCCUAUGAAUUAGUGGCAACCAUAAUAAUGACUCCACUAUGGCCCUCCUUUCAAAUGUAAGAAAAUGAAUGAAAUUGGCACCAUCCCUUCAGUUUUUUCUUAACAAAAUAAGAGAUUUGUAUGUAUUCUCUGCUUUAUCGAUAUCAAAGAUAAAUUAAUAAAUAAACCAUCAAAACUGUAUAAAAUGUUUGUUAGACAUGUACAAUUACAAAAUUAUAAGUUCUCCUCAGAAACAAAGUUCUCUAAGUACGCAAACAAGAAAAGCAAAAGCUUAAAGAGUUAGCUUAUAGCAAAAUCAAUGUCCCCAUUUCUCUAAACCACACCUGCUGGUGGUAGGUUCCCAUCUUCACUCAUUUCCCGCUUUCUUUUAAACAGACAAUGAUCAAGCACAAAAGAGCAAACUUUUAAAUAACUCAUAUUACACCACAAAUAGUUCUAAAGAAAACUUAUUCAUAUCCAAUAUGCAACCCCUAAAGUUAGUAAACAGAGUUAUAAAAAAAUAUGUCAAAUUAACAAGCAUUAUUCUCAAACAAAAAGUAUGAUAUGGUUGGGAGUUUACAAGUUCAAAAUGAUAUACACAGGUUAAUUGUCUUAGACUUUAGAUAUCAUCUUCAACAAAGAAAAUAGAUACCGAUUAGACUUGUAAGAAGGUUAAAUGCAAUGGUCAUAAAGACCCAUAGUAAGCCACCAAAUACCAAUCAAUAACUGCUAUAAAAACCAUAAUAAAACCAUAAUAAACUAAAAAUACAACAGCACUAAAAUGCCAACACAACAUCACUACAUUAGCAAUAUAGUAGCAACAAAACCACAAUACGACAUCAAUAGCAACAGCAAAACAACAGCAGUGCAAGCAUCAGUCCACAAAGAACAAACCCAUUCACUGUUUCAAACAAGGAAUCAUCAUACUAAGAUCAUUUCAGAGAAACCCCAAAACCAAUUUCAGUGAAACCCCUAAACCAAUUUCAGAGAAACCCCUAAACCAAUUUCAGAGAAACCCCUAAACCUUCAACCAAUUUCGAACAAAUCCCUGAACCAAUUUCAUAGAAAUGCAUAAACCCUAAACCAACUUCAAAGAAACCCUAAACUGUAAGAAAAUGACGAUGAACAGUACCUGUUCAAGGUGAACGAUGGAGUUGAGCUUCGAUGAACAAAUUUCGCUCGGAGAGGAAGAGAGAAGAGAGAGUCAGAGCUGAGCGACGAGAGAUUAAGGGCUGAGCGACGAGAGAGUGAGAGCUGAUCGACGAGAGAUGAGAGAGUGAGAGCAAAGUGACGACAGAGUGAAGAGAAAUUGAGAGAAGGAGCCAAGAGAGAGAGCUGAGAGAGAACUUCAGCAAAACUGAUAGAGAACUUCAGCAAAAGUGAUAUGUGUACAAUAAGGGGACAAUAAAUAUAUAUUUAUAGGUUAUAGUUCCAAAUUUUUUUAAAAAGAGUGGUAUUUUCAGUUACAAUUAUAAAAAUGGUGGCAUUUUGAGCUAUUUCCUUAUUUUUUAUUCAACAUGGACGCAGAAACUGUUGCUAAACUGCAAACUUCUUAAAAUAUUUGUCUCACUUUCUCAACCCUAUAUUUGUCUAACUUUCUAGAUCCAUGUACUGAGAUUUAUUAGGGAAAUAUUGUAGAAACUGAUUAUUUUGAAAUAUUAAAUGUGAAAAACUGAACAAAAAUUUGAUGGGUUACAUAUUUCAACUCAUUUCAGCAGCUUAGAUUUUGAAGACCUCGGAAGAGGCCAUGCAGUGAGCCUAGCUAGUGCACUGUUGAUCACUUCAGUGUCUACCGAUCUGUAAUUUUUCCAGAUUGGUUAUAUUUUCCUUUACAUAUUCUUAUAUUAUUCCCAGCUGUAAGUGUUUUACACACUUGUCUAUUAGAAAAGGGGAGACUUAUAAAUAAAUCCAAAAUGGGUACAGUAUUUAUAAAGAAUGACAAAAUUAAAGUGUUUGGGCAAUAAUGCCCUUAUUCAUUUUGAGAUUGCCUAAGGAAUAUUUUUUCUGAUUUUCAGAAGAUGCCAAAGGACCGUUGUUUGAUGAUUGCCGUAAGGAGCUAAGAAAACUUGCUUUGAUAGUUUUGGACAGAUGCAUGCUACUGUUGCUGGGAUGAUCUCUUCACGUGAAAUGAGGAUGAUGAUGCUUCUACACUACACAAUCCAACGAAUUCACAUGUCUAUUUCAGAUACAAGUAUAAACUAACAAGGCUUUAAAAUAUGGGCUGAUGCACUGUUGUUGAUGUUGCUGACACUGUUACUGUGUUGUUGAUACUGUCACUGCGUUGCUGUUGGAAAAAGCACAAGGACUUCACAUGUUGCUUUCGUCUUUUGUGGAGGAGAGAGACCUAGGACUUGCAUGUCUUAGAUAUUUAAGAUAAGGGGCUUUCGUUCCAUUUUGAAAAUACUUUGGGUGUUUUUGAAAGGUGAUUGUUUCUUUUGGGUUUCUCACUAAAUUUCGCUUUAGAAGGGAAAAUAAUAAUAAUAAUGUCAAACAAAGUAGGGUAAAUAUUCAGAUAUGCUCAUAUUAUUAUUCUUCUCCAAUAUUGAGGUAUUUAUACAAGUACAAAGAUGUGUUAACCCUAAAUAAAAUAGGAAAUAUAUCUAAAUUAUAAUAGGCAGUAAAUCUCUAUUACAAUAGGACUAAAUAAUAAUUGGUAAGUAACCAAAAUUCUAAUGAAAUAAGGAAUCAAAAUCCUAACUAAGUAAGGACUCGCCAACACUCCCCCUCAAGUUAGGGCAAACAUAUUUCGCAUGCCUAACUUGACAAGCGAGUCAUAGAACACCAUACUUGAGAAGCACCAAUUGUAGAGAAGGUCUUUUCGUCAACCACGAGUGAAACAAGUGACAAACUAAAGCAAAGUUCGCAGCGGAAACACAAGAGCGAAUCCUAAAAAAUAGGGCACAUAGCAGAACACAAAAAUCCUGGAGCACGACAGUAGAUAAGGCAGAACACAGAAACCCUGUUAGCACGGCAAUAGGUAAGGCAGAAAAAGUCAAGAGCAAAGGCAAGGUCAACAGGCGUGACCACAACGAAAACACACCAGCAAAGACAUGAGCAACAAUAUUAGCACCAUAAUAGACAUGAGCAACAAUACUGGUACCAACAACAGCAAUACAAGGCACUGGCACCAGCAAGAGCAACAAGGCAUGGACAUAACAUGCAUAAUCAAUAGUAAUCAACAUUGUCCCCAACAAGAGUCAUAAUAGGCAUGAGCAAUAACAUUGUCCCCACUAAGAGACUUAACAGGUAUGAGUAACAGUACUGGCACCAGCAAAGGGCAUAGUAGUCAGCAGCAAUAACAAUGACAAAUACUUCUAUUAUUGCAGAGACAACUUCUCUUCACUCCCCAUCUCCCCUUGAAGAGAAGGGGUCAUCGGAACCAUAAGAAAAGUGGCACUUAAGAAACAGAAGUUGACUGACGCUCAAAUGUAGAAGAAUCAGCCAUGGCAAAUAGGUAGCUGAAUUGCAGCGGAAUAGAUGAGCAGCGGUGUCACUCCCCCUCAUAUCUGAUAAUGUAUGAGAGUCGAGAUUUGGAGAAAGCAAUAUCGAAAAAUAAAGUUGCAGAACCCAAAUAAAGUUGCAUCUAUCUCCCCAUCAAAUCCGACACUGGUAAAGGGUCGAGAUUUGAAAGAGGAGAAAUUGAAAUAAUAGUAAAGAGACUCAAACAUGCAGUCUCAUGGCAGAAACAAAUGCAAGAGGGGAAGAUGGUAGCAUACGGUUGUCCCAUGAAGAAAAAACUUCAGAAAAGGAGAAUAGUAAGGGAGGAAACCUAGCAAAUCAUGAACAGAGACAAAGACAAAGAUGCUCAAACUGAGAAGCGGAAAGGCAACUCAAGAGAGCAACCGAAGAAGACAGAGGCCCGCAGAACAGUCAAAGUUAAGGCUCGGCGAGUGGUGACGAUGCUCGCGGAGGAAAGCAACGGCUCGGUGAGCGGUGAUGAGGCUCACGGAGUAAAGAGACUUGUUAUGAAGUUUCAAAGAUAGAGAAGCUGAGACAUCAAGAAAGACCAUCUGGCAUACAAAGAUGAAAAAUAAAAAUUUUGGAACAGUAGCAAAGAAGCAUGUGAAGGCUGGUGCGGUGAAAACACAUAUGAAAGGAUGAACAAAAGAAGAUGACUAUACAAGAUGAAGACCCAUGAUGGGUUAGGAAUGAGGAGUGCCAACGACUCUCAAUUUGGCAGAGGUUAUCGCAGGUUAGGAACCUGGCUCUGAUACCAUGUCAAACAAAGUAGGGUAAAUAUUCAGUUAUGCUCAGAUAUGCUCAUAUUAUUAUUUUUCUCCAAUAUGGAGAUAAUUAUACAAGUACAAAGAUGUGUUAACCCUAAAUAAAAUAGAAAAUAUAUCUAAAUUACAAUUGGAAGUAAAUCUAUAUUACAAUAGGACUAAAUAAUAAUUGGUAAGUAACUAAAAUUCUAAUGAAAUAAGGAACCAAAAUCCUAACUAAGUUAGGACUCGCCAACAAAUAAUAGUACAACUCUUAUUAGCAACAGGUUACAAACUUCUUCUACAACACACCAACAUGAAUCUAGCCCUGAUCCACUCUUUUACAUACUUGAAAACAAAACAAAACACGAAAAACAAAAAACAAGAAACAAGAUAGGGAGAAAAUGGCUACGGAGAGACUUCCUGCUAAUCAGGGGCGGCCCUGGGGUGGUGCAAGUGGCGUCACCGCACAGGGCCCCCGAUUCUUAAGGGCCCCCAAAAAAUAAUUCUUUAUAUUAUAUAUAUAUAUAUUAAUAUUAUAUGAAUCGUAUAUAAAGUAUAGCGUCUGGAUGAUAAAGAGACUCAUUAUCAUUAUCUUAGUCAUAAGAUUCAAAAUGAAUUGAUACUUUUGUUAGCUUCUGAGCUCAAAAGUGCAAUCAUUAAAAAGAUUGAAGAAGCUAAAUAUUUUUCUGUGAUUCUUGAUUGUACUCCAGAUGCUAGAAACCAAGAACAAAUGAGUUUGAUAGUAAGAUGUGUGGAUGUCUCUACUAAUUCAAUAAAGGUUGAAGAAUUCUUUUUGGAAUUUUUGAUUGUGAAUGAUACAACAGGACAAGGACUUUUUGAAGAGUUGCAAACGGUGUUGCAAAAACUUAAGCUUGAUAUUGAUAAUGUGAGAGGACAAGGCUAUGACAAUGGAUCAAAUAUGAGUGGGAAAUAUCAAGGUGUCCAAAGAAAAUUUUUGGAUGUAAAUCCUAGAGCAUUGUACACACCUUGUGGUUGUCAUAGUCUUAAUUUAACACUUUGCGAUAUUGCAAACUCUUGUGGAAAAGCAAAAGAUUUUUUUGGAAUCAUACAACGUAUUUAUACAUUGUUUGCUAAUUCUACAAAGCGGUGGAAGAUAUUGAAAGAUAAUGUUAAACACUUAACUCUGAAAUCAUUGUCAGUUACACGUUGGGAAAGUCGUAUUGAAAGUGUGAGAGCAAUAAGAUUCCAAGCUGCAGAUUUAAGAGAAGCUUUACUUCAGUUAGCAGAAAGUGACGGUGACUCCAAAAUAACAAGUGAAGCUAAUUCUUUGGCAACAUAUGAACUUGGAAAUUUUGAGUUCUUAUUGGGCAUGGUUAUUUGGUAUGAUAUAUUAGGUGGUGUCAAUGUAGUGAGCAAAAACUUACAAUCUGAAGACAUGCUUAUUGAUGUUGCUAUUGAUAAAGUGAAAGGGUUGAUUACUUUUUUUUUGAAAAGUAUAGAGAAAAUGGGUUUACAGAAGCUAUGUGUACUGCUAAAAAAAUUGCUACUGACAUGGGAAUUGACCCGGUGUUUCCUGAGAAGCGAAAAAUUCGUAGAAAAAAACAUUUUGAUGAGAAUACUUGUGAGCUAUCCCAAUCAGUUCCUGAAUCAACUGAAGAAAAGUUUAGAAUUGAUUAUUUCUUGUAUUUAGUGGACCAAGCUAUUGGUUCUUUACGAAGAAGGUUUCGACAAUAUCAAGAGUAUGAGAAUUUUUGGGUUUUUGUUUACUUCAGAGAAGUUAAAUUCAUUGGAUGAUUGCGAUUUGAAGAAUAGUUGCAGUCAUCUGGAAAGCAUUUUGAAAAAUGACAAGUUUUCUGAUGUCGAUGGGGAGGAUUUAUUUGUUGAGUUGAAAGUUUUACAAGAGCUUUUACCAAAAGUAAAUACCACAGCUACUGCAAUAUUAAAUUUCUUGAAAAGAUUAAAUUGUUUUCCAAAUGCAUUCAUUGCAUAUAGAAUCCUAUUGACUAUUCCUGUUACUGUUGCAUCUGCGGAAAGAAGUUUUUCAAAAUUAAAAUUGUUAAAAUCAUACUUGAGAUCAACUAUGUCGCAAGAAAGAUUAAAUGGACUAGCUUUGAUUUCAAUUGAAAGUGAACUUCUUGAAAAACUUGAUUAUGAACAUUUGAUUGAUGAUUUCUCUUCUAAAAAUUCAAGAAGAUCAAUUUUCAGACAUUAGUAUUGUACUAGCUGUGUUUUUUUUUUUCUUCUAGGGUAAAAGCUCUCAUAAUAAUUUUAAUUCUUCAAAUAAGACAGCAAAUACAAUGUGAUGAAUUUUGGAUAAUCAGGUAUGUUUUUGUUGUUGCUUUUGUGUUUAAUGCAAUAUAAUCUAAUUUUUUUAAUGACAUUUGUGUGCAACUACUCUUUGAUUUGUGAUUGCCAAUUUUUUUUUCUUUCUAUUAAACACAGAUUGCUUAUUGGAGGCAGCAAGAGACCUUAUAGGGGCACAAGGAGCUUAUUUUUGUACAAAACAUUUAACUUUAUCAAAUGGAAACAUUUAAAUUUUUAUGAAUUUGAUUUCUGAUUGUCAUUGCAUAUUUAUUGAUGGUGAAUUUUAGUUAUAAAAAAAAAAUUGUUUAUGACAUUAAGUUAUGGCAAAUUUUUAUAGUAUUUUCGUAUUAGAUUAUGCGAGGUCCCAAUUUAAGUUUCGCACAGGGCCCUCAAAAUCUCAGGAACGGCCCUGCUGCUAAUACUUGAUCAAUAACAGAGAUAAUAGAGCACACUGUUUGUAUGACAAUGAGUAUCAGAAGAAUAAUAGCUGCAAAGAGAGAAAUAGCUGCCCAAGGUGUGUUGAAAUACUUUUGUCUCAAAUUUGCCUUCCGUCUGUUCGUGGUCUUCUUGCAGUACUCGUUUAGUUUGCCAGCAAGAUCACCAAAAUAGUAGUUUCCGUGGUUCGGAGCAACUUUACUGCAAAGCUUGUUAAUCAUAAUGGAAACCUUAUUGUUGUCACCUAGCGUGUUUACAACAAUUCCAUUGUCAACAAGCAACUCUACAUCCUUUGGGGUGUUUACAAAUUUAUCCAGGAUGAAAACAUAAUCGCUUAUGUAUUUAUCCACGCAAUGGCCUUGUUCAAAGGCAAUGAGAUUUCUAUGUGUAAGCUGUGUAAUCAUGUAUUUCAAUUUUUGGAAUUUCCAAGGUGUUUUUCUUGAACUGUAUAUCGAAUAAGUUCUUGCUUGAUCCCACGUUAAACUUAACUCCGGCCUGGUGUAGUUUUGUCAUGCUGGGUGUACUUUGGAGCCCUCCAUUUUUUUUUCUUUUGGCAGAUGUAAAGUUCUAAUAAAAUCAACAAAAUGUAAAGGUUUUUUAGGAUCAGGAGGCAUAAAAGACUUACGGAAGGCUGGUGAGUUCUCCAAGUUUUCUAAACGCAGUGCCUGUUGGAAGAACUUGUAAGAGAGUUCAAUUAUUGAAGGCUCCCCAGUCUGAGCACCUGUGAGAUUGUAAAGAUCCUCGAGAAUGAAAAAUGGCAGCUGAUUUACGAGCAUAAGCAUGUCAGGCAAUAUAUUUUGUAGCACCCAUGGUUUUUUAAAUAUCCAAGCAUCAUCAUCCUGCAAUUUUUCUUCCUGAAAUUUUUCUUCGGAUUUAUUCCUCAACAAUAGCUCAAUGACAAAGGCGGCAUCAACUAGAAUGAUAUUCACAAAAGUAGCAAUGUUAAACUUCUUAGGGCUAGUUUGGCGGCGUUGUGCUUUUAAAAAAAUAUGCUUCUGCUGUGCUGUGAAAAUAAUUAGCUGUGAAAAAAAGCUACUAGGCGUUUGGUAAACUGUUUUUGAAAAACUGCUGUGAGUAGUCAAAGUGUUUGGUAAAUUUUUAUCAGAAGUACUUUUAGUGUGUAUAAUGACCAAAAAGGACAUGAUGAUGAAAUUGUUUGUUAUUUUCUUCAUUCUUUUUCUACUUUAAAAAAAAAAAAAACCCAAUUUCACUACAUAAAUUUUUAUUCUUUUUUAAUUCACACCUUUUUAUCAAAAAAUUUAAUCUACAAUUAACAUACAUAUUUUACCAUAAAUUAUAAAUUACUAUUAUAACAAAAGUAAUUCUAAAUAUUGUUAUAUUAAUAUGGGCUUCGGACAUGACAAAAAUACAAAAAUUGUUCAAUUUUAAAAUGCCCCAAUAGAUCACUACAAUAUAAAAGAAGCUAAUUAGAUGCAUUCAUUAAACUUGUAGCGAUGCUAUUUCUUAAUGCAUUCAUUAGCUUCUUUUUUUGGUUUCCAAUGGUUCUCUAACAAUUUUAACUAAAAAAACAACCAUAAUGCUUUGUGAACAAUAAAUUCAAGUCCAAAUCUGCUAUUGCCCACACCAUACAUAUAUACAUAAUUGUUCCUUUCAUAAAACUUGAAGAUUCAAUAGUAAUUACACAGUUUACCAAUCUUGAUUCCAACUAUAUCCAUAAAAUUAAACUAUAAUUAGAAAUAGAGGAGCUACAUGUGAUUACUCAUAAAUGCUUCCCACUCUCAUCAUCAUCAUCAUCAUCAUCUUCCUCCUCUGUACUUUGCCUUUCACAAAUGGACAAGACCAGAUGGUAACGUACACGACAUGGUCCACAUAUAGAUAAAUUUUGGGUUCACUGGAGAACAUAAAAGAGUUUUUACACGAAUACAAAGUUAGUUAAGUAGUGAAUAAAGUAAAACUAUUCUGUACAAUUCUAGCUGAUGCAGUCCAAAAAGAAUAUAUGUCUAAUAACUUAAAUAACAAUAAAGAGAAACAAAAGCCUCAUGAAAAAUGCUAGAGUAAAAGUUACAUAACUGAAUCGAUGGACAGAGAACUCCACAGGCAGAGAAACAGCAACAAAAAUUGUCAAAACAGUAGCAAGACCAUGUUGGAGUCAAGGCCAAAGAUCAUAUUUCCUGUGUAUCUUCUUCCAUUCUGAAUUAUUCUCGUAUUCAAAUACUGUAACUCUAUUUCAAGUGCACCCCAAAAUACUUAUCUAAGGCCAGUACAUAGGACUUCAUAAAGGGUGCGAUAAAAAAUAUUGCCCCUUAAUUGAUAAACAGAACCAAGAUCCCAACAGCACACCAAAACUAUACCAACCACACCUACAUAAUAUGGACAGAAAAUCCUGUUGUUCCGAUCUCUAACCACACCAAUGACAUUCAUUAGGAAAAUACAAAAGAUGGGUACCCUGCAUUUCUAACAUUUAAGAUAAAAUUCACUGCCAGCUAAUCACAAAUUUGAAAAGAUGGCAAGAAAAUUGGCUAAGCUUUAACAAAAACCAGAGCAGUCCUUGCAUAGACCUGACUUUUUGCUCCAAGCUUUAGCAGAUCACUUACUGGUAGAGAGCAGAGAACAUGUAUGUGAAUAUCUGAAGUUGGAAGGGUAAGCCAUCACAAACACCAAGAGAUCUGAUUCUCAUCUCUUGUUACAACAACAAAUCACAAACACCAAUACAUCUGAUUCAGAAUCUCAUAAACAAUGGAGGAACAAACACAUAUUCACACACAUAUAAAUCCCUAAACAGAAAAAAUAAAAAAUAAAAAAAAAACCAUGAAAGUCAUAGGAGAAUCAAAUUGAUUUGGGCCAAAAUUGCCUAAAAAGAAAACACUCCUAAAUAAACUUCAAUUCACUUUUAAAAACAGUAAAACAUGAUUGAAUCAUUCUUUAAAACAAUUCCCUAAUAUACAUGCAUGAUAAUGACAUCAUUUACCCCUGAAUCAAAUGCCUUUCACUGGUCAAGCCACAAGUCUGUGUUUUGGGAAUUGCUGAGCUGCAUCAAUCCUGCCAAUGUAAAUUCUGCCCCUAGGCUCUCUCAAAGUGCGUUUACAACCUAUGCUAACAUAUACUAGAGUUUGUUUUAGUAUCUAGAAAAUGCCAACACUAAUUUCGUAACACGUAGAAAUUGUUACAUAUUGGAAGUUUUUAUCAUUUUUUCUUCCAGUCUCUCCACCACUCACUAAUACAGAUUACUCAUGUGAUGAGUUUACAAAACAUAUUUCUCUACUCCCACAAAGACCAUACUUUUUCUCAAAAGACUAUAUCACUUUAUCUCUAUCUUUGUGAAAUGUAAAAAGUUGAAACUUUAAUGUCAAACCUCGACAAAAGAUGAACAUCCAUCAUCAAUUACAUUGAAUUUGAAUUUGUUGAACUUAAGUAGUUUUACUUCUCUGUCAGCGUUUGAUGACUUGAUUUGUUAUUUACUUCUUCUUUUUUCCUUGGAAAUGUGUUCCAUCAACGUGAGGAAGAAAAAUAUGCACAAAUUAAUAUAUUUAAUAGAAGCAAAAAUUAAUAUUUACAAAAAUAUGCACAAAUCAAGUAAAAUUAAUAAAGCAUAAAUUGGAAAGGGAAAAUAUGUAGAGGAUGCAUUGUAGGAUUGCUCAUGCCAAUAAUUGUACCCUCUAAAUAUAUAGGGACAUAUUUUUUUUUGUUUUCAUGACAUGUGGUCCUAAAAUUAUUGUUCUUAGCGGGCUCUCCACCCCUCUCGACUGAAAACCUAUUGUGUAAAUCUUCAAUCCUGAAUGAUGCACCUAAAACUCAUGUUGCAAUACACAUCCACCCAUUCUCAGGCCAAUUAUUACUCCUAGUGGGCUCUCCACCCCCUCUCAAAUUUAAGUGGUCCAUUAUUAUUAACCGUAUAUUUUAUGGACCAGCCAGCUGUGAGGUUUUAUCUCAAAAACCUUUCUCCCACAUGCCACAAUUUAUGUCUGAUACAUCACAUCAUGCCAGUUGUCUCAAAUGAAUUUAAGUGAGUGAGGCAGUGUUACUUCUGGGUACCCCUCAUUAUUCGUCUAUAAAUUGGUGAAGCCAGUUGCUACUGUUACCAUAAGAGCCAGCUCCGACUUUCAAAAUAAAAAUUCCAACAACGGUCUUAGUGCCUUCAAUUGUAUGAGUCAUUGAACAUGCAAAUGAAUAAAAUAUGAAUGAUAAAAGUGUUUGAUAAAUCACCAAGUUAUAGAACACUUGAUGAUUUAUCUCAAAUAAAAAUUCAGCUUUCUAAAGUUUGUGAAUUGAAAAUAUAAUCGUUAAAGCUCUCUAAACAAAGAAGACGAAAGUCUUAUUUUAUAGAAUUUUUCUUUACAAGAAAGAAAACAUGUUGAAAACCAAAUCUCCAAUUUCCAAGGCUUGACAGAAAAUCAAAAAAAUAUCUUUCCUAUUCUAGAGAUUGGUCACAUGUAGUUCAACCAAUAGGAAAUGAGAUAUUUAAGAAAGCAAGAUUUUGAUCAAUACCAAUAUCAAAUGAAUUCUUAUACGCCUAGUCAACUAUUAAGGGUAUCUUGACUCCUUGAUAUUGUGAUAUGAUUGAAACAUGAUUUCCAUGUUAGAAAAUUAAGGGGAUGUUAAAACAUGAAAGUAAUAGGAGAAUCAAAUUGAUUUGGACUAAAAUUGCCUAAAAAGAAAACACUCUUAAAUAAACUUCAAUUCACUUUUAAAAACAGUAAAACAUGAUUGAAUCAUUUUUUAAAACAAUUCCCUAAUAUACAUGCAUGAUAAUGACAUCACUUACCCCUAAAUCAAAUUGUCACGCCCCGGACCUGGGGGUCAGUGGAAACCCCACGUUCGGUGCGUGAGAAAAUAAAAAGUAAAAUAAAAUAAAAAGAAUGCCGAAACAAGGGUUUAAAAUAAACUUCUCUUAUAAAAAUAACUCCAAAAUCUUACAACUUUACAAGAAAUAAAUAAAGCCCUAUCAUUCUUAUCUAAUUCAGCCUCAACUGGUUUAGUCCUUGUCUUGCCCACUAAUUCAUCUAAAAAAUGAAGAGUGUUGCUAAACGAACCCUAAAAUUAAUUGAGUACACCCUACUACCAAACGAUUUAUUGAAUUUGUCACAUCUCGGGAUCAACUCCGCCGUAGCACGAUAUUGUUCGCUUUGGGCCCUCCCUCUCUGGCUCGCAUGGUUUUGUUUCUGGGAACUCACGAGUAACUUCCCAGUGGGUCACCAAUCCUGGGAUUGCUCUAGCCCACAACUCGCUUAACUUCGGAGUUCCUACGACUCCGAAGCCUGUGAGCUCCCAAAAGGUCUCGUGCUAGAUGGAUGCGGGUGUGCACAUAUAAGGCACAUCACCCCCUCUCCGUUGGUUGAUGUGGGAUCUUAUAGAAUUACUAAUUUAUCCUAAUAUAAAAUGACCAAAGAAGAUAAAAUAAUAUUGGUAUCUAUUGCUUUGAAUCCAUGCCUUCAAACAAAUUGACUUAAUUUUUAACAAACAACACGGAGUCCAGGAGAAGUGUAUUGAUCCAAGUUGAUUUUUGUAUGCGUAAAACUUAAACAAUCAAUAACACAAAGCAGUUCAUGCUGAAAUAUUGGAAACCCACACCCAAAGAGUUCUCCGCUGCGAGGUUGAAGGCAGGAGAGAUGGGUGACAGAUUUUACUUCCACUGCGAAGUUGGAGGCUAGGAGAGUCUGUGACUGCCAUGGUUGAGGGAGAAGAUGCGUUCAAAAUGCCUAUUGAUAUUUUACAUUAUUGGCUUUUUUCAAAAGUGAAAGUUUUUUUAUGGGUAAAACCUAAAUUUACUUUUUCUAUACAAGUUAACAGUGUUUGUGUAUUGUGAAAAGGUGGAGAGACGUGUCAAAAUUUUAGACAAAGGACAGGAGGAGAUAGGGAAUUUGGGGACAGCAGAUCUCAACUCCCUUGAGACCCUAUUCUCUACGCCACCCCUCCCCCUCAACAACCCUAGUCACCAUUUCUCCUUCAACUCCAACGGCAACUCAUUAAAACCCAAUUCUCAAAUGCAACAAUCUAAUCCCAAUCCCAAUUCAGAUGUUUCUAAAAAACCCAUUGUCGUGGUGGAGAACUGCAAUUCCAGGUGGUGGUGGUGGUACCACAUGGGAGAGAGAAAAAAGAAGAAGAAGAAGCAGGAGAGAGAGAGUUUUUUAUUUUAUUAUUAUUUUACUGUAAUUUUUUAAUUUAAAUAAUUAAAAAAAUUAAAAGUUAAAGAGGAUGUACCAUGGGUAUUUUUGGUAGUUAAAUAAGGUGUACUUAGGGUCAGUUUGGCAUUGCUGUGCUGUGAAAAUAAUAGCUGUCAGAUUUGCUGUGAGAGAAAUCAGCUGUGAGAGAAAUCAGUUUGGCGUUUGAUAAAAUUUUUGUUAAAAGUGUGUUGAUAUUGAUUUUAUGCUUAAUCCGAAAAUGAUUGCUGCAUAAUCAUUAAACCCAGCGCCUCUUCGAAACUGAUUCCUAUAUAAUCAGAAAAUGAAAGCACCUCAUUAGCUGCUUUCCUUUAUAGCUUUCUCUCACAGCAAUUUUUAACAAUAAGUGAUUUUCUCACAGUUUACCAAACGGGUUGGGCUUCUCAAAAUUUUUUAAAAAUCACUUAUUACCCCAAAUAAGCAAUACCAAACGGGCACUUAGUUAAUUUUACAUUUUAAUUUAAACAUUAGGGUGUACUCAGUUAAUUUUAGGGUUCGUUCAGCAGCACUCAAAAUUAAACAAGGUGAGGGAUGAGCAAGUAGGGACAUGAGACAUUGCCACAGUAGAUUGAUAUAACUAAAUAUUAUUAUAAACAUAGAAAUAUAUAAGUAUUAUUAUAAUAGGAUUCAUAAUAAUUAAUAUAAAAGUAUAACAACAAUAUUUACAUUUAUGUACCAAGAUAAUUACACAUAUAAAUAUAACCAAUAUAUAUUUUUAUAUAUUUUAAAAUAUAAGUCUUUACGUAAAUGCCUUUCACGGGUCAAGCCACAAGUCUGUGUUUUGGGGAUUGCUGAGCUGCAUCAAUCCUGCCAAUGUCAAUUCUGCCCCUGAGCUCUCUCAAAGCACGUUUAAAACCUAUGCUAACAUAUACUAGAGUUUAUGCUGUAUCUAGAAAAUGCCAACACUAAUUUCGUAACACGUAGAAAUUGUUAGAGAUUGGAAGUUUUUAUCAUUUUUUCUUCCAGUCUCUCCACUACUUAUUAAUACAGAUUACUCAUGUGAUGAGUUUACAAAACCUAUUUCUCUACUCUCGCAAAGACUAAACUUCUUCUCAAAAGACUAGAUCACUUUACCUCUAUCUCUGUGAAAUGUAAAAAGUUGAAACUUUAAUGUCAAACCUCGACAAAGUGUUCUACUUUACAAACUUCUUGUGUCUACCAAUUUGUACUAAAAUUAAUUUCUCUACAGUGCUCAGAUUCAUCAUAUGUGUGUCCUUAAUUUUAGUGGAAAUUGGAAGUUUCCAUAAUUUUUGCUUUAAGUCACUCUUCUGAAGGAAGUUGAGGUUCCACUUCAUAAUCCAAAAUGUCAGGUUGACUUAUGGCAAACAAUGUAAAUAUGUAGGAGUACUAUGACCUUUUAUAGCAUUUUUAGUUUGAAUUUGGGUUUUAUACAUAGAUUUCAAAAUUAAUAGGUUGAUGCCUAGGAAAUAGAAAUUGUAAGGGCCUAUAUUAGAGUAGCCCUCUUAAAAAUAAUAUUAAUUAAUGAAUAUUUGUUCUUCUUGUUGUUUUGAAGUAGUGGUGGGAGGCAGACCAACAAAAAAAAAAUAUAGUGAAGGCUUAUAAGAGCAUUUACAAUCAUGCUCCCUAUUUUUUAGUUAAAAUUUAGCUAAAAAUAGAAAAAAAGUUAUUAUAGGAGCUCUUUAUAAAGCUCCUUUAUAAAAUUUGAACUCCAAUCAUACUCCCUAGUUUAGGGAGUCAAAAAUACUAUAGUUAUUUUUUAAUUCAAUUUGAUUUUGGUUAAUCUCUAUAAAUAUGAAAAAAUAGUUAGCAUUAAUUAAAAGUUUAAACUAUGCAUAAAACAAAGAAACAUUAAAUUAUAGGGAGCCACUAUGAGUCAUUACUCUCUCCUCAGAUUUAGGAGCUCCUAAAGGUCUCCCUAUUUUAUGAGGUGGAUAAGGAGCAUGGUUGGAGUUGUAUUUCUUCAAUUUCCUCCCUAAAAUUUGUCUAAGGAUGUGGUUUAGGGAGCCCAUUGUGAAUGCUCUAACUCUGGUAAAACACGAGUGACAUGGACAACAUAUGUUACGUCGUACUGAAGAUUUUUGGGUUUCUUUAAUUGGUUAAGUAGCAUCCACACAGCUUCCUAAAUCAUCUCCUUAGACAAAUUUUAGGGAGGAAUUGGAAAAGUACAACUCCAACUAUGCUCCCUAUCCACCAACUAAAAUAGGGAGACUUCUAGGAGCUCCUAAAUCUGAUGAGAGAGAAAGGACUCUUAAUGACUCCCUAUAAUUUAAUGUUGCUUUAUAUUAUUUUGUAUACAGACGGGUCAAUUAUAUUAAAUUAAAAAAUAAUUAAAGUAUUUAUGACUCUCUAAACUAGUGAGCAUAAUUGUAGAUCAUCUUAUAUACCUUAAUUUGAAGAUUCUUUAUUUGGGUUUCUUUCAAGACUUAUCACCUUAGCCACGCCACCUACACGUCUGCAAGCUUUCCUAACAAGGAAGGGGAGGCUGCGCAAUACUUAUCACCUUAGCCACACUACACCAAAUUGACGUCUGCAAGCUUUCGUAAUCUAACAAGGAAGGGGAGGCUGCGCAAUACUUAUCACCUUAGCCACACCAACACCACAAGACCAAUAUGUGUAGUCCAGGAGGCUUUCCCAUUUUAAUAUAUAUUAUCAAAUAAAAUAAAAAUCAAUCUAUUAUCAUAUAUAUUAUAAAAUAAAGAUUAUUGCUCCAUCCUCCAUGCACUUGCAUGCCUCUUACAAAGUGUGAAGUAGAUUUUGUGUGCUCCAAGUCAUUGACGAGAGCUGUAACAUGGUUAGCUGGAUUUAUAAGAUCUUUUCUUUUCUGGGAAUUUUCUGAAUCAAGAAAAAUUAAGUAAAAUUAAUAAAGCAUAAAUUAGAAAGGAAAAAUAUCUAGAGGAUGCAUUGUAGGAUUGCACAUGCCAAUAAUUGUAUCCUCUAAAUAUAUAGGGACAUAUUUUUUUGUUUUCAUGACAUGUGGCCCUAAAAUUAUUGUUCCUAGCGGGCUCUCCACCCCCUCUCGAUUGAAAACUAAUUGUGUAAAUCUUCAAUCUUGAAUGAUGCACCUAAAACUCAAGUGUCCCAGGCCAAUUAUUGCUCUCAUACCACUUGUUGUAAUAAACAUCCAUCCAUUCUAAAGGAAAGAUAACCAUCGAUAUUAUCUCAAAUUUAACCACUUAAGUUCAUUAUGAUUAACUAUGUAUCUUAUGGACCAAUCCAAUCAUGAGGUUUUAUACCCAAUUAGAUCGACUAAUACAAAGUUCACACGUGGAUUGAAAAGCGCUAUCAGUAGGGGAGUGUUCGGCACCCUUUACUGCCGAACGCAACACAAGACCCCUUGCAUGCCUUCACUAAGUUGAGCCUAUCUAUUUUUUAGCAUUAACAAUAUAUAUAGAUUGAAAAAAUAAAAUAAAAAUCAAUCUAUUAUCAUAUAAAAUAAAUAUUAUUGCUCCAUCCUCCAUACACUUGCAUGCCCUCUUACAAAGUGUGAAGUAGAUUUUUUGUGCUCCAACUCAUUGACUAGGGCUGAAACAUGGUUAGUUGGAUUUAUAAGAUCUUUUCUUUUCUGGGAAUUUUCUGAAGCACGGAAAAUCAAAUAAAAUUAAUAAAGCAGAAACUGUACCCUUUAAUUAUAUAUGGACGUAUGUUUUUUUGUUUUCAAGUCUUAGAUGACAUGGGGACCUAAAAUUAUUGCUCCUAGUGGACUCUCGACCCCUCUCAAAUUUAAGUGGUCCAUUAUUAUUAACCACAUAUUUUAUGGACCAUGCAGCUGUGAGGUUUUAUCUCAAAAACCUUCGGUACAUUUCUCCCACAUGCCACAAUUGUAUAUUCACAAUUACGGCUGUUACGUCACAUCAUGCCACUUGCCUCACAUGCAACAAGUCUGUGUUUUGGGGAUUGCCGAGCUGCAUCAAUUCUGCCAAUGUCAAUUCUGCCCCUGGACUCUCUCAAAGCACAUUUAAAACCUAUGCGAACAUAUAUUAGAGUUUAUGAUGUAUGUAUCUAGAAAAUGCCAACACUAAUUUCGUAACAUGUAAAAAUUAUUAGAGAUUGGAAGUUUUUAUCAUUUUUUCUUCCAGUCUCUCCACCACUUAUUAAUACAGAUUACUCAUGUGAUGAGUUUACAAAACCUAUUUCUCUACUCUCGCAAAGACUAAACUUCUUCUCAAAAGACUAGAUCACUUUACCUCUAUCUCUGUGAAAUGUAAAAAGUUGAAACUUUAAUGUCAAACCUCGACAAAGUGUUCUACUUUACAAACUUCUUGUGUCUACCAAUUUGUACUAAAAUUAAUUUAUCUACGGUGCUCAGCUUCAUCGUAUGUGUGUCCUUAAUUUUAGUGGAAAUUGGAAGUUUCCAUAAUUUUUGCUUUAAGUCACUCUUCUGAAGGAAGUUGAGGUUCCACUCCAUAAUCCCAAAUGUCAGGUUGACUUAUGGCAAACAAUGUAAAUAUGUAGGAGUACUAUGACCUUUUAUAGCAUUUUUAGUUUGAAUUUGGGUUUUAUACAUAGAUUUCAAAAUUAAUAGGUUGAUGCCUAGGAAAUAGAAAUUGUAAGGGCCUAUAUUAGAGUAGCCCUCUUAAAAAUAAUAUUAAUUAAUGAAUAUUUGUUCUUCUUGUUGUUUUGAAGUAGUGGUGGGAGGCAGACCAACAAAAAAAAUAUAGUGAAGGCUUAUAAGAGCAUUUACAAUCAUGCUCCCUAUUUUUUAGUUAAAAUUUAGCUAAAAAUAGAAAAAAGUUAUUAUAGGAGCUCUUUAUAAAAUUUGAAUUCCAAUCGUACUCCCUAAUUUAGGGAGUCAUAAAUAUUAUAGUUAUUUUUUAAUUCAAUUUGAUUUUGGUUAAUCUCUAUAAAUAAAUAAAAAUAUGAAAAAAUAGUUAGCAUUAAUUAAAAGUUUAAACUAUGCAUAAAACAAAGAAACAUUAAAUUAUAGGGAGCCACUAUGCCAAUAAUUGUAUCCUCUAAAUAUAUAGGGACAUAUUUUUUUUGUUUUCAUGACAUGUGGCCCUAAAAUUAUUGUUCCUAGCGGGCUCUCCAACCCCUCUCGAUUGAAAACCAAUUGUGUAAAUCUUCAAUCUUGAAUGAUGCACCUAAAACUCAAGUGUCCCAGGCCAAUUAUUGCUCUCAUACCACGUGUUGUAAUAAACAUCCAUCCAUUCUAAAGGAAAGAUAACCAUCGAUAUUAUCUCAAAUUUAACCACUUAAGUUCAUUAUGAUUAACUAUGUAUCUUAUGAACCAAUCCAAUCGUGAGGUUUUAUACCCAAUUAGAUCGACCAAUACAAAGUUCACACGUGGAUUGAAAAGCACUAUCAAUAGGGGAGUGUUCGGCACCCUUUACUGCCGAGCGCAACACAAGAUCCCUUGCAUGCCCUCACUAAGUUGAGCCCAACUAUUUUUUAGCAUUAACAAUAUAUAUAGAUUGAAAAAAUAAAAUAAAAAUCAAUCUAUUAUCAUAUAUUUUAUAAAAUACAUAUUAUUGCUCCAUCCUCCAUACACUUGCAUGCCCUCUUACAAAGUGUGAAGUAGAUUUUUUGUGCUCCAACUCAUUGACUAGGGCUGAAACAUGGUUAGUUAGAUUUAUAAGAUCUUUUGUUUUUUGGGAAUUUUCUGAAGCAAGGAAAAUCAAAUAAAAUUAAUAAAGCAGAAACUGUACCCUUUAAUUAUAUAUGGACAUAUGUUUUUUUGUUUUUUUGCUCUCGACCCCUCUCAAAUUUAAGUGGUCCAUUAUUGUUAACCACAUAUUUUAUGGACCAUCCAGCUUCGGUACAUUUCAAAAAGCUUCGGUACAUUUCUCCCACAUGACACAAUUGUAUAUUCACAAUUACUUCUGGGUACCCCUCAUCAGUCGUCUAUAAAAUGGUGAAGCCAGUUGCUACUGUUACCAUAAGAGCCAGCUCCGACUUUCUUUAAUUUCUUGCUACAUCUGUUGCUAAGUUAAUUUCAGUCCUAAUGGGGUUUCAUCUCCCACUCAUCUUUGCUAUUCUCAGUGUAAGCUCUGCAAUUUGAUUAACUUUUCCAUUCUCUCUCAUUGUACUCUAUAUAUAUAAAUGAAAGUUUUGUGUUCCUAUAAUUCUCUCCGAUUUUAUUUAGUACGUACUUAAGUGUCGUCCACUAAUUAAUUACACUUUGUGAGAUUUGAUUUUAAUUAGAGUUCGAAUUAAUGUUGCAGCUAGCAGCGGUUGCACUGGCAAACAAUGCUGCUCAACCAGCACCUCAACUUUACUGGAACUCCGUCCUGCCAAACACACAGAUGCCAAGAUCUAUCAGUGAACUUCUGCAUCCUGGUUUGUGUUCAGCUCUUUAUAAUCUUAGAUAUCUCUUCUACCUGCCAUUUUACUAAAAUAUGUUCGACCACAUAUUUAUCAGCUAACUACUGUGAUUACAAGAAUGACACUUAUUUUCCAAUAUAAUUUGCAGACUCCACAAAUGAAGAAAAGAGCAAACCUGAAAUUUUCCCAUUGCAGGGCAAUAGAGUUUACACUCAAAGCCAUUAUAAAAAACGUCCUCCUCCUCCAUCUGACGAGGGCAAACCUGAAACUUUCCCAUUGGGCAAUAGCCAUUACACUCAAACCCGUUAUAAAAAACGUCCUCCUCCUCCAUCUGACGAGGGCAAACCUGAAAAUUUCCCAUUGGGCAAUAGCCAUUACACUCAAACCCGUUAUAAAAAACGUCCUCCUCCUCCAUCCGACGAGGGCAAACCUGAAAAUUUCCCAUUGGCCAAUAGCUUUUACACUCAAACCCGUUAUAAAAAACGUCCUCCUCCUCCAUCUGACGAGGGCAAACCUGAAAAUUUCCCAUUGGCCAAUAGCUUUUACACUCAAAGCCAUUAUAAAAAACGUCCUCCUCCUCCAUCUGACGAGGGCAAACCUGAAAAUUUCCCAUUGGCACGUUCUCCUCCAUCUGACAGUCAACUAAAGCAUUACAAAGACUUAGCUAUUUUCUUCUUCGAGAAGGACAUGCGCCCGGGCACAACUAUGAAGUUCCAAUUCCCUAGAAAUUCAAACACGGCUACUUUCCUGCCACGCGAAAGUGCUCAAUCGAUCCCCUUCUCCUCUAAGAAACUACCAGAAAUUUUCAACCAUUUUUCAGUGAAGCCAACAUCUGAGGAAGCCAAAACAAUUAAGCAAACAAUCGAAGAGUGUGAAGCUCCAGGC
Molecule: long non-coding RNA, 138504 nt
Filed under: Prunus persica (peach)
Lineage: Eukaryota; Viridiplantae; Streptophyta; Magnoliopsida; Rosales; Rosaceae
Description: long non-coding RNA (PPER_LNC001496)
Source: RNAcentral